This 104544-nucleotide long non-coding RNA is filed under the name Prunus persica (peach). The record is from RNAcentral. Lineage: Eukaryota; Viridiplantae; Streptophyta; Magnoliopsida; Rosales; Rosaceae.
ACCAUCCUCUUUCAAAGCAGACAUGUGCAGUUGCAAAAGACCAUCGUGCAUGUUUAUGGGAAAAAACAAAACCUCUAGCCCACUUGGCUAAAAAUUAUUGUAUGUAUGUCAUUUACCUUCUUUUUUUUUUUUUUUCCUGCAUGUCAUCUACUAUUUUACGUGAUAUGUGCAUCUGUGAGAAUGAUAGCUCUCAAACGCUAGGCACCACGAGUGAUAAAUUAUUUUGAUUAUAGAAUUUAUAGUUAAAUGAUUUUAACUAUGUGGAAUUUUUUAGACCAAAACUCGAUUUAUUCAAAUUAUAAUAGUUAAGUUUAACAACUUUUGUGCAAUUAGAACCAGAGAGAGAAUGGAUUUCUUGAGUUUUUGUAUCAUCAUGCUAAACCUUUUCUUUGUGUUGUUGUUCUCAAUUAUUCAAGCUCUGCAAAGCAAAGCCAAUCCCAAAAGGCAUCUUCUCCCACCUGGACCAAAGCCAUUUCCCUUUAUUGGCAAUCUUCUAGAGCUUGGCAACAAACCCCAUCUGUCUCUCACCAAGCUUUCUCAAAUCGGCCAAUAUUCAUAUUGGGGAUUCCCCAUCCCCACCUUCAAUGGGGAAUGGGUUCCCCAUCUAGCCCCACCUUUUGAGAUUGGCCUUGCUUUGCAGAGCUUGAAUAAUUGAGAACAACAACGCAAAGAAAGAUGACACUAGGUAUGUCAGAGGUCGUAUACUCAAGAAAGAUGGCACCAGGUAUGAUUUUACGUAUUUCAGAUUGUGUGAAAGAUUUUGAACAUGUAUGUUAAAGAAAUCUAACAGUUGGUAUUAGAGCCAGGUUGUUUGCACAAACUAAAAUCGUUUUUCAAGCAUGCCUAUUACGAUUUCUUAUAUGUUUAUGCCAUGAUGAGUUUUUGGUGAUGUUCAAAAUUUGAAGAUGGAUUAAACAUAUUUUCUAAAUAUCAAGAAUAUUAAAGAAUCUGGAAAAGCAUGUUUUAAUUUGAUUUUCAUAUCUUCAAAACUUUAAACCCAUUUUUGACCUACCCGAUGACCUUAAAACCCCAAAAAUGACCAUAUGUAAUAGCACAGCUGUGAGUUGUGUUAAUUAGGUCAUUCCCUAUUCAGAAAGGUAUUUUGUGUAAGAUCCCACAUCAACCAACGGAGAGGGGGUGAUGUGCCUUAUAUGUGCACACCCGCAUCCAUCUAGCACGAGACCUUUUGGGAGCUCACUGGCUUCAGAGUCGCAGGAACUCCGAAGUUAAGCGAGUUAGGAGAUAGAGUAAUUCCAUGAUGGGUGACCCACUGAGAAGUUGCUCGUGAGCUCCCAGAAACAAAACCGUGCCGGCAGAGAGGGGGGCCCAAAGCUGACAAUAUCGUGCUACGGCGGAGCCGAUCCCGGGAUGUGACAAUUUGGUAUCAGAGCCACUCUGCCGUGUGGUACGAGUGUGCCAACAAGGACGUCGGGCCCUUAAAGGGGGUGGAUUGUAAGAUCCCACAUCAACCAACAGAGAGGGGGUGAUGUGCCUUAUAUGUGCACACCCGCAUCCCUCUAGCACGAGGCCUUUUGGGAGCUCACUGGCUUCGGAGUCGUAGGAACUCCGAAGUUAAGCGAGUUGGGGGCUAGAGCAAUUCCAGGAUGGGUGACCCACUGGGAAGUUACUCGUGAGCUCCCAGAAACAAAACCGUGCGAGCAGAGAGGGGGGCCCAAAGCGGACAAUAUCGUGCUACGGCGGAGCCGAUCCCGGAAUGUGACAGAAACAAAUCCUUAGCACAUGAGUUUGUUGUAUUAUUAGAUACUAAUCAUCCGGCACACAUACUAUGCAUGAGUAGAGAAUAAAUAUCCCUCAUUACAUUAACUUUUUAGUUGUGGGUCAAAUCCAGAUCUUCCGUUUUCUUCUCUACUCUAUAUAUAUAUAUAUUUUUUUUUUUUGCCAAAAUUAGGAAGGAGAAAAUGUUUGCUCACACACACACUACAUAUCAAGGUGGUACGGAAAAUAUAACCUGAGACCACUAUUCUACACAUCAUUGCCCAUUUUCAUUGGGCUAAACUUCAUUGAUCAUUGUCCUAUGGAGCAACUUCAACUGGUAGUGCAGGGGCAAUUUGGUCCAUAAAUAAUAAUAAAAACCAGUAAUUUUAUUUUUAUUUUUAAAAGUUUAACUUUCAAAAUACAAAUAUAAUUUUUUUAAUCCUUUUAAAAGUAAACAAUACAAUUUAUAUACAUACAUAUAUAUAUAUAUAUAUAAUCAUUCCUUUCUCACUCUUGUCUUUCACAAAGUCCCAGAUUCAUCUUCAAGUUGGAAUCUAGGCAAGCACUUCGUCGUUAACCAUCACCACCACUUCUAGGUAUUCGUGCUACAACAACCAUCACAGUCACUUCAUCAGCUGCGGUCUUACCUUUUGAAGGCCCUAGGUCUUACAGCAAAGGUGGAAUAGGUUGAUAGUACUGAUGUUCUUGAGGGCAUGCUUGUUAGAGAAAACAUAUUCAAAUGUAAAGAAUUGUAAUGAAAAGGAGGCUCUUUUUGUGAUUGUUGGCUUGUUGAGUUGAGUUGGAAAUUCAAGUGAAGGGAUUUUAUAGGACAAAAAAUGGGAUAUUUAGGCCCCGUUCGGUUAAGUUUUAAGGGGUUGUUUUCAUUUUCAGAGAACAAAAAUGAGGUAAGAACAUGUUCGAUGGCCCAAAAGCAGAAAACACUGAGAAUGUUUUCAUAAAAUGAAAACAAGUUCACGUGUACUUGUAGAAAACAGAAAAAAGAUGUUUUUAUUCUCACGGGAAACGCUCAAAAUAGGGGGAAGAGAGAGAGAGAGAGAGAGAGAGAGGGUUGCGACCUUCAACUGCAUCAAUUAAGAUAAGGGGAAGAUAGAGGGAGGAGAGGGCUAUCUUUUUCAAGUGGUGGCGCAGCUUAAGGUGACCGGAAUUGGCACUGACGAUGGUGACAGCUACUGGGCAGUUUUCCAGUCAAAAUCUAGCACUAUCUUGAGCCUCGAUUGAUGGGUGGGUUAGGUAGAGGAGGAAGAGAGGAGGAGUUUAAUGGUGAUGGCACCAGUUGACGUGACUGGACGACGAAGAAUCGCCGGUCUGAAAGUGAGAUAGAGCGCAGGGAGAGAGAGAGAGAGAGAGAGAGAGAGAGAGAGAGAGAGAGAGUUAGGGUGAGGGAGGGAAGAGGAAGAAAGAAAGGAGGAGGAGAAAACAGAAAAAGAAAGGGAAAAAAUUGAAAAAAUAAAAAAUAAAAGAAAUAAAUAUAGUUUUUAUUUAAAAAUAAUAAUAUAAUGUUAAAUUAUACAUUUAAAAAAAAUCUUUUUAGAACAUAAAUUAGCAAAAAUACACUUGAAAAAUAACUCAUAUGUUAUUAUUUUCAAAUUGUACUACAAGACACAUUUUCAUUAUUUUUAUUUUCUGAAGAUGUUUUCUAAUUAAUCUACCAUACGCAUUUUCAAUUCCUGAAAAUGCAAAUUCGUUUUCUUAUUUUCAUCCUCUAAAAAUAUUUUGUCAAAACAUUCUCCAAAAAUGUUAUCGAAUGGGCCCUAGCUUCCACUUCAAGCUGUUUGAGUAGAUAUACUAAAGUUGAUGCUUAAAAUAUUAGGCUUUCCCCAAACUUUUGAAACCUGGUCAAUGUUCGGAUGAGAGGCAAGCUUCUGAAGCAAUUUUCAAAAGGAAUUUAGGUAUUUUAUUUAUGACAAAAAGUCAAUUUUUUUGAUUCCUAUGGUUUAUUAUUUUUACUAUUAAGGUCCUUAUUUUUAAAAUUUGAUAAUUUUUGUUCUUGUGGUUUCAAUUUGAAGCAAUUUAAGGACAAUCCUCAAUUUGUGUCAAAUUUUUUUUUUUUAAAAAAAAAAAACUUCAACUAGUUUGGGAACGUUGGGAAAUGAGGUUUGGUUACUCAUGUUUGGUUACUGCAGUAAUUAGGAAUGAAAAGUUAUCAAGGUAUGAAAUUCCCCAUACAUUGGAAGUCCAUAUCCAUGAGUCCAUAAUUACAUUCCCAAGUAUCACUACUACGUUUUAAUAUUUGUGCAACGAACAAGAAUUCGUCGUGCAAAAUGCACUACGGCGACGGAAAAAAUUAGGGAGAUUCACUAUUAUACCCAAUACAUGGGCCCAAAUUAUAAAAAUACCAUAUAUGAAAUGGACUUUAGAAACACACCCAAAGCCUGUUUACAACAUAACAAAGAGGCUUUAACUUCUUAUAAAUUGCAAAACUGCCAUCAAUUUCUUAAAACAAGCCCAACCCGAAAAUCUCAUAAAAAUACCCAAAAUACUCAAUAGGGCAUCAAAGUAAUUUAAUAAUUAAUAUUAAAUUCAAUAAGGCCAGCUGUCAUUUUUUGGGUUUGUUUAUAGAAAUUCAAUAGUGUAGGGUUUAUUUAUAAUAUUAGUGCUAAGAAUGGGUAUAUCACUAAAUAUCUCAAAAAAUUAAUCGUCAUGUAAACCACUGAAAACUGGAGCGUCCAAAAUUUCCGUCGCGCAAAAAGUCUUAGUGCAACAGAAAACUUAUGCGUCGCUCAAAGUGAGGAAGAAAAACGCGCAAAAGAAACUUAGCCCGACGACAUGAUUUAUCGUUGCAUAAGAAAAAAGUGGGAUUUUUUUUUGGCCCAAAAAUACUUGUAUGGGAUUUUUUUUAGCGCCAAACCCUUGCGCGACGGAAAUAUAGUUUGUCACGUAAAGUUUAAUGUCGGUACAUUCUUGUGUGACAGAAAUUGGCUUUCACGUGACGGCGGUUUGCUUUUGGGCGAUGAAAGUUUGUGCGAUGAAUCAAAUUUUGCGUCGCGCAAAAGUGUGAUGUCGACACGUGCUUGAGCGGCGAAUAAGUUAUUUUGUGCGACGAAAAAGUGAUUUUGUGCGACGGAAUUUUUUUUUUUUUGCAAAUGCAGUUUGCGCAACGAAAUCAUGGGUCCGUCGUGCAAAGUCCUUCUUCUUUAUAUCUGUAUUCUACCAUUGCAGAGGCAUAAUGCAAAAAAAAAAAAAAAACAUUUUGCCUCUCUCUGCCGCUGCCUCUGCUGGGAAUUCAGUACGUUCAUUGGGUAAGUAAUUUUUGUCGUUAGUUUAAAAGUAUUAAUGUAAAUUCAUACUAACACUAUUAAUUUUGUUCUCGUUAGGGAUAUUUGUAAUUAGCGUUUGGUAGAGAACGAUUGAGAAGAUAUUUUAUUCGUUUUAUAUAUUUAAAAUGUUAAAUUAAUUACAUUAUAUUAAACUUACUUUGUGAAGUUAUAUUUAUAUUAUGGUAUUAAAUUGUGAGUGACGUAGCACAAUGUGUUGUGAUGUACGAAGUUAAUUGAAAUGAACUUCGUACUUUUAUUUUUAUUUUUAGUAACACUUAGUUUCCCGUUUGAUAUUAGUUGGAUUUCGUGCAUGGAUGCGUAAAGCAUGACUGCGGUCCAAUUAAUUCUUGAAUUGUCCCAUUAUUUGGAUAGUUUGGGAAUGCAUAGUUAUGUCACGUAAUGUACGGCUACAUGAUUAAAUUUUGAUUGUGGAGAUUUUGGUGUUAUCUCUGUACGUUCUUCAAGUGGUACAUAGGUAUUUAUACCUACAGUACACCUCAAGAACUGUAUCGAGAUGCUGUCGAAAUUCAUCCGCGUCGAAAUCUAAUCUCAUGUAGUCGUACAUUACGUGACAUGACUAUGCAUUCCUGAAUGGGAUAGGGCCCUUACCGGAGGCAUAAGGUGACAAUAUGGCUUCGUAUGAAGUUGUUGUGAUUGUUGUGUUGUGAUUGUGGUUUCAGGAAUUGUGAGCAGGAGGUGGAUACAUAACCCGAAUAGAUACACAGACGAAUACUUGGAUGAAAUUGAGGAUUUUAUUGAGUUUGCACGUACACACAACCCGGGUGCAACUAGAAUCCGUUAUCAUUGUAGGAGGAGUAAUAACACGUUGUGGGAGACAAUUGAAAAUGUUGGAUUUCAUUUAGUAAGGAGUGGAAUGAUUGAGACAUAUAACAUUUGGAACCUUCACGGGGAACAAUUAGACCAUGCUUCGUUUUCAAAUGCCACAAGAGUGGACCAUGUUGAACCUAUUAUGGAUCCUAAUGAAGAAGUCAUGGAUCUUAUACACGAUGCUUUUCCAUUUGCAUCGACCAACAUCAAUUAGGAAGGGGAAGAUGACGUGCCUACACCAAUGGACAAUGCAGAGUUUGAACAAUAUAAAAAAUUGUUAAAAAAUGCCAAAAGAGUUAUACUCGGGGUGCGAGAGCUUUUCCGUUCUCACGGCCAUUGUGGAGCUAAUGCAUGAAAAAAUAAAGUAUCGUAUGUCGAACUUGUGUUUCGAUUACUUUUUGGGGGUUUUCAAGAGAAUGCUUCUGACGGACAAUUGUUUGCUGAAAAACCAUAAACACGCACAUAAGGUAUUGAAUGGUCUUGGAUUGGGUUAUGAAAAAAUUCACACUUGCAAAAACAAUUGCAUGUUAUUCUACAAAGAGCAUGAAACAUUGGAUACAUGCCCUAUAUGCAAUGAGUCGAGGUUCAAAAUGACAUCUUAGAAUAGAACGACUAAGAUCCCACAAAAAGUCAUGCGUUAUCUGCCCCUGAAACCUAAGUUCAGCGAUUGUAUAUGUUGACGUAUACUGCCACAAACAUGAGAUGGCAUAAGGAAAAACGGGUAGACGACGAUGUGAUGCGGCAUCCUACAGAUGGGGAGGCAUGGAAAGAGUUCGAUUGAACGUUUCCCGAGUUUGCUGCUGAUCCUGAAAUGUUAGAUUGAGACUUGCCACUGACGGAUUCAAUCCGUAUGGGGUUCUAAACCAACACCACAGCACUUGGCCGAUUUUCGUAGUCACAUAUAAUUUGCCGCCUUGGAAAUGCAUGAAAAAAGAAUACAUGAUGAUGACUGUUUUGAUAACUGAGGAUCUUGGCAAGUCAAUCAAUGUUUACUUAAGGCCACUGGUUGAUGAGUUGAAUGAUUUAUGGACAAACGGUGUGCGCACGUACGAUAAAUCAAGUGGGAUGAUGUUCACUUUGCGGGCAGCAGUUAUGUGGACUGUGAAUGAUUUUCCCGCAUAUGUAAUGGUUUCUGGGUGGAGCAAAAAUGGUUAUAUGGCAUGUCUUGUAUGCACGGAAGAUGUAACUUCUGGUUGGCACGCUGGAAAGGUUUGUUACCUUGGUCAUCGGAGAUGGUUGCCAUGGGACCACGAGUGGCUGAAAAAAGAUAAAGAGUUUGACGGGAACACAUAGCGUCGCCUCAGACCUAGAGAAUUGUUCGGUGAUGAGAUCAUGGAACAGCUUAACAGUUUGGAUUUUGCUCCAUUCGAGAAAACAGUUAGUCGGACCAGACUAUGUUUUUUGAGCUUCCAUAUUGGUCGAAACUAAGAUUGAGGCACAAUCUAGAUGUGAUGCAUGUUGAGAAAAAUGUAUUUGACACAUUGGUGGGUACGAUUCUAGAUAUUGAGGGCAAGACAAAGGACACGAUCAAAGCUCGUCUUGAUUUGGAAAGAAUGGGCAUAUGAAGGGGUUUAUGGAUGAAUAGGGACAGUGAUAAAGGUUGAAGGGAUCUUGCAUUUUUUCUAGGAAACCUAAUGAUAAAAAGAGUUUCUAAAGUUUGUAUCAUCUGUAAAGUUUCUCGAUGGGUUGUAAUAUCGCACGUUGCGUGAGUGUUGACGGGGGUAAAUUUGCUGGACUAAAGAGCCAUGACUGCCAUGUGUUUAUGCAACGCCUACUUCCAGUGGGUAUUCGACACCUAUUGUCGAAAGAUGUAGUGAAGCCAAUCAUGUUGUUUUCCAAAUUUUUUUUCACAACUGACUGCAAAAACGUUGCGAAAGACAGACAUUUAUCAAUUGCACCAUGACAUUGUCCAAGUCCUAUGCAAGUUUGAGAUGAUAUUCCCUCCAGCUUUCUUCACAAGUAUGAUCCACAUAAUGGUUUACUUGCCAGAAGAGGCAUUGCUUGCUGGUCCUGUCAACUAUCGCUGGACGUAUCCAAUAGAAAGGUAUAUAAUCCUUAUCAUUUGUGUAUUCAUCAUUAUCACAUGCUUGCUAAUUUGUAUCAUAUCGUUUUAUUUUGGCAGGCUUCUAGGAGAGAUGAAAAAAAUGUACGCAACAAGGCGUAGCCCGAAUGAUCAAUUAUAGAGGCUUGGGUUCUAUAUGAGUCACUUACUUUCUGUGGAAUGUAUUUAAAAGACGUGGAGAUGGCUUUCAAUCGUCCCCAGCGCAAUAUUGACGGAGGUAUGAGAAAUGAAAAACUUUCUGUUUUUGCCCAAAGCACACGAAACUUUGGAGAUCCUUGAUGAGGAGAGUCAUUUUUCAAAAAUGACAUGGAGGUAUCGUAUUGGUUCAUACUGAACAAUUGUGAUGAGAUAAUGGCAUACUUAGAUGGGCAUGAAGAGAUGAUGAAGCGAGAACAUCCAUCACAUUUGUAUGCUCAAAAACACCAUGAAUUGUUUCCACAAUGGUUUUUGGAUUUUGUAAGUUAUAAGUGUUUUGUAUUUGACAAAUAUAUAUUGUAGUAUUUAAUUUUGUCAAACUAACAUGUGAAUGGUUUUGUAUAAUAUUAGGUGAAUAAGUUGAAAUCAUCGAAUUCCCCCACUUACAGUGAUGAGUUAUAUAACUUGGCGUUGGGCCCGAUUCGUGCUGAAUUGUUCUCGGGUUGUCAUGUUAACGACUUCAAGUUUUUGGGGAUUACAUGAGAUGACAAGUUGUGUACGUAAAACAGCGAUGUCCAUGUCCCAGGUGGAGGCGAAAGUACAGACACUGAUUUCUAUGGCAAACUCACAACUGUCGUGCAAUUGCUUUACAAAGACUGAUACCAAACGAUCAUGUUUAAGUAUCGAUGGUUUGAUACCAAUCCAAAUAGGCCGGGAAGUGUUAAAAUAGACAAUGGCUUACUAUUUGUGAACAUUAACAUAACAUGGUAUGAUGACGACCUUUACAUUUUGGCAAACAUGGCAAUACAGAUUGUGUAUCUAGAUGACCCUAAAGCCGGGAGUGGUUGGAAAGUUUUUCAGAAGAUGGAUCAUAGGAACAUGUAUGCUAUACCAGAACUAGCCUCAACUGACAACGACGUCGACAAUGUGGCUGACCAACAUUUAGAAUCUUCAAUGAAAAAUGAUGCGGAAAUACUUCGAGAUACAAAUGUUAUACAAGAACCGUUUUAGAUACAAUGGGUGUCUUGAAUCGAAAUACCGAUUCUGUCAAUUACAAUUGACCUCGGGGAUUUUCCGCGAUACGAUGUUGUAGUGGGCCCGAACAAUGACGAUCAUGUAAUUAUAGAGGAGGAGGAUUGAGAGACCGAAAGUGAUGAUAGCAACGAUAACGAAAGUUAUUAUAGUUCAAAUGAUGAAUAAUGAAUUUUUUUGUAAUUUUAUUAUGUUAGUGUACAAAUUUUGGCAAACCUAAUAUAUGUGGAGAAAUGAAACAUUGUUAAAUAAAUUGAGCUAUACAAGAAAAUGAGAAAUGAAAAUAAAUUUAGUUAUAAAACAUUGGUAAAUAAAUAUAUCCAAAACCUUUUCAUAAUAAUGUUGAAAAUUAUUUUUACAAAACAUUUUUAAAAAAAAAUGAAAAUGAGAUACAAUUUGACAUAAAUGUGUAUUAGGAGCCAAAACCUUGCGCGACGAAAUCUGCCAUGUCGCGCAUUGUUUGAGCGACGAAAAAUCACUCGUUGUGACUAUGUACCUUGCGCGACCAAAAGAUUUUUUUCGUCGCGUCAAGUUGCAAUUCCGUGCGACAACUUAAUCUUUCGUCAUGUAAAGACAUUUUGCGCCACGCUUUCAGUACUGAUCGCGCCAAUAUAUUUAUUUUAAUGUAAUAUAAUAUAUAUAUUUGAAAUUGAUGAUCGAAUUGAUUCAUUGUAUUCAUAUAGGGUCAAGGAGUGUAGCUGUAAAAAAUCAUCAAAAUCGGAGUUAAAAUAACUGAUAAAUCGUGAAUUUUCAUUUAUAACCGUCGAAAAGUUUUGUCCCGUCACUUGAUCUUUGAAUGUUUGUUUUUUCCGAUUUUUGGCGUAUAUGAUCUCGAAGUAUAAACAAACAAGUUUGAUGGUUGGAUCAUUGAAACUAGUUUUGUGGAAUGCAUAUGCCAUGAAAAUAAUAUAGUCACCAACAAUUAAGAGUUUAUUUAUACUUUCGUCAAAUAUAACGUAAGAUGUUGUGGCAUCCACUAGUGUAAAGAUCUUAAAUUAAAGAUCAAAUUCAGCCAUUGUAUUAAUAUAGGGUCAAGGAGUGUAGCUGCAAAAAAUCAUCAAAAUCGGAGUUAAAAUAAUCGUUAAAUCGUGAAUUUUCAUUUAUAACCGUCGAAAAGUUUUGUCCCAUUACUUAAUCUCUGAAUGUUUUUUUUUUUCGAUUUUUGGCGUAUAUGAUCUCGAAGUAUAAACAAACAAGUUUGACGGUUAGAUUAUUGAAACUAGAUACCAAUUAGAUACAUUUAUACAGAUACAGAAUAAACGGUUCCCGUAAAUAAAUAAACUUUGCGCAAUGAAAAAAAAAUUGGUCCCGAAAAACUUUGAGGGAUGGAAUCUUACGUCACGCAAAAGAUCUUUGAGCGAUGCAAAGACAGUGGGCGUCGCCAACAAACCUUUGAGCGACAACUGGGCAUCGUACGUCGCGUAGUGUUAAGAUUGUCGAGGGUUUAGGGUUCAGGGUUUAGGGUUUAGGGCUUAGGGUUGAUGAUUGCGCGACGAAUAAGAUGUUCAUGCGUUGCGUAAAAUGGGUCACACCUUUCACUUUUUCUCUCUGCCGCAAAGCUCUAAACCCCAAAUUUUGGUGAAUCACAACCUUGCUCGACGGAAGAACAGCCACUUUGUUGCGCAAAGUCUAUAAAAGAAAACCUUGCGCGACGCUUUUGUUUGUUCGUCGCUUAAUAUCGGCCAGGCCCUUCACCUUCUCUCUCUCCCGCUAAACCCUAAAUCCCCAAUUUUGGGGGAAUAACAACCUUGCACGAUGGAAUCUCAGCUAAUUCGUCACGCAAAGUCUAUAAAAGACAACUUUGCGGGACGCUACUGUGCUUUCGUCGAGAAAUAUCGGUUAGACCUUUCACUUUCUCUCACUCGCACUAAACCCUAAAUCCCAAAUUUUGGCAGAAUCACAACCUUGCACGAUGGAAUCUCAGCUAAUUUGUUGCGCAAAAUGGUCAGGCCCUAAACCCUAAACCCCAAAUUUUGAUGGCCACACAACCUUGCGAGACAGUUGCGUUUAUUCGUCGUGCAAUGUAUUGAAAAUUCUGGCGGAAAACAUACCUUGCGCGAUGCCUCAUGGUUUUUUUCGUCGCGCAAGUUCAAUUAAAAAUAUCUUGGGCUACACUUUCCUUUGUUCAUCACGCAAGAUCGAAUAAAUUUUCAGAAACAACACGACUGCCCAGACCCUUCUUCCUUAUUCCUAUUGUUUUGCCCUAACGCUUCUCUCCCUUCGCCGUCCACCGCCUCGCUGUCAGCCACUACUCCGCCGGAAAAAGGACUGGGCUGCCAUCACCUUCGAAGCCCACACCUUCCCUGCCGUCACCGCUACGUCUGCCAACGAUUUUCGCAGAUUAUUCUCCGGCCUUGUUCUCUCUCCUCCAGCCACCAAUUCCGACACCAAAGGUAUGAUUUCUAGACUAUUUUUCCUGCUUUAGCUUAUGGUUGGAUAGGAUUUGGUUAAUUGUUUAUUUUUGGUAUCUCUAAUUUAAACCCUAAGUUUGGCCGGUUUUUGAAUUUAAAUUCCGGCCACUUCCGAUCAUUUUUCGGGUUAGGUUCGAACAAAAGUGGCUCCAAUUGAAGUUUUGAACCUAGGGAGGAACCUUGGCCCUUAGUUUUUAGAAUUUUUCGGCGAUUGUUAUCGCUUUAGACACCCAUGCGCUGCCGGCGCGUGUGGUGCCGUGUGGGAUAACUGUAGCAGUGGGGCAUUGGGUCCCAGUGCAAUCCCCUAGUUGUUACGAGCGCGUAGGUGUGCUUGGAUUUGAAUUUGGUUACCAUUUGAGUCUCGAACGGAUUUCGCCUAUUGUGCAAUUUUUGAGUUUGAUAUGUUCGGACCGUUGGAUCGAACUCAAACUCACAUAUGUUGUACCUUGUAUUUCUAGGAUCGUGUAUGAGUCGACAGAUCAUGGAUCAGAGUCCCGGAUACUUCGAAAUCGCAAACACUAUGUCAUCUAUGCUUUUAAUUAAUUAGUUAAAAUGCUUAAUGAAAUUGUAUGUGCUUAUAAUUAAAUAUUCGUAAAUUUGAUUAAUUUGUAUGUGUAUUAAUGAAAUUUUGCAAAUGUCAAACCUGAUUAGAAGUCGUAAGGCAGAGACGAUUGCACAGAGUUCACCUGCCUCAGCUCAGUCGUCAUCUGCUGCCACUGCUCCAGCACUGAUGGACCACUUGCCAGUUGGUCCCGGGGGGUCCCAGGCCCCUACUUCGUCGGAUUCAUCAGUGGCACAGCCUGUUAGCGCCAAGUGGCGUCACCAGCCAGCUAGCACCACCGACACCACAUUGACCGACGCUACUAGUGCAUCGGGGUCAGCCAAGUAUAGAUUUCCUUCAACUACAGUUCUUUGUGUGUGUGUGUGUGUGUGUGUGUGUGUGUAUUUUAUAGUUAAAUUUGUUAUUUAUUUGACAUUAAUGUCAUAUUUCUUUGCAGCUAAGAAGAGCACCGGAGGGCCGUGUCGGCAGUUGAAGACGACGAAGGUCACUCGGGUGACCAACAGUCGUAUCAACAUCGGAUAUGACGAGCGACAUCGGGCUGCACCGACGGCGGAGUUGCAUAGCUCCUUGGCCCACGACAUUGGUCACGUCGUUCGGACCCAUUGCUCAAUGCAAUGGAAGUCUUAGAAGGCCAUGCCUGACGAGAUCAAGAUAGAGGUGCGUGGCCAGUUGUCGGUAUGUAGCCUACCUUUUAAUUCUUUUCCUUUCAAACUUUAUAUAUUUCUAUUACUUAAUAUAUGUUAUUAAUUUAUUGCAGACAAACUACAACUUAGAGGACCUCGACGACGAGUCGUUGGCGUAUGUCAACAGACUCUUCCCUGAGAGGUACAAGCAGUGGAAGAGCGACUUGCACCACCAUUUUGAGGCAUUUGAUGAUCCGCAAGUCGCUCUUCAGGAGGGUUGUCCGAAGGAGUUUGAGGGGCGGGAGGAUAGUUGGGCGUGGCUCUGUGCUCAUUUUCAAGCGCUCGAUUUUGUGGUAUUUUUUAAUAUUAAUUUCAAAAUUAUUACAUAUUUCUUACUAAUGUUUAUUUAAUUUUUUAUAUUUCAUUUCAAUUUCAACUAAUACGUUUUAUUUUUUGUAUAACAGAAUAAAGCCAAAGUCAAUAAGGGCGAUAGGAAAAAGAAGAGUCUUCUCCACCAUUCAGGUUCUAGGCCAUUCUCAUAUAGGAUGGAUGCAUGGCAGUGGGUAAUAAAAAAAUAGUUUAUAUUUAAUUUUUAAUAUGUCAUUAUUAUUAAUUUAUUUUUUUCGUACUAUUAUUUUUCUUCUCUUGUAAAAUUUCGGGAGGAGGUCCAAAUUCCCAGAGAUCGAUGUCUUUGGUGACGUUUAUGUUUGACCUGGGAAUGAGUUGGCCGAGUCCCUUCAUGUAAGUAUUAUUUAACUUUAAUUCUUAUGUUAUGCAUUCAAGUUUCAGGGUUAUUAUAUGAAUGUUUUAAUUUAUAUUUUAUGUUAUGUUAAACAGAUGACGAUGGUGGAGAGGAGCCAGUUGGUUCUUCAGGAAUCCUCCGCCCAACUUCCUCCCGAUACUCCGAUCGAGUUUAUGGAUCCUCCACGAGAUGCUGGGUUUCAGAUCUUGACGGAGACGUUGGAUCAGACUCUCAGGAGGAGGCCGGGGACAUAAUGUCGAGGGAUGGGGAAUGCCCGACGGAGGGAACCUAGACCCCGUUCAUCAAUGCAGUCAAACAUUCAGGUGACUGCUUUGACAGCAAAGGUGGCCGAGCUUCAGGGUCAGAUGUCAGUGAUUCUGUAGUCCCCCGCGUGGUCCGGCAUUCCAGUACAGCAAUUUGAUACGUCGACCUCCGAGCCCGUCCACCCCGAGCAUGCCCACUAGACCACUGCUCUUGUAGACCCGCAGACCUCCGAGCUGCAUAUGCCUGACGACCAAGUAGAUUUUGGAACAUUAUUUGAUUAGUUUUUUAUUUUCACAAUUAUAUUUUAAACCUUUCUCUUGUAGUAUACAUCUAUUUUAUUUUAUAUAAUUUUUUGUUCUCUUCAAUUCAUUUUUGUAUUGCAAUUUCAUUUUAUGACCAAAAAAAAAAAAACCAAAUUUAUUUUUUUACAAAAUUAAAAAAAACAUAAUAUUAAAUUUAAAUAAUAUAUAUAUUAAUUUUGCGCGACGAAAUAUUUUUCGUUGCGCAAAUUCACAUUUUAUAAAAUAAAAAAACGUAAAACUUCAUUUUAAAUACAUUUAGUUUAUUCUUGCGUGACGAAGUCAUUCAUCUUGCAAAAAGGAUAUGCGCUAUGACGAAAAUUUCAUCGCGCAAUAUUGUUCGUCGCGCAAAUGUUGGAGACACGAGUUGGGCGACGAAGGAAAGAUCGUCGCGCAACUGUUUGCGACUUGAAUCGCGCGACGAAUAUUUUCCUUCGCACAGUAUAUUCGCGACGAACAUGCUUUUGUCGGCCAAAGGUUUGUGCGACGAACAAUUGUGUUAUCCCUAAACAUUUUGUGCAAUAAAGGUUAACCGUCGCUCAGUUUUGUGCGACCAAUGCAAAAACUUGGUCACACAAAGUCUUUCCUCACUCUCUUUGCGCGACGGAUUGUGCGCGACGAAUUUUCUGUCGCACUGAAAAUUGUGCGACUAAAAGUAACUUUGCGCGACGAAAUCCUCUUCGCCGUGCAAAUCGUAAAAUGUAGUAGUGUAUGCAUUUAACAACAAAUGCAAUUUGAAACGAGUGUUGCUAAAUGAACUCUAAAAUUAACUGAGUAUACCCUAUGUACAUCCUAAUAUUUAAAUCAAACUGUAAAAUUAACUAAGUAUACCCUAUUUAGCUACCAAAAAUAUCAUUAGCAAACCCUUAUACACUCUAAAGCAUUAGUCGCCUCCUCCUUAAGCAUCCUUACAGGGAAAGCUCAACCGAAUUGAUGCACAAUCAACUGGGAACAAUGCAUGCUUGCCACCAACUCAUCUAAUUUCGGAUUCACACCAAGGUUUUGUUGCCACCCGAAUAAAUAGUCCGCGAGGUCCAGGGCCAUCCACUUAUGACUCAUGCUUAUCUAUUUUGGAAGCUGAAGACACCUGUCAUGCAUUUCCUUUUCAAAAGUCUAAAUGGUUGAAUAUUCUAUUGUAUUACCAACGUCAAAUAGUACCAUAUAUAUAUACAGCAAUAACCUUCUAUCAACCCUACUGUUAAGGCUUUGAAGACGUGAUCCAAUAUUAGUGGGAUUUGACCUACACUAAUUUGGGCAAGUAAAGAUAUUACAAAUAUUUACAAAGAUAUUUCCUAAUACUCCCCCUCAAGUUGGAGAGUGAAUAUCAUGAAGUCCCAACUUGUCGCGCAAUGUCACAAAUUGAUCCUUCCCCAAGGCCUUCGUAAAAAUAUCUGCCAUCUGGAAGCGUGUAGGUACAUACGAAGGACUAAUUAUUCCAGCUUGUAGUUUUUCUCGAACUAUGUGACAGGAUUAGCGGCAAUAUACAAAGCUGACUGAUUAUCACAAAACAAUGGUGCAGGAGCUAUCUGUGGGACUUUUAAAUCCUGUAGUAUAAAGCGUAACCAAGUUAGCUCCAAACAUGUGUUGGCCAUAGCUCGAUAUUCAGCUUCUGCUGAUGAUCUUGAAACAUUGGUUUGUUUCUUGGAUUUCCAUGAGAUGAGUGAAUUGCCAAGAAAAACACAGUAUCCUGUAACUGAUCUCCUUGUCGCACGACAACCUCCCCCAGUCUGAAUCACAAAAAGCUUUUAAUGUAAGAUUGUUGGUGGCAGAAAAUAACAAACGCUGACCUGGAGUCCCCUUGAGGUAUUUAAGGACCCGUAUGGCAGCAUCCUAAUGAGGUCUGCGAGGCUGAUGCAUGAAUUGACUUAGUGUUCAAACAAGAUAGACUAUAUCAGGCCUUGUGACAGUAAGGUAGAUCAAUCGGCCAACCAGUCUCCUGUAUUAUCAGUAAUUCUCAAUCUGUGGGAGUGAGUUUCAAAUUCUGUUCCAUUGGGAACUUGUCUAGGUGUGCGCCUAAAAGUCCUGAAUCCUGCAAAAUAUCAAGUGCGUACUUUCUUUGAGACAUGAAAAUACCUUUCUUGGAACGAGAGAAUUCAAUGCCUAGAAAAUAUUUUAAAUCUCCAAGAUCUUUGAUACGGAAGCGAUUGAGAAGGAACUUUUUGAGACGUUCCAUUUCUUGAAGAUUAUUUCCUGUGAGAAGCAUGUCAUCAACAUAGAUAAGAACUGCAGUAAAUGAAGUGCCUUCAGCUUUGGUAAAAAGAGAAUAAUUAGCUUUAGAUUGUUGAUAACCAGCCUUUUGAAUGGUAUCUGAAAAGGUGGAAAAUCAGUUUCUAGAAGUCUGUUUGAGACCAUAAAGAGACUUGUUGAGCCGACAUACAGCGUUCUCCCCCUGUUGGCGAAGACCAAGAGGAGGCUCCAUGUACACCACCUCAUGUAAAUCGCCAUGGAGAAAAGCAUUUUGAACGUCUAAUUGGUGGAUGAACUAAUGGCGGGCAGCAGCAACAGUAAGAAGACAACAGAGGGUAGUGAGUUUGGCUGUAGGGGAGAAAGUCUCCUGAUAAUCGAUGCCUUGAAUUUGAGUGUAGCCUUUAGCAACAAGCCGAGCCUUGUAGCACUCAAUGGUGCCAUCGGACUUGUAUUUGAUUUUGUAGGCCCAUUUGCAGCCGAUCAGUUUAUGACCAACAGACAGCGGAACCAAACUCCAAGUGUUAUUGUGCUAUAAAGCCUCUAGUUCUGCAAUCAUGGCUUGGCACCAAUGUGGAUCAAGAAUAGCCUGAGCAUAGGAUGUGGGUUCUGUGUGACCUGUAAUCUUAGCAAGAAAAGCACAAUGGGCAGAGGAUAAAUGAGAGUAGGUAAGGAAGUGGGAAAGGGGAUACCGAGUACCUAAUGCAGAACGAGGUGCUGAGGUUGAGUGAUUGACGUGGUUGGACAUGUGGUAGUCUGUAUGCCAUGCCGGAGGAUGUUUAUAGCGAGUGGACUAUCGAGGAGAGGGAAUGAGAGGAAUGGGAUUAUCUGUAUGUGGAGGGGUAGGGUCGACGGAUGGGGACAAAGGUGGGAUGGGAGAGGUGGGGUUGUCAAGCUAGUCAUAUGCGUCACAGAGGAUAGAGUGGUUAGGCACUUGUGGUGGGUUGGUUGGAGGGUUGGAGGAUUGACUAGUAGGUUGGGCGGAUCAAUUGGUGGGGUCCAACUGUUAAGAAAAUCAGAGGAAAGGUAGGGCUGAGGAGUAGGUGGGGUAAGGGAGGCCGAAAAUUGAGAGAAAGGGAAGGUAUUUUCACAGAAUCGGACAUCACGGCUUACAAAGAAUUUGUUUGUCUCCAAAUUGUAGAGUUUGUAACCCUUUUGGCCAAUAGGAUAUCCAACAGAGACACAACGUGUGGCACGGGGAUGAAAUUUAUGAAUAGGAUAGACAAUAGUUGCAUAACAGAGACAACCAAAGACUUUCAAGUGGUCGAGUGAUAGGGGACGGUUGUAUAACAAUUCAAAAGGUGAUUUACUGGAAAGUAAUGGUGAGGGUAAUCGGUUAAUAAGAUAGACAGUGGUUAAGACACAUUCACCCCAGAAAAUAAUGGGUAAGUGAGACUGAAAAAGUAAUGCAUAUGCGACAGUGAGAAUGUGGCGAUGCUUGCGUUCGACGACUCCAUUUUGUUGUGGAGUGUAAACACAAGUGCGCUGAUAUUCAAUGCCAUUAUUUUGAAAAAAAUCCCUCAUGGAGAAAAAUUCAGACUCGUUAUCUACCUGAAUGGUUUUAAUGUGGGCAUGGAAUUGAGAGUGGGCAAAAGAGACAAAAGAUUUGAGAAGGUUUUGGGUUUCAGAUUUAUGCUGCAUCAAAAAUAUCCAUGUGCACCUAGUAAAGUCAUCCACAAUGGUAAGAAAGAAACAUGCCCCUGAAUGUGUGGUAACUUUGUGUGGACCCCAAAUAUCACAAUGUAACAAAUCAAAAGGAGCUUUAAUUGAUAUUGAACUUAGAGGAAAUGGAAGUCUUGUUUGUUUGGCCAUGGGACAAACACUACAAUUAUUAUCAAAAGAAAUAGUAUUGGAAGGCAAUAAUGAAGAAGCUAAUCGAAGAAGAGCAGGGGAUGGGUGUCCAAGUUGCAUGUGCCAUAAAUCGGAUGAGAGUGAAACUUGAUAUGAGACAGGUGUCUUUUGCAAUGGAGACAUGUAAUAGAGACCACCACGCUGUUUACCCAAGCCAAUCAUCUUCCUCGUAGCCAAGUCCUGCAAGGCACAGAAGGUAGGAAACAAAAUGGCACAACAGUUUAGAGAAGUAGUGAGUUUGCUGGCAGACAUAAGAUUUAAGCGAAAAGAUGGAACACACAAAACUUUGUCUAAUGUGAUAUUUGAAUUGAAUGGUAUAGUGCCAGUGGAAGUGAUUGGGGCAUGAGAACCAGUAGGUAAAUUAACAAUGGGCAUUUGUGAUUAUUCAGUUUUAGUGAAAAGUCUGGGAUCAUAAGUGAUGUGAUCAGUAGCUCCACUAUCUAAAAUCCAAGGUUUAGUGAACACAGAAUUUAUGGAAGGAAUGGAAAAAGAAGCCAGACCUGCAGCAUUUGCAUAAGCAUUGCUAUUACCAGAGGAAUGAGUUGAACUCAUCAUAGAAACAGCAUGUGCUAGUUCUUGGAGUUGCUCUGCAGAAAACCCAUGUAAAGGGUUGGAUUGAGAGGCUGGCUGGGUUGGUGCACUGAAACCAUAUGAUUGGGCCUCAUGCGAUGGAGCUGUGUCUGCGGCGUGGGCAGUAGGAAAGGACCCACGUGAAUUGAUGUGCCCUCUAGACCCUUGACGUUGUUGCUUAGAUUGAUUAUGCCUAUUGCCUUGAAUUCCUGUGUCAUUGGGAACCCAUGCCCCAUUUUUAAAUUUACAUCUAUCCUCAGUGUGGCCUCUCCUAUCACAAUACUUGCAAUGGAAUUUAAGGGUCCGACAUUCUUCGAUUGUAUGACAGUUUCUAUCAGAGUGCUCACAGUGUUUGUUCGUCGAAUUAUUCGACAUAUUGUUUGAUCGGCUGUGAAUCGCAACGGCAAUGGAAAAAUUCUCUGUUGGUCCUGAUGUUAUUUGUUGCUGUGUUUCGUCUUGAACGACAAGUGAAUAGGCUUGGCGGACAUUAGGCAAUGGCGACAUCAUGAGGAUAUUCCCGCGAACACCGUUGUAGGUGUCGUUGAGGCCCAUAAGGAAUUGCAUCAUCCGAUCUUCUUCCUUUUGUGUAUUGUGUGCUUUCAUCUCGUUACAUGUGAGAGGUGUUUGAUAUGUUUCUAAUUCGUCCCAGAGAUCUUUGAGUUUCUUGUAAUAGUCUGAAACUGUCAUGGUGCCUUGUGAGAGAGAGGCGAUGGAUUUCUGUAUCUGAUAUAUGGUUGGGGCAUUCUUUUGUGAGAAUUGAUCUUUGAAAUCUUGCCACACUUGAUGGACAGUCUUGGCAUGAACAACUGCUUUGGCUAGAUCAGGUUCCACCGAAUGAGCAAGCCAUGAUAAAAUCAUACUGUUGCAUUGAUUCCAGAGAGCAUAUUCGGUUGGUUGUUUUGUUUCUACAGGAGGUUGAACGGAUCCGUUGACAAAGCCAACUUUGUUCUUGGCCGUGAGAGCAUGGAGCAUGGAUUUACUCCAAGAUGGGUAAUUGGUGCCAUUCAACUUUAUGGGAACGAGCAUGAGACCGGGGUGAUCUGAUUGAUGAACAAAAUAUGGGUGUGAUGAAUCCAUACCAGGAUUUUUGGUGUUGGUGCUUGAAUUUUUGGAAGUAUUGUCUUUGGUUUCUAGUGGUGUUUGAUCUGACAUGAUGUUUGAAGGUGGGUAGGAAGUAGAAGGGGUCAAGUACCAGGAUGAAGCUCUGAUACCAUCUAAAGAAAGUAAAUGGUUGAAUAUUCUGUUGUAUUACCAAUGUCAAAUAGUACAAUACAUAUAUACAACAAUAGCCUUCUAUCAACCCUACUGUUAAGGCUUUGAAGACGUGAUCCAAUAUUAGUGGGAUUUGACCUACACUAAUUUGGGCAAGUAAAGAUAUUACAAAUAUUUACAAAGAUAUUUCCUAAUAUCCUCGUCGGGAAAAGAUGUUCUGGGACUUGGUGGAAGUUGUAGUGGAGGUUUCAGACAGAAUGCUGCUUCCAAAGUAUUCAAGUUCCCUAAUGCAGCCAAGGUUUGCUGAAUUCUAUACAUAAUGAAUAUGUUGCUUAAAUCUGGAUUCAUAUUUCAAAAUCAAUUGGCUUAAUCAAUUGGAUUCAUACAAUAUAGAUAUGUUUUUUACCUUUUGAAAAACGUAGAUAUUUUUCACAUACGUUUGAUUGGGAAAUGGUGAGUAGGGUGUACUUGUUAAAAUUACAUUUGUUUUACAAUUCAACAUAUCUUUUUUGGUCAUUUUAUAUUAGGUUAAAUUAGUAAUUUAAUAAACAGUUUGGUAAUAAGGUGUACUUAGUUAAUUUUAGGGUUCGUUUAACAGCAUUCUUUGAAACCCAUUCUCAAGCUUCUAAACCUUGAACCAUGUGUGUGCCAUGGAUUUAAUUUAUUUUUCUCAUUCUAUCUAAGAUCAACUUUGAUAAUAUUUUUCUUUGUUUACUGAUGAACAAAAGUUAUACUUUGCAAGUGCACUAAUCGAUAUGAUAGUAUAGCAAGCAAACACGAGAGUUGUUCCCACAGAGAUUUGUAAAGUUUAUCAAUUAAUUUCAAAUAUGAUUACCUUAAGAAAAGUGAAAAAUAAAAACGAAAUAUUAAAAGUACUAAAGUAGCCGAAAAUAAGAUUACUCAAUUUUAAUCUAAGUGUUGAAAAUCAAGAAAAUAAAAUAACAAAGGUUGAAAAUUGGUUUUGAAAAUCAAUGGAUGAAAACUAGGAUUCCGACUUCACCGUAACAAUCCCAUUCUAUGUAUUGAGUCAAUUUUGAGAAUAAAGUUCCAAUUCAAUUCUAAGGGUUUGUUCUCUCUUUAAUAUGAUGAUUCGUUCGGCCCCGGUGUCACCAAAUAUCCUCAAUUAAACCCAACUAAUGAACCCUAUAGUCAAAUUUAAUCGAGAACCCAUUAAGUUUACGAAGGACAGUCAAGAACCAAGAAGUGUCUUAGCUUGAACCCCGUCUUUAACAACAACUCAUUCAUUCAUAGUGCAUAUAAGAUUAGGGAUGAACCCCUCACCCAAUCCUAUCUUAGACAAUCCAAAAUACUUAUAAUGGUCAAUUACAAGUGUCAAGAUCACAAUUACAAUAAUGAAUGAAACAAGGAAUGUGAAUUGAUUAAAAAUAAGAUGUUAACUCAAUAAUAUGGAAUCAUCAUGUUAGGUUACAUCGGAUCCCUAGCAAAGAAUUUAGUUACCCAUAGCCAUCUUAGGAACAAACAAUAUACUAAUGAAAAUAGAAUACAAAGUUUGAAUUAAGAUAGAAAAAUAUUUAGAUGAAUCCACUGCAGUUAAACUCUUCCUUUGGCAAAUCUUGAAGGCUAUGAACGGCCAAGAAAGUGAGUAUGUGAAUUGGGUGAUUGAGAUAUUGAACAAUAUGCUAGCGUUCUCCUAAAAAAUCUAGUCUAAAAGAUGUAUUUAUAGGCCCUAGGACUUUUCUCUAAUCAUACAAGGAUUAGGAAACUUUAAAAUCCCAAAAAUCAUAGGAAAACUAGCCAAAAAUGCCAAAAAUUAUGCGCUAGAUUUGCGCCGUCCGCUCGAGUGCCAAAACGUAGUUACAUAGUUCAUAGCUUGAACCACUCGUAUGAAAACUGAUGUAACUUCCUCUAGAAGACUCGAAAUCACGAACUGUAACUUCUCUAGAAACUAGACUUCCAGAGCUUUCCAACGAAAAUUGGCAAGUUAUCUAAUUCUUCCCGAGCACGUACAGGUAAAUCCUUAAAAUUGACCUAUGUGCACAAGCAGUUUCUUGACUUGCAAGUUGCUAAUUCCAAAUUUCUAUCUUCUUUACUCAUUUUCGCUAUAUUUUGCUUCUUUUAGUGCCAACUCAAGCCUAGGGACAAUUUCCUACAAAACUCACACUAAACACAUCAAAACAACCAAUUUUAUAGAAGAAACUAAUGCAAAUCAUAGGAACAAGGCAUGAGAAAAAAGCACAAAUAUGGAGUCCACAAUUAUAUUCCUAAGUAUGCAGUUACCAAACAUAGGAAUGCAAUUUGAAACCCAAUCUCAAGCUCCUAAACCUUGAACCAUGUGUGUGACAUGGAUUUAAUUUGGUUUUCUCAUUCUAUCUAAGAUCAAUUUUGAUACUAUUUUUCUUUGUUUACUCUUCCAAUAUUUUUACAUUGAUAGAAUUUGGGUUAUACUUACUUAAGAUACCAAAUUUGUAAUAUUGAAAUUUAAUAAUUAUAAUAAAUUCUCAAGUAUAUCAUAGAGUUAUUUAAAGUUGGCACUCCUUAAUAGAAUUCUCAAAUAUAUCAAAAAGUUAUUUAAAGUUCACACUCUUUAAUAGAAUUCCUAUCUCCACUGUUGACAAGAAACUUGGAGUCCACUGGAUUCAAGACCUCGAGCCUGUCUCGAGAAUAAGUUUUACACGCCCAUGUGUACCUAAAAGUCCAAUACCUUCGUGUUGGCCAAGUUGUGGGCCAAAUUCAAGUCACCAUACUCUUCUUUCUGAAAAGUUCUAAAGGGAGUUUAGGGUAUUUUUGAUAUAAAAAAAAUAAAAAGAAAAGGAGUUUUAUCGACAAGCAGUAUUGGAUCUAGUACGGAGCCAGUGAAGGCACUAGCCCCACUCAGUUUUGUCUACACCUAUGAAGUGUCAAAUUUACAUGAUAUUUUCUAUUGAAUGGGGACAAAUUAUUUAAUAAAAAUGCCUCAAAGAAGGCUAAAGCGAGGCAAUAAGAGCAUGUGCAGCACUUCGGUUUGGCCUGGGCAAAAGGCCCCCCUGCUAGCCUAAAGCAACUCCAGCGCUUCAGUUCUUGCAUUUUCAAUUUCAUUUUUUUUAAUAAAUUAAUUAAGGAAAAAUAAAAAAGAGGAAAAUCAUUACAUAUAGCUUCUUAAGUGAAUAAUGUUCGCAGUCGGUUCCAGUGAUGCGUUCCGUGUCUGAAAUAAUGGCACUAUUAUGUCCUCCGAAGGAAUAUACUCCCCCACAUCGUGAUCUGGUGGAACCGCCUCUGUCAAUGAUUGAGUCGUUCUUGUACUCCAUUGUGUCGGACUAUGAGGAUCGAGAAUAUUUUAAUUGUAUGAUGAGUGAGUAGGUAUUUCAAUUGUAUGAUGAGUGAGAUGUGAAUUUUAUAAUAAAUAUGGACACGUGGCAACCAAAAAUUUUAUCCGAAAAAUGUUAUCUGAAAUUUUAAGUGAGAAUUUUAUAAUAAAUAGUGACAAGUAACAACCGAAAAUAUUAUCUAAAAAGCUUAUCAAAAUUAAUGAUUUAAGUAUAAAAAAAUAGAAAAUAAAGUAAAAUAAAUAGUAUUUUCCCUUGCCCUUUGAAGUGGAACUAAAAAAGACAAGACUAACACUUUUCACAUAAAUAGUGUAUGUUCUUGCCUUACCUUUGCCUCGUCCUUGCCUUUUGAUAUGGAGGUGCUCUAAAGUGGCAAGUGAAUGGCUGAGAAGAGCUGCAUUAGGCCAAACUUUACAGGUUGUUGGUAGGCUCCAUUAGCCACUGCAUGCUAGGCCAUACUUUAGGACAAUUUCUGGAUCCACUAGUGCCUCCUAAACUGUACACCAAAACCAUUCUUUAUUAUAAAAUAGUUGACCUUUGCUCAGACGCCCAUACUAACAUGGCAGAAGUAAAACAAUUGAACUUGAACACUAGAGGUGCUUGUUUGAAUAUGAAUAGCCACCUGGCGGCUGUGGAGCUCUUUUACAAUUUUCGUCUUAUCUCUCUUCUAAUUAAACAUUAAAUUACUUGCUUUCGACCGAAAAAGGAAAAAAGAGAUUAUGUUGUAAUGAAAGUAAUGAAUCCCACGUAAAGGAAAAGAAGGAAGCUUAGUCAAAAGUUUAAUGAUGAUGUUAGAAGCUUAAUGAUAAUGUUGGGUAAUGAAGCCAUCCAAUUUGCCUAUAGACUUGCUCAUUCAAUUGUAGAACACACCAAAGGAGAAGAGAAGAGAAAGAAGAGAAAGUGAGAGGAAAGAAGAGAGAGUGAGAAAUCUGAGUGUCUUAAGUUCUGUAUGAGAAGAAAUUCUGUCAGUGUAAACACUAUAAAGAGCAAAUAUAAUUCUACUCCCAAUAUUCAAUAGUACUUCCUAUACUUUGCUUAUUUUAUUUUUAUAACACGUUAUCAGCAUGAUAGUUUCUCCUUUUUAUUUCUAAAUCUUUCCCAACUGAACACUAUGUGAUUAUUUCUCUGUCUCAUCUCUGUCAUAUGUCUCUUCUCACUUUACUACUACGACGACAUGCAAACUUUCUUUUUUGUGUUCUCACAAUUUUUAUGUUGUUUCAUCCAUGCUUGUUUAAUUUACUUCUUUGUAACGUAAUUUGGAAUGGUGUGGUUUUAUACCCCAUCCAGUUAUUUUAUGGUGGUGUAAUUUUUAUUAUCCAUCGCGUUGUAACACAAAUUAUCAUAAGAAAAUGAUGGUGUGAUCUUAAAACCCAUCUAUUAUAUCUUGAACGGUGGCAUAGUUAUAUUGCCCACAAUAUAUAAUAUGUUAUAUAUUUCAUAUGUAUUAGGUGGUGAUUUUAUCCCCACAUUUAUUUUAUUUACGGGUAUGGAGUAGGUUUACCCAUACGACAAUAUUUAUUUAAAAGUGUGGCACAGGUUUAUUGUCCACACAACUGUAUUUACUUUUCAUUUAAAAGUAUGGAGUAGAAUUAGUGCCCAUACCAGCACGUUUACUUUAUCGCACAUUUACUUUUACUUAAAGUAUGAUGUGGAAUUAACCCUCAUACUUUAUGAAUUUACUUUUCCUCACAUUUACUUCUAUUUAAAGUAUGAUGCUGAAUUAACGUCCUUACAACAACAAUUUACUUUAUGAAUUUACUUUACCGCACAUUUACUUUUAUUUAAAGUAUGGUGCAGAAUUAAUGUCCAUACAAUAAGCAAUUUACUUUACCGCACAUUUACUUUUAUUUAAAGUAUGGUGCGGAAUUAACGUCUAUACAAAGCAAUUUACUUUUAUUUAAAGUAUGGUGCAGAAUUAACGUUCAUACAACAAGGAAUUUACUUUAUGAAUUUACUUUACCGCACAUUUACUUUUAUUUAAAGUAUGGUACGGGUUUAUCGUCCAUACCUGCAAAUUUAUAGCACUUUAUUUUUAUUAUUAAUUAAUAUACAUGAAUAAAGAGGGCCUGAAGUUCCACAAAAAAAAUAUAGGGCCUGAAGUUUCUAUUAAUAAAUGGCUUAAUAUCCUAGAUCCCGAGCCUAAAGUUUUGGGUAAAAUAUGCAAGAUAUUUUUGGCCAGAAGUUCAAAAAUAUAUUAAGCCUGAAGUCCCGAAAUAUGUGCAGGAAAUUAUAAAAAUGUCCAUACUGUGAGAAUAUGUGAUUUUGGCUUGAAGUUCAAAGUCUAACAGUAUUGAGAACCUGAAGUUCCAACAAUCAAAUGGACAACCCUUAAGGCAUUAUUGCAAAUUGUGUUGCCCAUUCAUAUGGCUUGGGUCCAAGGGGCAAUCCAUCCACGAGUGGCAAAAAUGCAUCCUGGAAUAAGGGGAAAGCACAGACAAGCUAUAUGCCUAGAAAUGUUGAAGGCGCUUGUCAUAGAUAUGGUGCAAAGUAUAUUGGGCACGUACAUGCUGUACGCCGAAUCAUUUGGUGGAUCUUUAUCAAUCGUCACUUAAGAACAGGAAAGUGAAGACAAAUUACAUUGAUCAAGUUAUACCAGAUCUGCAAGCCACAGAUGACCCAUCGGAGUGUUUAUCAAUCUUCACUCAGACAUGACGCAUCUGAAUGUUUCCGAUUUUGCAAUUGAAAGAUGGAAUGAAGUUUAUGGGUCCGAAUUAGAUUAAAUUUCUUAAUGUGCCAUUUGUAUUAUCUGAAGUGUUGUUUUUUAAAUUUCCAUUUCAAUCCAAUAAAAGUGACAAUGUUUUCUAUACAUUGAAUAGAAUAAUUGUUUAUUGAUUCAGCUUAUUUUAUUUAUUUGAAGGGAUGGAUGUAAAUUAUGGAUGCCCUCAAAACGAAAGUUAUGGCAAAAAUAUUUGUCUUGCAGACAGCGCGACUACUCAUACGAUCCUUCGAGAUCAAAAGUAUUUCUCAAACUUGAUGCUUACAAAAGCAAAUGUAACAACUACAUCAGGUCCUACAGAUCUGAUUGAAGGCUCAGGAACGGCCCAAGUCAUGUUACCAAAUGGAACAACACUGUCCAUUCAAGAUGUUUUGUAUUAAUCUAACUCCAGAAGAAAUCUAUUGAGUUCCAAAGAUAUACAUUUGAAUGGCUACCAUGUUGAAACAAAGAAUGAGAAAAACAUGGAAUAUCUUUGCAUUACCUCCAGUGAUACCCAGAAGUGUCACUACUACAAAAAGUGAAAAAGACGACCAGAAAACAACGACGGUCUAAGUGAAAACCGUCGUGGUUUAUAAAAAGACGACGGUUCUAAAAACACCGUCGUGUAAUACAACCUUAGACAACUAAAAAAUGGAGUUUCAAAUGGCUGUUCAAAAACAACGACGUACAUAAUUAAACAACCGACGUCUAUUUGAAACAGAUUUCCUCAGUGUAAAAUCAAUGCCAACAAAGAACGGCAGAAGUUAUGAAUCGACCGACGUAGAAAGUAAAGACGACGAUUUCAAUAAAAACUGCCGUUUUUACUCAUAAAAUAACACGACGAGGUUUUCGUAUAAGACGCCGUAUAAUUACAAACAAAUCCACGGCUUUAAAAUACAAAAUAUCGCCGUAUUAAAUUAAUUUACAACGACGGAAAAUAUAAAUAUAUCGACGUCAUUCUCGUAUAGUUCUACUACGUUAUCUUUAAAUCGUACAAUAAAAUUUAUCGUCGUAUUUAUUCAUUUUAUACGUCGUACCUUUAAUUUUAACGGUCGUCUUAAUAAGAAUUUUUGUUAACAAUUUUUUUCUUUGAUUUUCUUAUCCUACGUCGGUAGAUCUACUUAAUGACAAGAAUUGAAAUAACCACGACGGUUUAUAUAGAACACCGCCGACAUAAUCAGUUUUGUCUGAGAUCCCAAGGGUUACGAAAUCUUACCAGAUGGAACUCUGUUCCACAUCAUAAUCUUAACAGAUGACACAGAUUUGCAAAUAUUGCGUCGUGUUAGUUUACAAAUUCUAGAACAUUAAUUUCCCUCAUUUUAAAUUUCCUCGGGAAAGAAAAAUCUAUUUAUCACGCUUUGGAAUUGAAAACUAAAACUGAAAGAAUACGGGAAAAAAAACUCCAUUUAUAAUUUAAAAUUAAAAUCCACGUCGGUUGUAGUACACUUAACGACGUUUAACAAAAUAAUCUACGUCGGUAAUUAUAAAUCUACCGCCAUCGUAACUUAAUAUAGACGACGAGAAAAGACGACGGUAGAACAGAAAACCGCCGUUGUUUCAGUUUCUUUAACAUAUCUUUCUGCAGGACUUGUGUAGUUCAAAGCAUUGACAAUGUCUUCAUCAUAUCUCCCAGAAACUACUGAUUCAAUUGCUCAUGCUUUAGAGGCCAUCUGAAGCCAUUUCUAUUCUUUAUCGCAUUCUUGAAACCCAUCUUCUUCUUCUGAAGCUCUACGGAUAAAGGAAGAGGCUAUCACAAUAAAUCCGACGGAUCUUCUUAGGCAAGAAAAUCAAGCAGAGGAUCAGGCACAUCUGAUCUUCAGAUUUCCCUGAGAAGCGAACUUUCCUUCGACAGCGAGUGGAGGCCAGGCUUGCAUCUCUUUUGAUGGAAAGCAAGGAGUAUUCAGAAGCACUAAGUGUCCUAUCAGGCUUGAUCAAGGAAGUGAGAAGGCUAGUUGACAAGCUUCUUCUUGUGGACAUAUAUUUGAUGCGAGUAAGCUCAAUUUCUCUUUGAGAAAACAUCCAAAUUAUUAUCUUUGAGACAUGAGAGACUGAGAGAGGAAGAACUUGGAACCUUAAAUGUAAACCGAAAAUGAAUGAAAGCGACAAAUUUAUAGAAUAAAUUUUUAAAACCAACGGCGGUCCUUACAAACAAACCGCCGUUUAAAUUGUAAAAUCAACGUCGGUAUGAUCGACGUAUAUUACAGAAAUCCACGUCGGUAAAUUAAUAAAAACGACGUGUUAAAUAAUAUACCAUGACGCGAGUUAUUACUUAUGUACUUUAAUUUUUGAGUUUACUACGACGGUACCUACAAACUACUGUCGUAUUUAUUUACCACGUCCGAAGUUAAAUGUACCGUCGUAUUUUGUAAUUUAUACGUCGUAGUUAUAUGUAACCGCCAUAUUAUUUUUUUGAAAUGGUUUUAUAUGUAAGCAACUUUUCGUCUACUUGACUUACACAUUUGUUGUUUUUAUAUUCUUAUUUUAUUUAAAUCUGUCAUCCAAAAAAGAAACUUUACAUAUUGCAGAAUAUUAAUUUCCUUCGUUUUAAAUUUCCUCCGGAAAAAAAACUCUAUUUAUAACGCACUGUAAUUGAAAAAUAAACUGAAAGGUCACGGGAAAAAAAAUUCUAUUCAUAAUUUAAAAAUUAAAAUCCACGUCGGUUAUAUUAAACCUAACGACGUUAAAUGAAAUGAUUCCACGUCGAAUGAAAAAUAUUGCGUCGUUUUAGUUAAAAACGACGUAGUUAAAUGUAACCGCCGUAUUAUUUUUUUGAAAUGGUUUUAUAUGUAAGCAACUUUUCGACUUACACAUGCACUGUUUCCAAACCCGAUUAAAAAUUUCAAUCUCCCAGAGAAACCUUUUCGUCUUUUUUCCUUGUCAGAGCAUUGUCAGAGUUUCUCAUCGUCUUCCUCUCGUCUUCUUCGUCGUCUCUGAACUUAAACAUCGAUCAUCUUCCUCUUGCUUUCAUUGCACGCAAAAGGUAAGCUUUCAUUUUCACUAUUUUGGUUACUGUUUUGCAUGCUCAUACGUUUUUUGUUUGAAAAAUCUUUUUACCUUUUUUCUGGCCAAAAUCAUUUUACUUCUUUCCAAGUUUGAUAAAAUAUACAGACAAAGAGAGAAAGUUUCCAACUUUGAAGACAACUACAUCAACUAAAUAAGACGACGGUAGACCACGACGGUUCGUCAGUUGUUCUAGCGUCGUCUGAAAAUUGACAAAGUUGUUUUUAAAAUAAUAGUCUUUUUUUAUAUGCUUGUUUAAUUGCAGGUUUGAUUUCGCUGAACAAUGGUUUUUGUUUUUCCCUUAUUUGAUAAAAUAUAAAGAAAAAGAAACUAGGGUUGGUAUCUAAUAUAGACGAUAAAAUAUAAAUAAUAGUUUACCACGACGGUGUAUUACUAUUGACGUCGUGUGAACAUAUAUACCACGACGUUAUAUAAAUAAUGGUUUUAAACAUUUAUUACGUCUGAGAUUAUUUCAUUGCGUCGUCUAAAAUCAUAUCAUACGUCGUAUUUUUUUAAUACCGUCGUUUGUGUUCUUAAUGUUUUCCUGAAAUAUUUUCACUUGCAGUUUUGUCUGUUAAAAUGGUUUCUCAACAACAAACUAAGGAUUCUGGCUCCAAGAAGCUUGGAAUGGUAGCUCCUCAAGAUAAGUCUUCGAAGGAGAUGAAGUCUUCGAAGAAGAUGAAGUUUGCUUCAUCAUCUGCUGAGACAGAACAAACCAGCCAGACAACAAUCUCAGAUGAUUCAAAGACUGGUCGAGGUAUGAGCACAAUGCCUCGUGUUGUGAAGAGAAAGCUUCAGAAACUGAGGCCAAUUGUUGAGUACAAUAAAAGGGGGAAAGGUGUUGGCCAAGCACAUAUUGAGAUGCAGUCGUAUAUUGGUGUGUUGGCACGCUCCAGGAUCCCACUUGUGGACAAGAAAUGGUCCCAAAUCCCCAAGGAUAUAAAGGAGCAGAUUUGGGAAGCAGUUGACAUGGCUUUUGUCGUAGGCCAAGGGGGCAAGACCUCUGUUUUAGCUUCUGCUUCCAAGAAAUGGAAGGAUUUCAAGUCUACACUAACGAGGCAUUAUAUCCUUCCAUACACCAAUGACAGGGAGAAAUUAAGCCAACCCCCUGAAACAUAUAAAUUCAUAGAGAAAGCACAAUGGGAUGCCUUUGUAGCUUCAAGGCUAUCCAAAGAUUUUGAGUCUGUGCAUUCUCAACAUGCACAGAUUAGGGAGAAACUCGAGUACAAUCAUCGAUUGUCUCGAAAAGGAUAUGCUGGAUUGGAGGAUCAAUUGGAGGAAACCAUGCCUGGGGUAGAAAUUGAUCGAUCUACCUUAUGGAAGAGAGCUAGACAGGACAAACAUGGUAACAUCCCUGAUCCAAAGGUGGCAGAGAAGGCAAAAUUAAUUGUAAGCCUACUCACUCUGUUUUAAAUUUUUAUUAAACUGUGAAUUAUUCUUAUUAUGUCGUAUGUUAUAUUUUUCGUCGUGUGAAUGAUAUUACCACGUCGAAAAGUUUUUAAAAACGUCGUUAAAGGUCUAAAUAGGAAUCACUACUAUGUUUUCUGUAAUUACAGCAUAAGACGUCGGUGGUUCAUUUUCGCGUCGUGUGAAUGAUAUUACCACGUCGAAAUUUUUUUAAAAACGUCGUUAACGGUCUAAAUAGGAAUCACUACUCUGUUAUCUUUAAUUAUAGCAUAAGACGUCGGUUGUUUAUUCAUUUCGUCGUUUUAAAUAAAUAACCACGUCGGUAUAACUACCGUCGUGAUAAGUUAUAAUAACGUCGGUUUAUACGUUAUUGCGUCGUGUGAAAUUAUAUAAUACGUCGUUUGUACAUAAAUAACCGUCGUGUGUUUUUUUGUUUAUCUUUGUUUUAGGAUGAAUUGCAGAAACAAGUCUCGGAAGGCAAAGUCAGAGUAGAUGGCAGCAAUGAUGUGCUGACCAUGGCUUUGGGCCCCGAGCAUCCAGGCAGGGUGAGGGGAGUUGGUGCUGGUGUUUCCCCAAGGCAAUAUUUCAAUUUGCCCAAACCACAGAGGGUGAGCUUUGACGACCGUUUGAAGGAGAGUUUAAGAGUUCUCCUUCAAGAAGAGACUAAAAAGAUGGAGGCUAAGGCAAGGGAAGAGGCCUUAAGGAUGGAGGCUAGGACAAAACAAUUGGUAGAGGCUGAGAGGGAGCAUUUCCUGAGUCAGCUUUCCCAAUUAAUUCCCAAUUUUGAUCCAAGCAUGCUUAAACCAAGAAUUAGCCAAAGCCCCAAAAAUCCAAUGUCUGACAAAGCUAGCUGCUCUGGAGGUGAUGUGAGAUCCCUACAUUUGGAGGAUGAUACUGCCAAAAUGGGGAAACAUCAGCCAGAUGAAGAGAAGGAAGAAGAAAAAAGAGAUGAAGAGAAGGAAGAAGAAAAGGAGAAAGAAGAUGAAGAAAAGCAUGACGACAAGGUAUGUUCACAUAACUUUGCCUUUUUUAUUUGUUUUUCAAAAUUUCAGACGUCGAUAUUUUUAUUUAAUCCGUCGUUUGUUUAAAACUUAGACGGCGGAAUUUUUUUAAGACGUAAUAAAAUAUUUAAACGACGGUUUUUGCACCGUCGUUUAAAUGGUUUCAGACGACGCUUUAUUCAUAAAACCGUCGUCUUUAUUGAAUUACCACGACAGUUUUUUCACCGUCGUUUAAAUACUUUUAAGACGACGUUUUAUUACUUAAACCGUCGUCUUUAUUGAAUUACCACGUCAUUUUUUUUAUUUCUUUAAACAGGUUAUUGAAGUUGGUGCUUAUUCAAAAAUGGAGGCGCCAUCUUCUUUAAAAACCCUUUGUCGUUUUGUGGAAACGACACUCCUGCCUGAGGAUAAGACAGUCCAAUUUACAAUUGAUAAGGAGGUGUUUGGUGGUGAGCGCGAUACCUUCCUCCUGCCUGAAGAUAUUACACAAUUUGCAGGCAUGGAAGAAAUUGGAGCUACUGUAUUGGCUGUAUAUAUGAGGUUUGUACUUCUAAAAUAAUAACUCGUUGGUUUAUAUAUUGCGUCGUCUUAACUAACUAACCACGUCGUCUUAACUAACAACCGUCGUGAUAAAUAUAUUAUAACGUCCUCAUCUAUUUCAGUACGUCGUGUGAAAUAUUAUAAUACGUCGUUUUUUUAUACAUAACCGUCGUGUUUUGUGUGCUGACUUGUUUAUAUUAUUUUAUUUGUUUAGGUACUUACACGAUGUUUUGAAAAAAGCCAAUAUGUGCAGUAUGGUUGGCUUUAUCGACCCUGCUACAGUUAGUGCCAACUCUGGCACAAUAACUGAAAGAUCACGACUCGUAGCAGCUCGACUUCAGAAGACAGACGGUGAACAGAUUUUCAUGAUGCCUUACAAUCCAGGGUUAGUCUCCUUAGGAUUUUGUUUUUAUGAUUUUCAAUAAAUGACAGCUUAUAAACUAACCACGUCGGUGUUUUAUUUUAUUUAGUCGUUUGAAACUACUAACCACGUCGGUAUUUAUUUAUCGUCGUGAUAAAUAUAUAAUGUCGUCGUUAGCUACUUUACUUCGUCGUGUGAAAUACUAUAAUACGUCGUUUUUGUAAAUAACCGUCGUUUUUAUAUUAAUUUUGUGCAGCCGUCAUUGGAUUUUGCUGAUUGUAAGAGCAAAGAGAGAAACCGUCUAUUUUCUGGAUCCUCUGCCAGGAAAUCGUGUGGUCGAUGAAGAGGCCAAAAACAUCGUGAACAGUGCUUUAAAAAUAUAUAAUACCCACAUAGCCCGAGCAGGACGUAAAAAUGUAAUUUGGAAAACUCUCUCAGGCACACCAAAGCAACCCAGCAAUGUCGAAUGCGGGUAUUAUGUAAUGCGCUUCAUGAGGGACAUCAUCAUGGAUCCUUCCUUGGGGUUUGAGAAUAAGGUAAGAAGAAAUUACCUUCAUACAUUUCACGUCGUUUUUUGUAUUAUCAACGACGGUCGUGUAAAAUUAACGUCGUUGAAUGGAUAUACUACGUCGGUUAUGAAAAAUAUCGUCGUCUGUGAUUGAAUUUCUUUUUAUUUAUAAACCCUAAUAGUCAUUGUUUAUGCAGUAUGCCAAGGGAAACCAGGAAGCUUCAUACCCCCAAGAAGCCAUUGAUGAAGUCCGGAAUGAAUGGGCAGAGUUUGUUUUCCAAAUUAUUAAACAGGGCAAUUAUUGAACACUUGAUAUUUAUGUAUAAUGUACCAAUUUUCUCUAUAAUAUGUAAUGUAAAAAUUUGUUGAGGUUUUCUUAAAUUAAAAAAAAAACAAACAUACAAAUUGCUUAACCGACGUGUAAUACUUUUCCAACGACCUAAUAAAGUCAAUAACCGUCGUAUUUUGUUGUUGCGUGUUUUAAACAAAUACGACGUAAAAAAAUAGUUAGACGACGUUCUUUGAACAAUUGAGUCGUUAAUGGUUUACAAUAUCUUCAAUUUCUUAAGGGUUCAGGGUAUAAUCGACGACGUUUAUGUAACGACUACGGUUAAGUCGUGGAAUAUAUAUUUUACGUCGUAUAGUUAAAUAGCCGCCAUGGUUUCUCAUUUUAACGACGUCAUUUUAACGACUUAGUAGUCUAUUACAAUUUACAACGUCUACAAUUUAUUUAACACCGACGUGGUUUGUUGUAUGGUAAGAAUAUUUUAUUAUUUUUAUAUCAAAAUAUUCAAAAUAAAUAUAAAAUAAAUCAGAAAAUUGAAAAGUCAACUCCUAUGAAGUCAUUGAUAUAUUUUCUUCCACAUAAACCUUGAAAAAAUUCAUUUUGAAUAACAAAAAUUUAAAAUGACCAUCCAAAACAAAAUUGUUUUGAUGAGUCAUAAAAUCACUUCUAGUUUUAUGGUUUAGGGUUUAGAGUCUAGGGUUUAGAGAUUAGGGUUGUUAUUUAUUGGGGUUUAUUUUUAAAGUAUAAUUUUUGGGUAGUCUAUGUUAUAUGUUAGGCUUUAAAACCAUAAAACCUUUUAUAAACUUAAUUUUUUAAAUUGUAUAAUUUAAUUUUAUGGGUUUAGUGUAUUAAUUUUUAACGACGGUGGUUGGGUCGUGGAAUACAUAUUUUACGUCAUACAGUAAAACAUACGACAUGGUUUACGCUUUAAACGACGUUAUUUUAAUAUGUAAGUCGGUUUAUAUAAUUUACAACGUCUUUAAUUUCUUAACACCGACGUGGUUUUUCAGUCGUCGUUAUAUAAAAAAUUCAAAAUAAAUUUAAAAUUAAUCCGAAAAAUGAACGGCCUUACGUUCUUAAUCCGAAAAAUGAAGUUUCCGUCGUGGAAUAUUAAAUUUACGUCGGUACUUGUAGAACUUUCGCCUUGGUUUUUCUUUCGACGUUUUAUAACGCGCGCGCUCUAAAAAUUUUCGCGCGACCUAAAUUUUUUUAGAUUUGGCUCUUAGCCUUAUACUUUGAUCCCUGAAACCUAAAAUUUCAGAUUUCACGCGACAUAACAUUUCGCUCUCUCACUUCUGCUCUAAUUAAAAGUUGCACUCUCCAGGCUCGUCGAAUCUGUGAGCUCGUCCAACCUGUAAGUACAAACCCUAUCUUCCCCUUGUAAAUUCAUUGAAUGAUAUUAGGUUGUUUUGUUAAAGGGUUUUAGGUAUAUGCUUUGCGAUCUGUUAAUAAUGUGCUUAUAGGUAUGGGUUCAUGGAUUUUCUGUUUAAUGGGUUCAUGACAAGAUCAAAUAAAGGUGUACUUUUGCUGUUUAAUGGGUUCAUGGAUUACAUUAUCUGUUAUGUUGAAUUGGGAAUGGAUUUAAUUUUGUCGUAUCUUUUAAUCACCCUAUGUUAUGUUGAAUUGGGAAUGGAUUUAUUGUUUUCAUGCUUGGUUUCAUGUAUAUGUUGGUUUCUUGCUUGGUUUCAUAUAUAUGUUGUGUUCUUAAUGGGUUUUGUGUUCUUGAAAAUAAACUGAGACACGACGAAUUUUAAGGCGUACGACGACGAUUACACGACGGUGUUUUUAAACUACCGUCGUUGUAUUACUUAUACACGACGGUUUUUUCAUAAACCGUCGUUUGUAUUACGUAUAAUAGACGACGUCUGUUGAAAAUCCGUCGUCUAUAUAUGCCAAAUACGUCUGUUUUUGAUUAAAACCCGUCGUCUCUGUUGUUUAUUACUUGCGAUUAGAUCAUUGUAUAAUCUGCUAUAGUGAUGGUCAUUGCCUGUAUUUUCACUUUAUUAUAGAUAAUAGGUUAUAGUGUCGGAGAUGGAUAAGUCAUGGAUGCACUCGGAUAGAAGAUCGAAGGCAUAUGAGUUUGGGGUGGAAGCAUUUUUGAACUUUGCUGUAGAAAAUCUUCUAACUACAACACAUAUCCGUUGUCCAUGUGUUAAAUGUGUUAAUUUGAAGUUGUUUGGGGUUGGAAUUAUAAGGGAUCACUUAUACUUUAAUGGAAUUGACCAAAGCUAUAAGAAUUGGACAUUUCACGGAGAACCUUGGGAAGCAACUACUAAUGCUAGCAGAAAUGUUGAAGAAGAUGAUGGCCAUAGUAGGUACAGUUUUGUGUCUGAAGAAAUUGAUAUGGAUGAUAAUGAUUUUGGUGAUUUUGGUUCGGAUCCGUAUGAGUUUGCCAAUGUGAUUGGGGAUGGAGAUCAACCAGUGUACCCUGGUUGUAGAAAGUACACGAAGUUAUCGGCAUUAGUGAAGUUGUAUAAUUUGAAGGCAAAACAUGGGAUGAGUGAUGUCUGUUUUACAUAAUUAUUGAUACUUCAAGGCGAUUUGCUUCCAGAAGGAAAUACAAUACCAACCUCCAUGUAUGAGGCUAAAAAGACUUUGUGUGCAUUGGGGCUGAGUUAUGAGAAAAUGCACGCAUGCCCCAAUGAUUGCAUCUUGUAUAGGAAGGAGUAUGAGGAUUCAACUAAUUGUCCUACUUGUGGUAUCUCAAGGUGGAAGGAAGGCAAAGAUGCAAUCUUGAAAGAGGGUGUGCCAGCGAAGGUGGUGUGGUAUUUUCCCCCAAUUCCAAGGUUUAAAAGGAUGUUUCAAUCACAUGAGACAGCUAAGAGUUUGACUUGGUGGCAUGUUGCUAGAAAAUCAAUUGACGGUCAGAUGUCUCAUCCGGCGGAUUCCCCGUCUUGGAAACUUCUUGAUGAUAAAUGGCCUGAGUUUGGUAAUGAGCCGAGAAACUUGAGAUUGGCUCUUUCAUCUGAUGGAUUCAAUCCCCACAGUUCUCUAAGUAGCAGAUAUAGUUGUUGGCCGGUUAUCUUAGUUACAUAUAAUCUCCCUCCAUGGCUGUGCAUGAAACGAAAGUUCAUGAUGUUAACCUUAUUGAUUUCCGGUCCUAAACAACCCGGAAAUGAUAUAGACGUCUACUUGGAGCCUUUGAUUGAUGAUUUAAAAUCCUUGUGGGUUGGGAUUAGAGGAGUGUAUGAUGCACAUAAUGGAGAAUACUUUACACUCAGAGCUGCAUUAAUGUGGACAAUUAAUGAUUUCCCCGCCUAUGGAAACUUAUCUGGUUGUGUUGUUAAAGGAUAUAAAGCUUGUCCAAUAUGCGGCGAUGAUACACCUAGUCACAGGUUGAAAAAUGGCCACAAAAUUUGUUACAUUGGGCAUAGAAAAUGGUUACCAAUCAAUCAUCCAUAUAGGAGGCAACGUGCAGCUUUUAAUGGGAAACCUGAAUAUGGCAUACCUCCAGAGCCAUUAACCGGAGAAGAAGUGCUGCAUAUGGUUGAAAAUGGUGACAGAGUUUGUUGGAAGAAGAAAUCAAUAUUCUUUGAUCUCGAGUAUUGGAAAUACCUUCCUGUGAGGCAUGCCCUAGAUGUUAUGCACAUUGAGAAGAAUGUUUGCGAUAGUAUCAUUGGUACAUUGCUGGAGAUCCCUGGAAAAAAUAAAGAUGGGAUUGCUGCUCGAUUAGAUUUAUUGAACAUGGGGGUCAAAACUGAUUUGCAACCCGAGUAUGGAGAAAGACGUACUCGUUUGCCUCCUGGGCCUUGGAAUUUGUCAAGAGCAGAGAAGAGAGAGGUUUGCAAUUCUUUCUAUGGUAUGAAGGUCCCUGAAGGUUAUUCUUCCAAUAUUAAAAAUCUUGUAUCUGUACAAGAUUCAAGACUUCUUGGCCUUAAAUCACAUGAUUGUCAUACCUUAAUGCAACAAUUGCUCCCUGUGGCAAUUCGUUCUGUUUUGGAGAAGCCUGCAAGGUAUGCAAUAACUCGUUUGUGCUUCUUCUUCAAUGCUAUAUGUGCAAAGACUGUUGAUGUUUCCAAGCUAGAUAAGUUGGAAGAAGAUGUAGUAGUUACUCUGUGUUUGCUUGAGAAGUACUUUCCCCCUUCAUUCUUUGAUAUCAUGGUUCAUCUAGUAGUACAUCUUGUCAGAGAAGUUCGUCUAUGUGGGCCAGUAUAUUUUAGGUGGAUGUAUCCGUUUGAAAGAUAUAUGAAAGUGCUGAAGGGGUAUGUUCAGAAUCGUACUCGUCCCGAAGGUUGCAUUGCUGAGCGGUAUAUAGCUGAAGAAGCGGUAGAGUUUUGUACUCAGCAUUUAUCUGAUGUUAGUACAGUUGGAGUGCCUUCAAGCCAAAAGAUGGGAGUUUCAAAGCCAUUAUCAGGUUGCACAGUGAGCGUAGUUGAUCAGGACCUGUUGAAUCAAGCACAUCUAUAUGUCUUGGAGAAUACGGAGGAAGUCCUACCUUAUAUCGAGUACGUAUGAGUUUUAUUCUUUAAGUUUCCAUUUAAAAUUAUUUCUUAUGUUUAUCUUAUAUAUUUGGGACCGUAAUGCUUGAAUUUUUCGUGUCAUGUAGGCAACAUAUGAUCCACAUCAAGACUGCUUAUCCAAAAUUUAGAAAGAGAACAAAGUGGCUGCAGGAUAAGCACAAUAGCACUUUCAUUCAAUGGCUACGCUUCAAGGUAUAUGUUGUUGAAUAACGUAUUUCUCUUUUAAUUUUCUUCUUAUUUAUAUGUUAGGAUGAAUUAAGAUAUGAUUAAUUUGCAGGUUCAAAGUGAAGUUGAGGAAGACAAUCAUGGCGUAUCAGAAAAUUUAAGGUGGCUAGCAGCUGGUCCAAACAUGUCAGUGCCAUUAUAUAGGAGCUAUCUUAUUAAAGGUAUUAAAUUCAAUAUCAAGGCACAAGAUGAUGUGCGGACAACUCAAAAUAGUGGAGUUUAUUUACUUGCACAUACCAUGCAAGUUGCUAGUGCCAAGGAUAAAAACCCAAUUCUCUCAAAUAUGGGUUUCUAUGGUGUCAUUCAAGAAAUUUGGGACCUUGACUACCAAAAGUUUACAAUCCCAGUCUUUAGGUGUGAUUGGAUAGAUAGUUCUGGUCUUGUAGUCGACGAACUUGGAUUUACCCUUGUAGAUUUGAGUAAAAUUGGACAUAGGAAUGACCAAUUUGUUUUGGCUUCUCAAGUCAAACAAAUAUUUUUUGUUGACGACCCGAUGCAUCGUGGUUGGUCGGUAGUGUUAUCAAUGCCUAGUAGAGAAUAUAAUGAUGUUAUUGGUGAUGAAGUAUUAGGUGAUGUGAUAAUUGAGUGUGAGCCAUUUACUAGAGGGAUGCCAAAUGUUGACACAUUUGAUGAACUGGUAGGUGAGUUAGGCGGUCAAAAUGUNNNNNNNNNNNNNNNNNNNNNNNNNNNNNNNNNNNNNNNNNNNNNNNNNNNNNNNNNNNNNNNNNNNNNNNNNNNNNNNNNNNNNNNNNNNNNNNNNNNNNNNNNNNNNNNNNNNNNNNNNNNNNNNNNNNNNNNNNNNNNNNNNNNNNNNNNNNNNNNNNNNNNNNNNNNNNNNNNNNNNNNNNNNNNNNNNNUAUUGUGAAGCAAUUAUUCAGGAUAUCACGUCGGUGAAGGAUAAAGAACCGCCAUGUAAUUCAAAAUAACACGACUCCAAUCCCAUAAUACCGACGUCUAAAAAACGAGAUAUGUAAUCUGAACGUUAAAAAAUACGACGUCAUCAUACAUUUUCCACGUCGCAAGUUCUUUUAUAAACGAAGAGGAACGAAAUUAAUUCCGACGGAAAUUCAUUAUAACCGCCGUCUAAUAACAAUUAAACGACGUUAUUUGUAAUACGGCUCCCAUCAUAAUCUACGCCGUCUAUAUGUUCUGUAAUACGGCUCUCAUUUAUUUGGAACCGACGUUGUUUAGACGUUCAACGUCGUCUAUAUUAUUAAGUGCGUCGUGAGUAAUGAAUACAUAUAAAUACAACGUCGACUAUAUAAAUGUAUACGUCGUAAAUAAUGACACUGACAACUAUUUCCACGUCAUCUUUUUUAGAUAAAAUCGAAGUGGAAAAUUUAUUUCACGACGGUUUUUUGUAAAUAAGAGACGUUGUAGAACUUUAGCAGACUAAACACGUCUGUUUUUAUUGUUUUCCGACGUUGUUGUAUUUAACAACGUCUAAUAUUUAUGGUCGUUGUUUGUUUCUGAAAAUAGGACGUAUAAAUUUUUUAAUACGACUCUCAUAUAUUUGUAACUGACGUUGUUUAGUUUUUCAACGUCUACUAUAGAAACACAUACGUCGUAAAUAAUGACACUGACAACUAUUUCCACGUCAUCUUUUAUCAAAAAAUCGAAGUGGAAAAUUAAUUGUACGACGGUUGUGUUUAUAUGUGCGACGUAGUAGGUAUCAAUAACGUCGUCUUCUAAUGUAUUUAAAGACGUCAUAUUUUUUAUUGUCGUGAAAAUUAUAUUUAACGUCGGCGUAUUUUUAUUGUCGUCGUUGUAUGUCUAUCUUGCGGCCUUGUUCUCUUAAUAUGUGUCAUAUUUUCCCUUUUUAACGACGGUCUUUUUAGAGAAUUGGUCGUCUAUUAUCAUCAUCGAUUGCUUUUUUUAGAUCUUUUGCAGUACAAAGACGUCGUUUUGUAUUUUUUGAUGACGUUGUAUUGUUUAACAACGACGGUUAUUUAGCGUCGUGGUUUAUGAGGGAAAAGAUGACGGUGGAUUCCACGACCAUUGAAAAACCAAAUACACGACGGUGAUUUACCGUCGUCUUUUUGCUUUUUUGUAGUAGUGUGUAUACUGGAGAAGUUUUGUGCGCUCUCAUUAGGAUUGCACUAUACAACCAUACGGACAAUUGAGGCACAUAGUGUCAUGGACCAAGAGUUCAUUGACUCAAAUGAUUUUAAGCUUUGGUAUGACUGGGUGGGUCAUCCUGGAUCCACCAUGAUGCGUAGGAUCAUCACCAACUCUAAAGGACAUCCCUUAUUGACAAAACACAUUAUGGCAUCAAGUGACAGCUUUUGCCAAGCUUGUUCACAAGGGAAGUUGGUGAUCAGACCAUCACGACCAAAGGUUGAUGUUGAGUCCCCAUCAUUUUUGCAAAGAAUCCAAGAGGACAUUUAUGGGCCUAUUCAUCCUCCCUGUGGACUAUUUCGGUACUUUAUGGUCUUAGUGGAUGCAUCUACCCGAUGGUCGCAUAUUUGCCUUUUGUCCACUCGGAAUAUGGCAUUUGCUAGGCUCUUGACUAAGAUAAUUAAAUUACGAGUCCAAUUCCCAGAUUAUCCCAUUAAGUCAAUCAGACUCGAUAAUGCUGGUUAAUUUACAUCUCAGACUUUUGAUGACUACUGCAUGUCAUAGUCAUUGACAUUGAACAUCCUGUUCCCCAUGUUCAUACUCAAAAUGGUUGGCAGAAGCUUUAAUUAAGCGUCUUCAAUUGAUAGCAUGCACUUUGUUAAUGAAAAUAAAGUUGCCAGUUUCUGCUUGGGGAUAUGACAUUUUACAUGCAGCAUCACUGGCGCAGUUAAGGCCCGUAACCAACAAUCAAUAUUCUCCAAUACAACUCGUGUUGGGUAAUCAACCAAACAUUUCCCAUUUAAGAGUUUUUGGGUGUGCGGUAUAUGUGCCAAUUGCACCACCGCAACGUACUAAGAUGGGCCCUCAACGCAGAUUGAGAAUUUAUGUUGGUUUUGAUUCCCCAUCUAUCAUCAGAUAUUUGGAGCCCCUGACGGGUGAUAUCUUUACCGCACGAUUUGCAGAUUGUCAUUUUGAUGAGACAAUCUUCCUACCAUUAGGGAGAGAAAAAUCUGUUCCUAAAGAACAACAAGGCAAACUCGUUCAUGAAGAACGACAUGAAUUAUCGUGGGACGUACCCGCUUUGUCUCAUCUCGAUCCUCGUAUCGCUCAAUGCGAAAACGAAGUAAGAAGGAUCGUUCACCUCCAAAGUAUUGCAAAUCAGAUGCCAGAUGCAUUUAAUGAUGCAGCAAAGGUGACGAAAUCACAUAUCCAAAUUUGUUACAACUUUCUUAUCACCUUAUUAAAAAAUUACAUAAGAAAAAAUAUUAGUUUUUUUUUUUCCUUUUUUGAAAGACUCCAACAAAUAAGACUUACCUAAUUAAUGGUUUAGAAGAAAAAAAAUCAAUAAUCAAACUUACCGAAUUAAUGGUUUGAAAAUGCAAUCAAUGAACUUCCUUUUAAAACAGACUUCCUUAGCAAGACGUCUUUUGUCUGUAUAAAAAAAAAAAAAAAGGAUAUAUCUUUUGUGGAUAUUUUUAAGGUCAUUAUUGUGUUUUUUUUUUAAAAAAAAAAGUUUUUCCUCUAAAAAAAUAGACAUUUUCUUUUUUUUUUAAACAGAAUUUUUUAUUUUUUAUAAAUAUUUUUUACAUAUGGUAAGAGAGUUGUAAAAAAAAUUUGAUAAAUUGAAGGACAAUACAUUUAAUAAGGGUAAACUUGGAAAACAAAAUGUGGUUUGUUUGAUGUAUUAGUGUCAUUAUUUUAAGUGUAUGAGAAAUGACACAUGUCAUGAGGAAAAGAAAGAAGGUCCAAAAGAGAAGGUUGGAGAGAAGGUUACUAGCAUUCCGUAUCAUUUAAUGAAACAAACUCUAACAGUUAGUUCUUUCUCAUGUGAAAUUUUUUACAUUUCUCACUUCUUCACAUGCACACUGCCUUUUCUCAACUGGUCUGUCAAUUUUCUAUUGUAUGAACUUAUUGAUGUGUAUGAGUUCCUAUCGUGUAUUGAGGGAACAAACAAAAAAGAAGACAGAUUAGUCAAUGAAAUAAUGUAUGGAAUUUGCAUUAUUUCUUUAUGUAAUUUUCAUAUUAAAUGACGAAGAAAAUUCUAGAGGAAGACAGAUUAGUCAAUGAAAUCAUGUAUGGAAUUUUCGUUCUUUCUUUAUGUGAUUUUCAUAUUAAACGACGAAGAAAAUUCUAGAUGAAGACAGAUUAGUCAAUGAAAUAAAGUAUGGAAUUUUCCGCUAUUUCUUUAUAUAAUUUUCAUAUUAAAUGACGAAGAAAAUUCUAGAGGAAGACAGAUUAGUCAAUGAAAUAAUGAUGGAAUUUUUGCUAUAGGAAGGCAGAUUAGUCAAUGAAAUAAUGUAUGAAAUUUCCACUAUUUCUUUAUGUAAUUUUCAUAUUAAAUGACGAAAAAAAUUCUAAAGGUAGACUUAUCAGAAAAGGAUAUACAUGUGCUCAUAAAUGAAAAAGUAAAAUACAUGUCCUCCUCCUUUGUUCUGAGGAGUGGGACAAAAGUGGGUGUUUAUAAGACUUUGAGGAAGGCUUUUUUUUUUUUUCAAAAAAAAAAAAGUUUUUCCUCUAAAAAAAUAGACAAUUUCUUUUGAAAAAAACAGAAUUUUUUAAUUUUUUAAAUAUUUUUUACAUAUGGUAAGAGAGUUGUAAAAAAAUUUGAUAAAUUGAAGGACAAUACAUUUAAUAUGGGUAAUUUUGAAAAACAAAAUGUGGUUUGUUUGAUGUAUUAGUGUUAUUAGUUUAAGUAUAUGAGAAGUGACACAUAUCAUGAGGAAAAGGAAGAAGGUCCAAAAGAGAAGGUUGGAGAGAAGGUUAGUAGCAUUCCGCAUCAUUCAAUGAAACAAACUCUAACAGUUAGUUCUUUCUCAUGUGAAAUUUUUUACAUUUCUCACUUCUUCACAUGCAUACUGCCUUUGCUCAACUGGUCUGUCAAUUUUCUAUUAUGUAUGAACUUAUUGAUGUGUAUGAGUUCCUAUCGUGUAUUGGGGGAACAAACAAAAAAGAAGACAGAUUAGUCAAUGAAAUAAUGUAUGGAAUUUCCAUUAUUUCUUUAUGUAAUUUUCAUAUUAAAUGACGAAGAAAAUUCUAGAGGAAGACAGAUUAGUCAAUGAAAUCAUGUAUGAAAUUUCCGUUCUUUCUUUAUGUGAUUUUCAUAUUAAAUGACAAAGAAAAUUCUAGAUGAAGACAGAUUAGUCAAUGAAAUAAAGUAUGGAAUUUCCGCUAUUUCUUUAUAUAAUUUUCAUAUUAAAUGACGAAGACAAAAUUAUAGAGACAGACAGAUUAGUCAAUGAAAUAAUGUAUGAAAUUUUUGCUCUAGGAAGACAGAUUAAUCAAUGAAAUAAUGUAUGAAAUUUCCUCUAUUUCUUUAUGUAAUUUUCAUAUUAAAUGACGAAAAAAAUUCUAAAGGUCGACUUAUUAGAAAAGGAUAUACAUGUGCUCAUAAAUGAAAAAGUAAAAUACACGUCCUCCUCCUUUGUUAUGAAGAGUGGGACAAAAGUGGGUGUUUAUAAGACUUUGAGGAAGGCUUUUCCCAAUCAAUCAAUGAAGAUUAGAGGAAGAGUUUUACCAAUCAAUCAAUGAAGGCUAGAGGAAGAGUUAAAUAGCAACAAAUGGCCCCCUUUUUGGUUGGGGGAACGUGUGUGUGGGUGUUAAAAUUCAUUGGAGAAAGACAAGAGGACUAUACCACAUCAUGUGUGGUAGAUAAUGUGUCAAUUUGGAAAUAGCUUUAGUAGCAAGUGGACUAUACUAGCCACCUACAGCUUUAAGCCUGAUCAUUCAGAUAAUGCUUGUAUCCUUUGUUUUACCGCGGCUACUAACAUAAAGAAAGCCGAUACUUUCGUUGCCUCUUCUACCUCCACGCGGCAUUGCUCUGUCGGGCUUUCUCCUAUUGCGGAUAAUUCCCCAUUAUUGCCUUCGGUAGGAAUAUGGGCUGUGUCUCAAUUAGUGUGGUUGAUCUUCCGAAUUGCCUUAGUUAGCUUUGCCUUACCAACUACCUAAUUAGACACAAGGCCCCUCCUCGGAGAAAAGUUACUAGCAGAACUAUAUAAGACUUUUAACAGUUGUCACAUAUGAUUAUGUGUGUUAAACCUCUUUCAACCUUAACCCUAGAAUUACACAGAGUAACAAGUAUUAUUUAUUGAAUUAUCGAAACAGUACAAUAUUCUCAACAACUCAUUCUUGAUACAAUAAUUCCCUAAUAGAGUUGUAAGCUCUAAUUAACCAAUUAUGUUAUAAACUAAUUUCUUAACUAAUCAAUUAAUAAACUGACUAUGCCGGCUCAUCACUAAUCCAGCUCAGCAAUGAUGAAGGUUCCUAAUAAUGUGAUCAGUCGAUGUGACGUAGUGUUAUUGAUUAAAAUAUAGCCAUCCCUACCACCUCAUGUAAAUCCCACAAGACUCCUAUUCACGGAGGGGAAGAAAGUAGGGGGAAUGCUAGCAACCUUUUCUCUAACCUUCUCUUUUGGACCUUCUGUUAGUAUGAAAAUAGUGUUGUCAUUUCCUAGACUCUAGCAUAGGUUGAAAAUUAGUGUGUGAAGAAUUGUUACUGGACGUUUUGGCACAACUCAUUCAACCCCAUACAUCCGAGGCAUGACUUGACCGAUAUGAGAAACUUGAUUUCAGGUAAAUCAUGGCAUAAUCAUGCAUUCAUUAUAGGAUUCCUAGUUUGAGUUUUCUUUUUCAAUCAAGUAUUUUUAUGUUAAUCUUAUUUUUAAUAGGAUUAGACUUUAUCUCUUAAGAUUACUUUUCUAGUUGAACUCUAUCUUGAUUUAAGUUAAAAUAUUAUCUUUUCCUAAGUGACAUGCACAAUGCUUAUUUUCCAAUUACCUUGCUUUAGGAGUCAAUUGGUUCUUCAUAAAAGUGGACGGUUGGUAACAUCAUUAAGAGUCCUUAAUGAAUCAGACUUUGUAUUUUUAUUGAAUCAGAAUUUAUAUUGUUAAUCGGAUAACUGUUUGGCCCUUAUGUGGCGUCUCAUUUAGGAGAUCAUAUUGCACCAGGUUUAAAAGAGUCUUAGCUGAAUUGGUCUUAGAGUUAUAAUUGUUUUGGAAGUGUAGUCUCGCAAGUUUCUCUCCUGUGAGAGAAACUUGCUUUGAAUAAAAGGAUGUCUGUUUCUUUUCAUUGUAGCUUUUGAACGUAUAAAAUUGUUGGGGUAUAUUGAAUCUAUGUUGGGAAAAGCUGCUGUACUUAGUUUACUCGGUAAGUCAUCAAGUGCUUAUGUUGCUUGGUGAUUGAUCAAAUUCAUUCAUCAUUCAUAUUGCAUUCAUUUGCAUUGUUCGGUGACUCAUACGGUUGAGGGCACCAAGACCGUGGUGACGGUUUUUUCUCCGGUGAGCUUGAAACAAUGAUGACCAGUAUUGCGUUUAACAUAAGGAGUGUCGAAGAUCAUCCCUUGACAGAAGUUGAAUUACGAAGAAGUUGGUAAACGUCAUCUAGAAUGUGUCUAGAAUAAGUGUGUGAGUACUUCUUGUAAUCAUCGUUCUAUAGUGGAUUUGUAUUGGACUGAGGAGUCCCAUGGAUUUUUUCCAGAGGAGGGGUUUUACCACGUAAAAUAAUUCUCUGUGUGUUUCUUUAUUUUAUGUUCAGCAUGUUUCAGGAUUGAUAAGCCAUAUCAAUCCUGCUACAUAAGUUUAUUUUUACUUAUUUGAUUAUAAUAUUAAAUUGGCCUAUUCUCCCCCCUUUAGGCAUUUUUAGUCAUCCUACAGGUAUUUUCACCUUCUUCCUUUUCUUUAUGACAUGUGGAUUUUUUUAAGGUCAUUAUUGUGUUUUUUUUUAUAACCAAAAAAAAAAAACGUUUUCCUCUGUAAAAAAAAAAAAAAAAGACAUUUUCUUCAAAAAUAUAUAUAUAUAUAAAUUUUAAAAUUUAAAUUUUUUUACAUAUGGUAAGAGAGUUGUAAGAAAAAAUUGGAUAAAUUGAAGGACAAUACAUUUAAUAAGGGUAAACUUGAAAAACAAAAGGUGGUUUGUUUGAUGUAUUAAUGUCAUUAUUUUAAGUUGUAUGAGAAGUGACACAUAUCAUGAGAAAAAAGAAGAAAAUCCAAAAGAGAAGAUUGGAGAGAAGGUUACUAGCAUUCCCUAUAUAUAUGUACGUUUUUUGGUGAGAAAAAUCCCUUCGAGUAGACAAGAAAUUGUACAGGAAAUUGUACAUUUUUUUGUCUUUUCGCAUUUUUCUUUUCAUGUUAAAGUAGUUUAGGACCGUCCUCUUUCAAAGCAGACAUGUGCAGUUGCAAAAGACCAUCGUGCAUGUUUAUGGGAAAAAACAAAACCUCUAGCCCACUUGGCUAUAAAUUAUUGUAUGUAUGCCAUUUACCUUCUUCUUCUUCCUUUUUUUUUUUUUUUUCCUGCAUGUCAUUUACUAUUUUACGUGAUAUGUGCAUCUGUGAGAAUGAUAGCUCCCAAACGUUCGGCACCAUGAGUGAUUAACUAUUUUGAUUAUAGAAUUUAAAGUUAAAUGAUUUUAAUUAUGUGGAAUUUUUUAGACCAGAACCUCGAUUUAUUCAAAUUAUAGAAGUUCAAUUUAACAACUUUUGUGCAAUUAGAACCAGAGAGAGAAUGGAUUUCUUGAGUUGUUGUAUCGUCCUGCUAAACCUUUUCUUUGUGUUGUUGUUCUCAAUUAUUCAAGCUCUGCAAAGCAAAGCCAAUCCCGAAAGGCAUCUUCUCCCACCUGGACCAAAGCCAUUUCCCUUCAUUGGCAAUCUUUUAGAGCUUGGCAACAAACCCCAUCUCUCUCUCACCAAGCUUUCUCAAAUCUAUGGCCCCAUUAUAACUUUGCAAUUCGGCCAAUAUUCAUAUUGGGGAUUCCCCAUCCCCACCUUUAAUGGGGAAUGGGUUCCCCGUCCAACCCCACCUUUUGGGAUUGGCCUUGCUUUGCAGAGCUUGAAUAAUUGAGAACAACAACACAAAGAAAGAUGGCACCAGGUAUGUCAGAGGUCGUAUACUCAAGUAAGAUGGCAACAGGUAUGUCUUUACGUAUUUCAAAUUGUGUGAAGAUUUUGAACAUGUAUAUUAAAGAAAUCUCACAGUUGGUAUCAGAGCCAGGUUGUUCGCACACACUAAAAUCGUUUUUCAAGCAUGCCAAUUACGAUUUCUUAUAUGUUUAUGCCAUGAUGAGUUUUUGGUGAUGUUCAAAAUUUGAAGAUGGAUUAAACAUGUUUUCUAAAUAUCGAGAAUAUUAAAGAAUCUGGAAAAGCAUGUUUUAAUUUGAUUUUCAUAUCUUCAAAACUUUAAACACGUUUUUGACCUACCUGAUGACCUGAAAACCCCAAAAAUGCCCAUAUGUAAUAGCAUAGUUGUGAGUUGUGUUAAUUAUGUCAUUCCCUAUUUAGAAAGGUAUUUUGCGUCAAAAACGAACACCAAAAACGUCUAAAACACUGUUCACUGCAGAAAUUACUAUUCACUGCAAUUUAGGGUUUUCUCUCUUGAACUGUAUUUGUUUCGUUAUUUUCUGAGCUAGAUAGGUGCUUAUUUUUGUUCUGAGAAUCAACAAAUUUUUCUUAACAAAACCAAACCUAAAUACUCAAAUCCUAAAGAAAUAACAAAAAUUGCAUCAUACCUAAAUUACUUGAUAAGUUUCUUCAACAAAUAGAAUCUGUCAUGUAAUUUAUUUAUGAUGGCACAAGAUAACACGUAAUUUGUGUAAGGUAUAAGUAAUCUCUUGCCACAAAGGUGUGAUACUUAAUUAAGGAAGCUUGCAUAUAUUAUUUGUUAGUUUAAUGAAUAAAGUGAAAUGGAAAAACUAUUUUCUCUUAACAAAUUGAGAAUUGGUGUCUUGGAAAGUAAUUAUGUUUUUUUUUUUUUGGUUGCAAAUCCUUACAGCUUUGAACGCUCUCUCAAUCAAUUUCUCACAAAUUGAAAGAUUCACUGGAACAAACUUCAAAACAUGGACGUAUGAUUUUGAAGUUAUUCUCGGAAUGAAUGAGAUCGUUUAUGAUCUCACUCAUGAUUAUAUUUAAUUCAAGCUAGCCAUUUCGCUUAUGUGUCUUGUAGUACAACUCCUAGAGCUUAGGAAAAAGGAAAAGCCUCUGGUGGUUAAUAGGAGCCACUCGUGCCAACUAAUCACAAAUGAAAUUCUAGUAAAGAAUACAAUGGAGCUAAUUAAGAAGCGGAACGAAGAUGAGCUGGAGCAAAAAAGGGUUAAGAUGCAGUGACGUCGUCGAUCUUAUGGAGGACCCAUAAGGAUAUACAUGGCUACAAAGGACGGUCUCAGAAGUCUCAGGAUCACUGUAAAGCUCGGUGUAUGCGCUUAUGGGAGAGGACGAAACAUCAAUAAGCUAAUUCGAUACAAAAAUCUCCUAGUGUAGUUUGUGAAACAUACGCCCCAACUUGAAUCACUUGUUGAGAUUUUUGAUACCUCCACUAAUAGGGAGAUAGUGGUACUUAACCCGUUCCUUGCUAGGGAGAACAACACUUUGGCAUCAUGUUGUGACAAGGAGGAUUAGAUAGCUACAUGUUGUUUUCAUUAAAUAUUAUUGGAAUAUUUAAUUUUAAGUUGGAUUUAGGAUUUAUUUUAAAGUUGGAUGAUGUAGUUUCAUUACCGUAAAUAAAGAGAAAUUUAAUUUCUAAUUCAAGAUUAUUAAGACUUGGUUUUAUUUUGGAUUCAAUAAAGAUGUUUUUGUAUCUCAGAAUUCAAAGACAAUAAAGAUGGAUUAUACUGUCUCAAUUACAAUAAAUCUUUUUGAUAUCAACAAACGGGUGUUCACCAUUAAACAGAAUGGUGCAGUCAUCCACAAAUACUACAGCCAACUGCAGCACAUCUUUCAAGAAAUUGAAUCGCAUGCACUGCGACGCCGAUGUGACUGAUUGCCAGAAAGAACUAGAUUGUCUUCGUGUUCACCUUUUUCUUGUCGGGCUCAACCCUGAGUUUGAUCAAGUUCGGGGGGAAAACCUAUGCAAAGAUCCUAAAUGAGACCAUGAUCAAAGCUUUGCAUAUGUACGUCGCGAAGCUCAACAACGACUGACCAUGGCCAGUGCUCCGGAAACCGUUGUGAUGGUCACUCAACGUCAACAAGGCCCUUAGAUCUCUACUGGUGGCUCUUCUCAUACUAAGGUCACAGACACUCAUCUGGAGCAUAAAUGCACUCACUGUGGUGGAAGUAAACAUACCCGUGCUGGUUGUUACGAAUUGAUUGGGUGCCCAGAUUGGUGGGACCACUCCAAAGCUCCCCCCAAGAAUAGGAGCAAAUCACCCAACACAUCUUCUGACUCAGAUCUUGUAAGUCCUGCUGUUUCAACUACAUCGGCUCUCGCCUCUGCAUCUGUAGCCAUAACAGGUAACCAAGGUUAUGUUUUACAUAGUUCUUCAAAGAAACAUACAUGAAUUAUUGACACCGGAGCCACUGAUCAUAUGACCUUUGAUCCUGGACAAAUUGCCUCUCAUACACCGUCUCCUCAAUCAGUGGUGUCUAAUGCCAAUGGUACCCUAUCCCCUAUAAUUAGGGAGGGUUCACUCUCUCUCUUUCUAAUUCUUUCAAUUUGGAUUCUGUGUUGAUUAUUCCAUCCUUACAUCAUAAUCUCUUGUUUGUUGCCCAAAUUACUAAGGCUUUGAAUUGCACUGUAACCUUUUGGCCUACUCAUUGUGGUUUUCAGGACAUUCUCAGUAACAAGACAAUUGGUUGUGGUACUAGGAGGGGCAAACUUUACUACUUGGACUUAGCAUCUGACAAUGAAACACACUACCGAAGUAUGGUUAUGGCAUCGGCGUCUUGGAUAUGCUUCGUUUGGAUAUUUACAGAAGCUAUUUCCUCCCUUAUUUUCCAAUUUAGAUAUUUUCAAUUUUAAGUGUGACAUUUGUGAAUUGGCCAAGAGCCAUCGUGUUCCUUUUCCCUUAAGUUCAAAUAAAAGUUUAGUUCCAUUUUCUCUUGUUCAUUCUGAUGUUUGGGGCCUUGCUAAAAUUACCACUCCAGGGGGAGCUCGAUGGUUUGUCAUGUUUAUAGAUGAUUGCACCCACAUGACCUGGGUUUCCCUUCUAUAAAAAAAAGAGGAAGUCAGUUCCAAGUUUCAAUAGUUCUAUCAAAUGGUGGAGACUCAGUUUCAUGCUAGAAUUCAGAUUCUUCGUUCUGACAAUGACAGAGAAUUUCUUGACCAUGAUCUUAACAAGUUCUAACAAGAUCAUGGCAUCAUACAUCAACGCUCAUGCCCCUACACUCCCCAACAAAAUGGAGUCCCUGAAAGAAAGAACAUACAUUUAUUGGAAGUAGUUCGUGCCUCUCUCUUUGGUGCCAAUAUGCCUUGAUCUUUUUGGAGAGAAGCCGUCGUCUCUACAGCAUACCUCAUCAAUCGGAUACCUUCCAGUAUCCUAAAUUUCCAAACACCACUUCAAACGCUUCACCAUCAUAUCCAAAUACCUCCUACCCCAAACCUAGAACCCUGUAUUUUUGGCUGUGUUAUAUUUGUCCAAUUACAUGAUCACCAACGAAGCAAAUUAGAUCCCCAAGCCGAGAAGUGUGUUUUCAUUGGCUAUGCACCUCAUCAGAAAGGAUACCGAUGUUAUCAUCCUCCUAGUCAGAAGGUCUACAAUUCCAUGGAUGUUGUGUUCCAGGAACAUGACUUAUAUUUUUCAGCAGUACAUAAGGAGAAUCAAGAAUCCACCACUCCUCAAAUUGUCGAUUUUUUCCCCAAGAUGUCACUCUGCUUCAAAACGACCGGUCGCCAAUGGAAAGCGACCGGUCGCCCCCCCUUAGGUCUUCAAACAUGGAGAACUUGCUUCCAAAUGACUGGUCGCCAGAAGACAACAAAUGGUCGCUAGAGGAAAAUUAUCAGUUGUCUCCACGCUAUCAAAAUCAGGAGGAGGAAAUUGAACCGUUUAUGAGAUUUUGCCCGCUUUAGUUCCAGUACCACACCAAUCACCUGCUAAGGAAGUCAUUCAGGUAACAUCUUUCCCUGAAACUGAUAACACUAAUGAAAUAUCCCAUGAUGAUUGAUUUCAGAAGGCAUAGAGGCUACAUGUCAGCUUCCAGAAAGGAAGAAUCGUGGCAAACCUCGAGUACAAUAUGAAGCAAAUCUUAAAGCCAAGGGAAAAUACCCCAUCAAUAAUUAUAUAUCUCUCAGUAGAUUAUCAGAGUCACAUGUGCACUAUGUGAAGUUGUUGGCUAACAUAUCUGUCCCCAACAGUGUGACUGAAGCAAUAGAAGACCCAAAAUGGAAAGAAGUCAUGAAUGAAGAAAUGCGAGCUCUGCAAAAGAAUGUCACAUGGGAACUCGUGCCCUUACCUCAUGGAAAGAAGACAGUAGGAUGCAGGUUUUUUUAUAUUGUGACACUCAAAGCAGAUAGAUCCAUUGAAAGAUAUAAAGCUAGAUUGGUGGCGAAGGGGUGCACACAGAGAUAUGUGAUAGACUACCAGGAGACCUUUGCCCCAGUAGCCAAGAUUAACACUAUUAGAGUCAUAUUUUCUCUAGCAGCAAAGCUCGAAUGGCCACUACAUCAGUUUGAUGUCGAAAAUGCAUUCUUACAUGGAGACUUGGAAGAAGAAGUAUAUAUGGACUUACCCCCAGGAUGUAAUUCAGCUCUUGACAAGAAGAAUCAAGUUUACGAGCUCAAAAAGUCAUUACAUGGGUUAAAGCAAUCUCCUAGGGCAUGGUUUGGCAGAUUUAUUAAAUCUAUGAAGAAUUUUGGAUAUAAACCGAAUAAUUCAUCACACCCUGUCCUUGAAGCGUGAUGAAGGAAAACUUAUUGCAUUGAUUGUUUAUGUAGAUGACAUAGUCGUACUGGAAACGACGCAUGAGAGCAACUGAAGUUGCAAAAGUAUUUGUCUUAGGAAUUUGAGAUGAAGAAUUUAGAUGAUCUGAAGUACUUUCUCGGAAUCGAAGUAGCAAGGUCAAAAACUGGUAUAUUUCUGUCUCAAAGGAAGUAUGUAAUGGAUCGACUCACUGACACAUGAAUGCUUGGAUGUAAGCCUGCUGACACACCCAUUGAUAUGAAUCACAAGUUGUGUGAAGAUAUGAACCAAGAACCAACCAAUAUGGAACAGUACCAACGCCUUGUUAGAAGGUUGAUAUACCUGGCAUACACAAGACUAGAUAUUGCAUAUGCUGUGAGUGUGGUUAGUCAGUUUAUGCAUUCACCCAGUGUUUCUCAUAGAAAUGCAGUUGAUCGGAUCUUAAGAUACUUAAAGUUAGCCCCUAGGAAAGGAUUAAUGUUCUAAAAAAAUGGAGAUCUUGAAGUUGUUGGAUAUACAGAUGCUGAUUGGGCUGGUUCCAGUACAGAUAGACGCUUUACUUCUGGUUACUUUACAUUUGUUAGAGGUAACCUAGUCACUUGGCAGAGUAAAAAAAUAAAAUGUGGUUUCUCAGUCUAGUGCAGAAGCAGAGUAUUGAGGAAUGACUCAAGGAGUCUGUGAAUUAUUGUGGAUCAGAAGACUCUUGACAGAAUUGAGCUUCAAGCUAGAAAAGCCAAUGGAGUUGCAUUGUGACAACAAGUCAGCUAUCGAUAUUGCCCAUAAUCCAAUUCAACAUGAUCGAACCAAAUAUGUUGAGGUGGAUAGACAUUUCAUCAAAGGAAAAAUUGAUAAUAAGAUCAUCUGCCUACCAUUCGUAAAAUCAGAAGAUCACCUGGCAGAUGUCUUAACAAAAGCUAUUUGUGAAAGAGUAUUUCAUGACUCACUUACCAAGUUGGGCAUUGGUGACAUAUAUACACCAACUUGAAGAGGAGUGUUGAAGUGAGUCUCCUAAUUAAUCAAGGAGAUGUAUUUCCUUGAUUAAUUAAGGGAUUUACUUUCUUGUUUUAUAUAGUUGACAAAUCAUUGUAUAAUUAGGAGAUACUAUCCUAAUUGAUUACUGUAUCUAUAUCCUUGUAAAGCACUUAUGUAAAUUCCUAUAUAUAUCUUCUUAUGGAGAAGAAUAAAACUUAACCUAAAGUAUUCAAACCAUAUUCAUAUUUUAGCAAGCUGUAGCCGCACCUUUCUUUUACCGCCCGUUAUUUUUGUGUCUCCGUUGCACCGUCUUCAUUGCAGACCGUCCUCUCCAUUGAGCUCUCUCGUGGCAAGCCACGGCAGCUCCAUUUAUCUCCCUGGGUAGUGAUGGCCAAAUUUCUGUUUCCUCACCGAGCCUCGUCACUACUCACCGAGCAUUCUCCUCACCAGCCUUUAUCUCUCUCAUGCCGUGUAACUCAAGUGGUUUUGAACUAGGGAUGGCAAUGGGUCGAAUCGGGGGUGGGUAUGCCUUUUCCAUCCCCAUCCCGUUUUUUUUCCAAUUCCCACCUUCAUUACUACAAUAUUCAUAUUGGGAAUUUCCCAUCCCAACCUUCAACUGGGAAUGGGUUCCCCUACUUGCCCCAUUACGUACGGAAGAAAAAUCAAUAUAAAACUACUUUUUUUGAAAGAAAAUAAACAGGACUAGAGCAAGACAAUGAGUACAUAUAAUAUAUUAUCUACGUACAAUGUUUACAUAUUGACUAGGAAGUUAACUAAAUAUAUAAGUAGUGUAGCGUAAGAUUUGUAUAAAUUUUAUAAAUAUAUAAUAUAAAACUUAGUCGGCACAAUCACUUUAAUAACAUAUUUAAAUAUACUAUAUUCUAAAUAGGGAGGGUUCGGGUCGGGGAUUAAAAUACCGUCCCUCCCCCUCCCCUAACACCAUAUCCAAAAAAUUGACAGUACCUGCCCUCAUACCCGUUUGUUAUCCUUCUUACCCGACCAUUAGGGUCGAAUCCAUGUGAAGACCCUUACCCGUGGGAAAAAUUGCCAUCCAUAUUUUGAACAGUUAUCUUCCUUGCACUCGAGAUUCUGUGUUUGAAUCUCACCCACCCAAUAUCGAUCGCUUUUAUUUUUAAAAAAAAAUAGAGACUAUCUCGUGUAUAUAUAAUAUAUCUCAAUCAUUCAUCAAGUUUGAAUCUCAAUAACAAUUGGUUGUUGUAAGAACGUCCAACAGAAUUAACUAUGAAGAUUUAUUGGGGUGCAUAGAGUAAUUGGACUGUCUUGGCUUUAUGGGGCUCCUAUCUAUUAUAGGGGGGAUUCUUAUCCUGGUGUAUGAUUUUUGUUUGUAAAAUCACCCCAGUUGCCCUUCAAUAUGAUGGUAGAUUGACCUUGCGAAGGCUAUAUCUAAAGGAAAAGCACAGAGCCAUGCCACUAGAAUACAGAUUUUUGUUUUGUAAAUUUUUUAUUAAGUUAUUCGGUGUUGAUUUUUCAAGUACUUAGCAUGAAAAAAAAUGAAAUAGAAUGAUUUUUUUCAUUAAAAAAACACUUUUGAAUGAAGCCAAUUUGGCCAUCUAAAAAGAUUCUGUUUUAGCGGAUAGCUAGUAACUUUCUUUCUGUCCAAACUAGACGCAUAACUAAGUCCAAACGAUAAGACUUGUCGGAUUGGGAGGCUCUCCCUCCCUCCUUCAACUUUUAUGUGUGUGUGUGCGUGCGAUUAGAACCAAAGAGAGAAUGGAUUUCUUUUGUUUUUGUAUGGUCCUGCUAAGCCUUUUCUCUGUGUUAUUGUUCUCAAUUACUCAAGCUCUGCAAAGCAAAGCCAAUCCCAAAAGGCAUCUUCUCCCACUUGGACCAAAGCCAUUUCCCUUCAUUGGCAAUCUUCUAGAACUUGGAAACAAACCCCAUCAAUCUCUCACCAAGCUUUCUCAAAUCUAUGACCCCAUUAUAACUCUGCAACUAGGCUAAGUAACAACGGUGAUUCUUUCUUCACCAAACACAGCCAAACAAGUCCUCCGAACCCACGACCAAUUCUUGUCCAACCGAACCAUCCCAGAUGCAUUUCAAGCCUAUGACUUUCGCCAGGACAGCCUGCCAUGCAUACCACCUUCGGCCAAAUGGAGAAGCCUUCGACAAAUAUGCAACUCUCAAUUGUUCGCCGCCAAAAUCCUCAAAGCCAACCAACCCAACCGCCGCAUAAAAGUGCAAGAGCUCAUAUCUCAGGUCAACGAAAGUACAGUCAAUAGUGAGGCGGUAGUUAUUGGAAGGGCCGCUUUCACUACGCUCAUUCUGCUGUCUCGUAUUGUUUUCUCAGUGGAUUUGGCUAACUCAAGUAGCGAGAUGGCCAGGGAGUUCAAGGAGACUGUGUGCGGUUUGAUGGAAGGGGUAGGGACCCCAAACGUGGGGGAAUUGUUUUCCUGUCUUUAGGAAAAUUGACCCCCAGGGCAUUAGGCAGAGCAUGAUCAAACAUUUCAAUUAGAUGGAACAACUCUUUGACUGCAUGAUUAGCCAAAGAUUGGCAUCAAGAAAAGCCCAUGAUUAUGUCAGAACCAAUGAUAUGCUGGAUACUCUUUUGAACAUCAGUGAAGCGAAUAGUGAGGACAUGGACAAGACCAAAAUUCGACAUAUGUUUCUGGUUAGUUAUUUUGUCUUUGCUCAUCAUUAUAGUUAAACUACUAUAUCAAUUAAUUUAAUUUACAGAGAGAAGGGAUUCAAACUUAAGUGCAAAGAGUUGGCGAACUGGCCUGGCCUGGCCUGACCGUCUACUCUCGUUAGGUGUUUUUUAUUUUGGUUUUUAAUCCCAUUUUGUUUUUCUGACUUGUUAUGUUAAAAAGGCUCUAUUUGCCGCGGGGACUGAUACAACUUCAGCCACAUUGGAAUGGGCCAUGGCUGAGCUGCAACGCGACCUUGAAAAGCUGUCAAAAACUCAACAAGAGCUGGAGCAAAUCAUUGGCAAAGGAAAACCAGUAGAAGAAGCAGACCAAAAUAAUGGUUUUUUGCUUGGCAUUGCAUGUCAAUUGGCAUGCUCGUGCUUGAAUUUUAUUAUUUUUUAAAUGGCUAUGAUUGAGUCAAAACGACGCUUGACGGGAUAACAUUUAGCAUGGGUUCAUAGAGCCAGUACAUUUUACGGGCUUGCUACGACCUUUUUACUUAGCGUGUUGCAUAUUUGCUUGGCGUGGCACGUAGAUUGCAACUCGCGUGAGAGUGUAUGAUGAACUUUCGCAUGCCCAAAUGGGGGUUUCUUUUUAGUAAGGUGUCGCACUGGGCCAGGAAUAUAUUUGGGCCCACUCUUAGAUUUUUUUGGGCCUCAACACACUCAAGAUUCUGUGUUUGAAUCUCACACACCCAAUAUCGAUCGCUUUUAUUAAAAUAAAAUAAAAUAAAAAAUAGAGACUAUGUCGUGUAUAUAUCUCAAUCAUUCAUUAAGUUUGAAUCUCAAUAACAAUUGGUUGUUGUAAGAACGUCCAGCAAAAUUAACUAUGAAGAUAGUUUUUUCUUUGAGGAAGGUUUAUUGGGGUGCAUAGAGUAAUUGGACUGCCUUGGCUUUAUGGGGCUCCUACCAUUGUUGACAAUGGGGCUACUAAUUAUAUUGGCCGUGUUUGUGUUUAAAUAGCUUGAGAAAAUUUGAAGUUUCUUGCCCACAAAGAGAAUUCUUACAAGAUUUGAUGACCUUAAACAUGGUGCAAGUUAAAAGAACAGUAGGGUUGGUAGGGUUGGUGGUCCUUUGAUUUCUACCCGGCAGCUGUCAAAUUUUUUUUUUUUUUUUUUCUGUUGUUUCAUCCUUGGUUAUAUUAGCCGCGGGCCUCGGCAGCUUCUUUCUUUUCUUUGUAAUUCCGUCUUAAUUUUGGUUAUGCAUGAUAAAAUUGACCUUAAAAUUUUUGUCGUGCAUGAUAAAAUUGACCUUAAAUGGCUUGACCUUUCAAUAAAAAAAACAGUUUAUUCGAUGCACGUUCUCAACACGUCUUUUUCCUUUGUCCAUAAGUAAGAAUUGAUGGGGCUCAUGAUAAGAAUUUAGAUGACUUCAUUUUCGUCAAUUCACACCAGGUGCCUUUCCCAAUCUGUCUUUGAUGAGAUUGGACAAAUAACUUUAAUGGACCAAUAUGAUUUUAUCUUGGUAUGACAAUAUUUAUAUGAUAUUUGGCACUGACCGUGUAUAGAAGGACAAAUUUGAUAAAAGCUUCCUUACCAAAAAUGGCUUGUAAUAGCUGCUUUGAAUUAUUUUGUGUGAUGCGGUUGCAUUAUUUGGUUAGUGCCUACCCAAAUUUUCUCAAAUGUCUUUACCUAAGCAAGUUGUUCUCAAAUGUCUUUACCUACGUUUGUCUCUUAGCUUUUAGGGGAUAUAUAUAAACAACUUAAAAGAGUUGGUCCUGAAAAUAUAUUUUCAUGCUUUCUCGAUAAGUCUCAACAAGAAUAUUUAUAUGAUAUUUGGCACCGACCGUGUAUAGAAGGACAAAUUUGAUAAAAGCUUCCUUACCAAAGAUGGCUUGUAAUAGCUGCUUUGAAUUAUUUUGUGUGAUGCGGUUGCCUUAUUUGGUUAGUGCCUACCCAAAUUGUAUUAUUUGAGUAAGGAAAAUUGGCAUAUAUAUCACCUGAAAUUUUAGGCAUGUGUAGAAUUACUAUUUUAAAUUUUAAUUUUAUUAACCACAUGAACUAUGUAAAGUGUUGAAAUUUACUACCUACGCCUAACUCCGUUAAAUUUUUUCGUCAAAUCAAGUCACAUAAUGCAAAUGUGAUUUUUAAGGGCAUUUAUGUCAAUCAAUAUACACAUAAAUUUAGAAAAUUUAAAAACUAACAGAAUUUAAUUUUAAAUGAAAAAAAAAAGUAGGAAAACUAACCUAAUAAUUUCACAAACUUCCCCACCUCCUUCCAACACCUAUUCUCCCCCACCAAAAUAAAGUGAACAUUUUCUCUGUGAAAUUGAGUUAUUCUUGGUCGAUGGUUGAGGCCAAUCUUCUUCUUUCUUCUUCUUUUUGUUUUUUCUGAAAAUUUUGGUGUUAGUUGCUUCACUAGGCUUAUAUCUCAUACGUCCUGCCUCUUAAAAUUGCUUGGCGCUUUCGAUAAAAAAACAGUUUAUUCGAUGCACGUUCUCAGCACGUCUUUUUCCUUUGUCCAUCAGUAAGGUUGCCGGUCUAGUUCUUUCGAUUGAUGGAGCUCAUGGUAAGAAUUUAGAUGACUUCAUUUUCGUCAAUUCACAUCAGUUGCCUUUCCCAAUCUGUCUUGAUGAGAUUGGACAAAUAACUUUAAUGGACCAAUGCGCGCAAGCCAUAUGAUUUUAUCUUGGUAUGACAAGAAUAUUUAUAUGAUUUUUGGCACCGACCAUGUAUAGAAGAACAAAUUUGAUAAAAGCUUCCUUACCAAAAAUGGCUGUUAGAGAUUGCUUGUAAUAGGUGUUUUGAAUUAUUUAGUGUUGAUUUUUCAAUUUAAAAAUUGUGUUUGGAAAUCUUGUUGGUUCAAUCACUUUUCUUUCUUUGUUUCUAAUCUUCUACAAAAAAAAUUUGGGGGAGAUGGUAAAUUAAUAUUUCAACAUUUUAAAUAGUUCAAGUGGGUUACUAGAAAAAAUUAAAAAUUCAUGAGGUAAUCCUGUACACACCUUAAAUUUCAAACGAUAUUUGUUCAAAUUUCCAUUUGGGGUAAAUAGAGAUGGCUUGUCAAAGCUUCCACCCGUGACAGCUAAGUCCAGACCCAAAUUGUUCUCAAAUGUCUUUACCCACGCAAGUUGCUCCGAAAUGUCUUUACCUAAGUUUGUCUCUUAGCUUUUAGGGGAUAUAUAUAAACAACUUAAAAGAGUUGGUCCUGAAAAUAUAUUUUCAUGCUUUCUCGAUAAGUUAGGCGAGAGAUGGAUUUCUUGAGUUGCAUGCUAAUAUGUCUUAUGGUUGGCUGGAUCUCAAUCCAUGCCCUCUAUUAUUCAUUUGCAAGAACAAGUCCCAAUAAGCUUCCGCCUGGACCAAAUCCACUUCCUUUCAUUGGAAAUCUUCUAGAGCUUGGAAACAAGCCCCACCUCUCCCUAACCAAGCUUUCACAACGCUAUGGGCCCAUUAUGACUUUACAUCUUGGCCAAAUCACGACCGUCGUGGUUUCUUCAUCCGCCAUAGCUAAACAAGUCCUCCAAACCCAUGACCAAUUGUUUUGCAACCGAACAGUAUUAGAUUCAGUCCAAGCCUGUAAACAUGGCGAGAACGGCAUGCCCUGGAUACCUGUUUCAGCUAAGUGGAGAAACCUUCGCAAAAUAUGCAACUCCCAAUUGUUCGCCACCAAAGUUCUCGACGCCAGCCAAGGCAACCGCCACCUAAAAGUGCAAGAGCUCAUAGCUGAUGUCCAUGAAAGCGUUGUAAAAGGUGAUGCAGUGGAGAUUGGAAGAGCUGCUUUCAAAACUACGCUCAAUUUGAUGUCGCGGACUGUCUUCUCUGUGGAUUUAGCGGACCAGAAUAGUGAGAGGGCUAGAGAGUUCAAGGAGCUGGUGCGGAGUAUUAUGGAAGAGAUUUCGAAACCAAACUUGGCUGACUAUUUUCCAGUGCUUAAAAAGAUUGACCCCGUGGGGAUACGGCGCCGUUUGACUCGUCACUUCCUGAAGAUGUUUGACCUCUUCGAUCGCUUGAUCAUCCAAAGAAUGGAAUCAAGAAAAGCACCUGACUAUAUCAUGACCAGUGAUAUGUUAGAUACCCUUAUAAACAGUAGUGAAGAGAAAAAUGAGGAUAUGGACAUGGUUGAAACUCAACAUUUGUUCCUGGUUAGUGGCUAUCUAUAUAUACUCUAGCUCUCUUGUUCUUUAAUCUUGAUAACUUUGUUUCAAUUGAUACUAAGUUACUAACUAGUGAAUAUAUGUAUAGAUUGCUUAGAUUUCAAAAUUAAUUAUGAAUACUAUACAUUUUCGCUUUUGUUUUUGUUUUGUUAAUUGCUAUUUGUACCAUCUAAACUGAUUAUUUCAUUUGCUACUGUCUCAAUCGGAGGUCAAGUUUACCACGAAAAUGGUAGAUCAGAUGUUGAAUUGAUAUGGUAUAAGUAAUUAUAUUCCUACUAAUUAAUCAAUUUGGUCAAUUAUUAUAGGAUCUAUUUGCUGCUGCCACAGAUACAACUUCAGCCACAUUAGAAUGGGCAAUGGCUGAGCUACUACGCAACCCCGAAAAACUGUCAAAAGCUCAAGAGGAGCUGAAGCACAUCAUUGGCAAAGGAAAACCAGUGGAGGAAUCAGACAUCACUCGGCUCCCUUACUUACAAGCCAUAAUCAAAGAGACCUUCCGCUUGCACCCAGCAGCUCCAUUGCUAAUUCCUCGCAAAGCCGGAGCAGAUGUAGAAAUAUGCGGGUACAUUGUACCAGAGGGUGCACAAGUUUUGGUCAAUGCAUGGGCCAUAGGCAGAGACCCCAGCAUCUGGGACAACCCAAACUCGUUUAUGCCGGAGAGGUUCUUGGGAUUGGACAUAGAUGUUACAGGGAGGAACUUUGAGCUUAUCCCAUUUGGUGGUGGACGGAGAAUUUGUCCUGGGUUACCAUUGGCAAUGAGAAUGCUGAACUUGAUGUUGGGGUCACUUCUUAACUGCUUUGAUAACUGGAAGCUUGAAGAUGGGGUUGCACCAGAGACCAUGAACAUGGAAGACAAGUUUGGCCUCACUUUAGAGAAGGCUCAGCCCCUAAUAGCUGUGCCCAUGACAUAGGAGAUCCUAGCUAGCUAUUGGUUUUUACGUACAUUAAUAAAAACCAUGCACUGUAUCCUCCUACUUAUCAAGUUUGAAACUCAAUAAUGAUCAAUUGUUGUGAAACUGUUACUGUCACCCAUUGGUUUAACUAUGAUUAAUUACUGCUACCCAUUGGUUUAAUAAACGCAAUUUUUUUUUUCUCCAAUUAUCUAUCUACUGUCUCCUACAGUAUUAAUAAUUUAUUAAUCCCACUAAAACUAAACUUUUGAAUUAACAACAGUGCUUUUAGUCGACAAAAAAAGACGUCUACGGCUUAAAACCAACAUGUAGUGGUGUAUAAUCAUCAAUCUCGCUCAUUUACGAAAAUCAUCAAUUUUGGCUUGAGCUCACGGCCCAAGUCUAUAUGAGCUUGGGCCGUACUCGUAUUGGGCCAUUAAAUAGGUCGAUAUGAGCAUACGCUAAAUUUGACUUAUGUAUUGUAUUUUUUUAUAAUUUUUUUUACAACUGAAUUUAAAUCUUUUUUUAUAAUUAUGUAUAUACUAAAGAUUUAGGAUUUGUUAAAAAAAAAAGGUCAAUAACUUUAUUUAAAGUACAUUUAAAUAGAAAAUUGCUAUAUUAUUGUUUGGGUUUUAAAAAUUGAAACUUGAAAAAUAAAAUUAUUAUUUUAUAUAUAAAGAAAACAUUAAUUUUUAAUAUAUACUAGCCUCUCCACACGCGCUUCCGCGCUUGCUAGAGGCUUUUUUUAAAAAAAAUUUAAAUUUAUUUUAGAAUUAAAAAAGAUAAUGGGUAGUUGUAUUCCAUAAAAAUAGAAUCCAUUAUCUUAUUUUUCUUUUAUUUUUCUUUUUUUUAAAUAUGAAAAAUUGUGAAUUUACUAUAUUAUCCUCAUUUAAUUAAUAAUUUCAAUUCUUAAUGUUUGCAUUAACCAAGUACAUUUUAUGGUAUUUUGAAUGUUUUACCAUUAUUAGCCUUUUGCUUUAUAUAUAUAUAUAUAUAUAUAGAUUAUUAGAGAAUAGAAAUAGUCUUGAAUUUAAGAUAUAUUUAAUAAUAUUAUAUAUUAUUUUUCUCUAAAAACAAGUAUAAUUUAAUAAAUGGGCUUUAAACAAGCAGGCCUAUUGGAUUUCGAGCUGGUACAGUCUGCGACAGGUUAGGAGCCCGCCCGGCCCAUUAGACCUAAUUACUUAGUCCCGACACGACCCAAAGAUAUGAACCAUGAUGUAUCAUGUCUAUCUUAAGCAGACUAUGUUCGUGCUAUGUCGGGUCGGCCCAGUUCAUAUGACACCUCUAUGAGAGAGUUUCGUGACACAAAUUGUUGACUUUCUAUAGCUACAAUUAAGAGCUGAACAUCAUGUCGAAUCAUAAUAUUUUAUUACUUUGUUUGAUUUGACUGACAUAUAUUAAUUCUCGUAUUUGUAUUUGUAUCUGUAUAAGAAGUGUAUAGCUUGUGUAUUAUAUUACUCAAAAGAAUAACAAUUUCUAAUUACUUUUCAUUUUCUAAAAAAUCAUUAAAAUAUUAUAUUAGCCAAUUUUACACCAUAUUGUUCCAACUCAACAGUAUUUCCAUUCCUGAAUCCAAAUCCAAGCUUUGUGUAAAUACAUAAGGCAAGGCCUUGCAAAUGUAAUUAUAAGUCCUUAACAGCAAGCAAGUAUUGAGCAAUUCCAUCCUUCCUUCUCACAAGCGAAUCCUUAAUAGAUCCUGAAAGAGAAUUUUUUUCGCCAGUUACUGAUCAGUAUUUUCAGUUAGGUAUAUGAUGAAGGCUAGGAAAAUCAAGAACAAAAAUAACUUAACCUUUGAAUCCAACAAUAGCAACAUUCUCUACAUCCAUAUUAUUUAUCUCUCACCUCAUAUCAUGUCUUCCUGCAUCAGACAAUAGCAAAGAAUAUAUCAAGACAAAACAUUGAAUUUAAAACUAAAUAUUAUUCUUCAUUUUCUCAGUCAUAUCAAACAAAAAAUAAAUCAUUUCCGAAACAAAAAAAUAGAUCUGAGAUACAUGUGAGUAAGAAAGUCUUAGAGAUUCAGAUCUAAGUUCAAUUGUGAGCCGAUAAAAGCCUCAGAAAAUCCAUGCAGGCCAUUCCAAAUCCAAAACCUAACAAUAAGAAGAAAGAAAAGACAUAAUGGUGACAAGCAAGCAAAACCAUUGACCAGCCACCCAUGACAAGACUCGACCCAAAUUCCGUUUUGGAAUCCGAGCCGGACCCUGUGCGUGUCCGACACCUGACGGAUGCCGGGCUCGAAUAGCCUAAUUGCCCUUCCCUACAAAGCACGAUAAAAUAACAAGGUUGACUUCUACCGAAAAUUCGGCAGAAUCUCCCUUGUAACUGGAUCAAUACCAAAACAUUUACACUUGCCAAACAAACAUAAAUACACAACCAACUGCCAAUAUAUGUAUACAUACAUUUCAACAGUUAAAUUCUAAUUCUAGGGCAAAUUAUAAGAGCGACUACUAAGAAUUUACAAAGGAGUCAAUCCUUUUACAAAAAAUAAAGUCCUACAUCAGAAAGGAAAGCGCGGAAGGUGGAAAAGGGCCCGGUGGUGGAUCACUGUGCACGCCUACUGCUUGGGGGCGCAAAACAUUAAAAAGGGUGAGUGGACUCAAAAAAACAAAGUUUGGAAAAAUACAUAUGAACAUACUAACCCCACUGUAAAAACACUUAUACAAACUAAAUUAUUCUCUUUAUUAUAUUCGUACUGAAAUCAAUGCACUUAUAUAAUUAUACAUAUAUAUACCAAUCAUACUCAUGGUCAACAUUAAUUUCUUAAAAGCAUUGAAAACAGUUUAAAACUACCACCUAAGUGUACCCCUUAUUUCCGUCAAUUCCUAAUAUCCGUCAAUUCCUCGCAUCACCAUGGAUGACACGUACUCAUAGGUCUCAGUGAUACAAGGUCAGUCUGAGCUGCAACUCGCAGGAUUCAGAGGACCGUAGUCAGCCUGAUUCGCAUUACUCGCUCCACACGAGUUCGGGUACCAUAGAACUCAUGGGGCAACUGUCAAGGAUGCUGACUAAACCGAAGGCAACCAAUAAAAUCCGAAGGCAACAUUUGAUCUGAAGGCAACUUAUUUACCAAAGGCAACAUCUGUAUAUCUGGCUACCUAAGGUGGUUUAGGAAAAUAUAAAGUUUCUGAAGAAAAUCUGCUAAAUAAGUGAAUUUCUGUAAACUCUAAAACUCUGCUGCCAUUUAUCUGAUAAUUAACUAGAAUUUCUUUUCCUAUAUCCUUUAAAGGAUAUUCCACUCGACAUCAUGCAAAACAAAAUAUUAAAAGCAUAUAACGGCUUAUAAAACACUAAUAUUUGAAUAAAACUUAUUCAAGAUCAAAUACUGUAACUGAACUGCUUAAAGUCAUUUAUAAAAACAAAGAGUCCACUCACUGAUGGUCCGUGCUCACUGGACCCCUUGAAGGUCCCUCAUACGGGUCAACUAGUGCCCGGGUGUCUGAUUCAAUGACCAUAAUAUUCUAUUAAUACAAUACUCAAUAUAGUAUUCAUUUAAAAACCCUGACCCCUGGCUCCAAGAAGUACGUGCGUCAGAUUAAAGUUGUUCCUAUGCCCAUAAAAGCUUUCCUUCCAAUUGGAAUAGUUUAGCAGUAUCUUGGGACUCAAAAAGUGCUAAAGUCCCAAAAAGUCAACCCGGGACCCCGCGGGUCCACGACCUCACAAUUAUGAUCCGGAAGCCUCUAGAAGUUCCAAUAUACCUAGGACACAUGUUCCGAGGGUUUGAUCUCAAUCGGACGGUCGGAUUGAUCACGAUCGUACAAUCGCACGAUUUCUAAACCCUAGCCCUAGGGUUCGCGAUUUCAGAGUAUCCGAAACUCUGAUUCACAAUCUGUCGUAUCCUAAACAAUCCUGCAAUUGUCUAGAUGAACAUAUCUGAAAAUGAUUACAAUCCAACGGCUCAACAGUAUUGAACCCGAAAAUCGCACAAUAUGCAAAAAUCUGUUCGAGGCUCAAACGGUAACCAAAUUGAGAUCCGUGAAUUCCUACGCGCUCGUGACAACACGAGGAUCAUUCUAGGAUUGAAAGUGUGCUCCAUAAACUGCCCACGCGCCGCCACACGCUCCGGCAGGGCGUGGGUGGCUUGAUAAUUUCUGGCGGUUGAAAAAUCUCCAAACCGCUGGCCCAAACUCCUGUCCUAAGUAAAACACCAUAUUUGAAACCACUUUUGUUCUUGGACUUACCCCAAAAACUGGCCGAAAGUGGCCGGAAUUUCAAACUCAAAACCGGUGAAACUUUGGAUCGUGAUUUGAUCUAUCUAGGCUAAAAAUCGUUCCAAUCCUACCCAACCAGCAGCUAAGUCAUGAAAAAGAGGUAAAGAUUCAUACCUUACUCGACUGAUUUGGUGGCCAGAGGAGAGAGCUCGAAAGCUUGGAAGUUUUCUCAAAAUCGGCUGGGUUUUGGACGUUUUCCGGCGAAAAUCGUGACAGUCAAGUGGCAGGGAAGGUCGGGCUUGGUGGCGGAGCUGACGUCAGUGUGAUUGGGUCUGGUCCAGCGGGUCGGGGCGAGGUGUAGCGGUGGCUGGGUGGUUAUGGAGGUUCAGCUGGGGAAAGGCGCACGGGAAGGAGGCUGCGGGGAGAGAGAAGAGAGACUAAGGGAAAAGGGAGAGAAGUGAGGUUUUUAAAAUCUGAAUUUUCAAAUUACCAUUUUGCCCCUCUACGUAUUUUGACCGUAUCUUCUUCGUUAAAGCUCCGAUUCGAGCCCACUUCUUGUCUACGAACUAGUUUCGUCAUACUCUACGCAACGGUUUGUGUGAAAUUGUCAAAUUCCUUCUCGGUCAAAAAGUCAACUUUUCUUUACUAAAUUAUUCCAAAGGCAAAAUUGUCUUUUCCUCUUGAUAAAUUAAUAAGUAAAUAUUAAUUAAGGUUUGGGUUAUUACAACCCAACUAUCACCAAAAUCAAUUUAGUGACUCAAAAAACUUGACUGUUGCCUUCUUUUUUUUUUGGUUGUUGUUGCUGUUGUUGUUGUAGUGAAAAUAAGAAAAAAAACAUUAUCAUUGUCUAGGUUCACCCUUUGACACAGCUCUCAGAGGGUGGGCCAUGUGUAAACUGAGGCCAAACUUGCCUUCCACACUCAUGGUCUUUGCUCUGGUACAACCUCAUCUUGAAGCUUCCAAUCAAAAGAGUCUAUAAGUGAACCCAACAUCAAGUGUAUCAUUCGCAUUGCAAAUGGCAAGCCAAGACAAAUUCUCCUCUAAUGUAGAACAAAUGGCUGAACGGAUUGAAGAAGAAUUGGUGCAAAGAAUGGAAAAAAGACGCAGCAGGAAUUUACAAAUUUGGCGUCCGAGCUCCAAUUGGGUCACAUAAUACCUUCUCGAAAAGGGAACGACUUCCAAUAGAGUGCAAACUUGGAACCAGCCCCAGAAGGAGAACCCGUAUGCUAAGACCAUGACAGAUAUUUGUUAUCGAUGCCAAAAACCAAGGCAUCGUUCCAACGUUUGUCUUGAGCAGAGGCAAGCUAAUUUUAUAAAAGAUGUUGGUGAUGAUGAAGAAAAUGAUGAAGUUGUAGACGAUGAUUAUGCAGGGACUGAGUUUGCAAUUGAGGAGGGAAUAGAAAGGCUUACUUUGGUUUAACAGCGAGUUCUUUUGGCAGCAAAAGAGGAAGGGCAGCGACAUAGCAUUUUCCGUUCUCUUUGUUCAAUCAAAAAGAAAAUCUGUGAUGUGAUCGUAGCACUAGUAAAAAAAACCCUUUGCGCGACCAAAUUUUGCGCGACGAAAAACUAUUCGUCGCUCAAAGUCACUUUGCGCGACGAAACUCAAAACUUCGUCGCUCAAAGUCUUACGCGACCAAAUUUUGCGCGAUGAAAAAUAAUUCGUCGCACAAAGUCACUUCGCGCGACAAACUUUUGCGCGACGACAAUACAUCGUCGCUCAAAGUCUUGCGCGACCAAAUUUUGAGCGACGAAAAAACAUUCGUCGCGCAAAGUAACUUUGCGCGACAAACUUUUGCACGACAACAAUACAUCGUCACUCAAAGUGACUUUGCGCGACGAAACAAUAAACUUCGUCGCGCAAAGUCCUUAUAAAAAUAAAAAAUAUAUAUUUUUAAAUCUUUGCGUGACGUAAUCCAAACAUUUCGUCGCCUAAACCAAUUUAUUUUUGUUUUUUAUUUUGUAUGCAUAACACUUAAGAAAUUAAACAGUAUAUAUAUUUAUUAAGUAGCUUUAAAUUUAUUAUUUUAGAUCGAAUCGGAUUUUUGUUAGAAAAAUAUAUUAUUGUUGUUCAGAUUGAGUUUUUGUUAGAAAAUAUAUAUUUUAAAUUGACAAUCGAAUUAGUUCAUUGUAUUCAUAUAAGGUCAAGGAGUGUAGCUGUAAAAAAUCAUCAAAAUCGGAGUUAAAAUAACCGUUAAAUCGUGAUUUUUUAUUAUAACCAUCGAAAAGUUUUGUCCCAUUACUUGAUCUCUGAAUGUUUAUUUUUUUCGAUUUUUGGCGUAUAUGAUCUCGAAGUAUAAACAAACAAGUUUGACAGUUGGAUCGUUGAAACUAGUUUUGGUGAAUGUAUAUGCCAUCAAAACAAUAUAUUCACUAACAAUUAAGAGUUUAUUUAUACGUUCGUUAAAUAUAACAUAAGAUUUUGUGGUAUCCACUAGUGUAAAUAUUUUAUAUUGAAGAUCAAAUUAGUUAUUGUAUUCAUAUAGGGUCAAGGAGUGUAGCUGUAAAAAAAUCAUCAAAAUCGGAGUUAAAAUAACCAUUAAAUCAUGAUUUUUCAUUUAUAACCGUAAAAAAGUUUUGUCCCGUUACUUGAUCUCUGAAUGUUUAUUUUUUCCGAUUUUUGGCGUAUAUGAUCUCGAAGUAUAAACAAACAAAUUUGACGGUUGGAUCGUUGAAACUAGUUUCGUAGAAUGUGUAUGCCAUCAAAAUAAUAUAUUCACUAACAAUUAAGAGUUUUUUUUUAUACUUUCGUUAAAUAUAACAUAAGAUUUUGUGGUAUCCACUAGUGUAAAUAUUUUAAAUUGAAGAUCAAAUUUUGUCAUUGUAUUCAUAUAUGGUCAAUGAAUGUAGCUGUAAAAAAAAUCAUCAAAAUCGGAGUUAAAAUAACCGUUAAAUCGUAAUUUUUCAUUUAUAACCAUCGAAAAGUUUUGUCCCGUUACUAGAUCUCUGAAUGUUUGUUUUUUGCGAUUUUUGGAGUAUACGAUCUUGAAGUAUAUACAAACAUGUCUGAUGGUUGGAUCGUUGAAUGGUGUGUGUAUAUAUAUUUAUUUAUUAAGUAGCUUUAAAUUUAUUUAUUUUGUACGUAUAACACUUAAGAAAUUGAAUAGUAUAUAUAUUUAUUAAGCAGCUUUAACCUUAUUUAUAUUUUAAAUUGUAAAAUAAAAUUAUUUUAUUUUUAUUAUUCAUAACAAUUAUUUUUAUAAAUAUUGUGCUACGAACCAAUUUUUCGUCUCUCAAAACUUUGCGCGACCAACAGUUUGUCGCGCAAAACUCUAAAAAUUUGGACGGGUACCAAAAAUGGGACGCGGGAUUUAAAAAAAAAAAAAAAUUUAGACUUUGCGCGACCAAUAUUUUCUGUCGCUAAAAACUUUGCGCGACCAAUAUAUAUUUUUUGUCUCGCAAAAAUUUGGGCGGGUACCAAAAAUCGAACGCGGGAAUUUUUUUAGACUUUGCGCGACCAAUAUGUAUUUUUCGUCGCGCAAAAAUUUAAAAAUUUAGGGUACCAAAAAUGGGACGCGGGAUUUUUUUAAAAAAAAAAAAUUUAGACUUUGCGCGACCAAUAUUUUUUGUCGCUCAAAACUUUGCGCGACCAAUAUAUUUUUUUCGUCUCGCAAAAAUUUGGGCGGGUACCAAAAAUCGGACGCGGGAAUUUUUUUAGACUUUGCGCGACCAAUAUGUAUUUUUCGUCGCGCAAAAAUAUAAAAAUUUUGGGGGGUACCAAAAAUGGGACGCGGGGAUUUUUAUUUUUUUAAAAUAAUUUUUUUUAGACUUUGCGCGACCAAUAUUCAUAUAUUCGUCGCGCAAAAGUUUGCGCUACCAAUAUUCAUUUUUCGUCGCGCAAAGUGAUACGGUUUUUAAAACCGAAAUAACUCCACCAUUUUCUCAAUGUCUUUCUCUACUCUUACCUCUCCUUUCUCUUUCCCUCUCCCCAAAUCCCACCAUUUCUCUCACUCACUCCUCUCACUUAAUCUCUCAUCUCUCUCUUCACUAUCUCUCACUCUCUCUCACCCACUCUCUCAUCUCUCUCACUCACUCUCUCAUCUCUCUAUCACUAUCUUCUCUAAUUCUCUCACACUCACUUCUCCCUCUCAUUCUCACUCACUCUCAAUCUUGCCAAAAGGUAUAUUCUCUCCAAAUUUUAAAUUUUUUUCAUUAAUAUGUGUUUUUGGAGUUAAUUUUGAGUUUGUGUGGGUUUUGGGGUUGAGUAAAGGGGAGGGAUUGGAGUUUGGGUUGGAUUUGUGGUAUAACAAUUUUAGGGGAGAUUAUGCCUUUUUUUUGUUUUUUUUUUUUGGUUAUUUGACCAUAUUUGUUUUUUUUUUGUAGGGAAUCAUCGAGACUUUGACGGCUAAAGUUGAGGAUUAGGAAGCUAUCAAAACAUAUCCUCCGCCACUACCACCACAAUACGCUUGUAUUAGGAUUUUAUUAUUGUACUUUGUUAAUUUAUGUGUAUAUUUUGAAUAUUAUAUAUAUAUAUUUAUUGGAUAAUUUGAUCACUAUUUUUCAUAUGUAAUUUUAUUUUGAAUAUGUCAAUUUAAAUUAAAGUAAUUAAAAAAAUCAUACAAUUAAAUUAAAUUUAAAAAGUAAAAACUUGAAAAAAUUAAUAUCAAUUUAAAUUAAAGUAAUUUUAAAAAGAAAUCAUACAAUUAAAUUAAAUUUAAAAAAUAAAAUUUUGAAUAAAUUAAUAUAAAUUAAUUAAUAUUAAAGAAAUAAUAAAACAAAAAGUCAAAAACCUUGCGUGACAAAAUAUUUCGUAGCGCAAACUAUUAAAUUAGUUUAUUUUAAAUUAAAAAAAUUUAAAACAAAAAAUAUUUCGUCGCGCAAAUAUUUGCGCGACGUUAGUAUUCGUCGCGCAAAACUCAAAAAAUUUGGGCGGGUACCAAAAAUUGUACGCGGGAAUUUGUUUUUUUUUUAAAUUUUUUUGAAGACUUUGCGCGACCAAUGGUUUUCGUCGCGCAAACCUUUGCGCGACCAAUGUAUUUCGUCGAGCACAACUUUGCGCUACCAAUAUUUUUCGUCGCGCAAAGUCACUUUGCGCGACCAAUAUUUUUUCGUCGCGCAAAGUCACUUUGCGCGACCAAUGAAAAAACUUCGUCGCGCAAAGUCUUUCUUUACGAUCUUUGCACGACGGAUUCUGCGCGACGAAAUUUCUGUCGCGCUGAAAUUUGUGCGACUACAAUGUAUUUUGCGCGACGAAAUUCUCUUCGUCGCGCAAAGUGUAAAAUGUAGUAGUGUAGACAAUGGGAGUUGCAAGAAUUUUGUGUCAAAAAAAUUGGUGGAGCGUUUGCAGCUUCCAACACAGCCAUAUAUCAGCCCUUAUUCACUGAGUUAGGUUAUAAAAGGAUCUUCAGUUCGUGUUACUGAGACUUAUCGUGCGCCACUCUCCAUUGGUAAGCAUUACAGAGAUGAAGUCGUAUGUGAUGUUAUUGAUGUGGAUGCUUGUCAUAUCUUGUUAAAGCGACCUUGGCAAUAUGAUGUGGCUGCAACCUUUAAGGGUCGAGAUAAUGUGAUUUUGUUUUCCUGGAACAACCACAAGAUUGCAAUGGCUACUACAGUGUCCUCAAACAAAUCAAUUGAGCCCAAAACUAAGAGUUUUGGUUUUCUAACUCUGAUCAGCAGCGAGUAAGAGUUAAAUGAGGCAAAAAAGAAGCAUAUUAUUUUUGUCCCAUGGUGUUGAAAGGGCUAUUGAAGGCCAGCAAAGAAGAAAAUGUAAUUCCUAUUGAAGUGCAACAGAUUUUGACAAAAUUUCAGGAACUGAUUUAUGACAAGCUGUCAAACGAGCCAUCGCAUUUGAGAGAUAUACAACACCACAUUGAUUUGGUACCGAGGGCUAGUCUACCGAAUCUGCCACAUUGUCGCAUAAGCCGUAAGGAGAAUUUAAUUCUAAGAGAGCGAAUUGAAGAUUUGUUACAAAAGGGUUUUAUCAGGGAGAGCUUGAGUCCCUGUGCGGUUCCAAUCCUUCUUGUUCCAAAGAAAGAUCAGUCUUGGCGUAUGUGUGUUGAUAGUUAACCAAUCAACAAGAUUACAAUAAAAUACAUAUUUCCCAUCCCAUGGUUGGAAGAUAUGUUGGAUGUGCUUGAAGGCUCUAAGAUGUUUUUCCAAAAUAGAUUUGCGCAGCGGAUACCACCAGAUUCGCAUCAGGCUAGACGAUGAGUGGAAAAUAGCGUUUAAGAGCAAGGAAGGGUUAUACGAAUGGCUGGUGAUGCCGUUCAAAUUGUCAUGGUUUAUUUUGAAAGAAAAUAAGCUAUAUGUGAAUCUGAAAAAAUGUACUUUUUGCACAAAUAAGCUACUGUUUUUGGGUUUUGUGGUUGAUGAGAAUGGUAUCCAGGGGGAUGACGAGAAGAUCAAGCAAUUCUUGACUGGCCAACUCCAAAAACAAUCUUUGAAGUUCGAAGUUUCCAUGGUUUAUCCACUUUUUUUACAGGAGGUUUGUGAGGCAUUUCAGUUCCAUUGUCGUGCCUGUUACUAAAUGUUUGAAGAAGGGUAGGUUCAAUUGGGGAGAAGAGCAAGAAAAAAGUUUUGCUCUUGUAAAAGAAAAACUUUGCACCGCCUCGAUUCUAGCUCUUCCAAAUUUUGAGAAGGUGUUCGAAGUUAAAUGUGAUGCCAGUGGCGUGGGAGUGGUAGCCGUGCUCUCUCAAGAUAAGAGACCAAUUGCUUUCUUUUCUGAAAAGUUGAGCGACGCUCGUCAAAAGUGGAGUACUUAUGACAAAGAAUUUUAUGCAGUUGUUUGGGCUUUGAAACAAUGGAAGCACUAUCUUAUUCAUAAGGAAUUUAUUUUGUUUAUAGAUCCUCAAGCUUUGAAGUAUAUUAACAGCCAGAAACAUAUUGAUAAAAUGCAUGCCAAAUGGGUGACUUUUUUUGCAGAAAUUUUCAUUUGUUAUCAAGCAUACUUUUGGCACCUCAAAUCGUGUGGCUGACGCACUGAGUAGAAGGGCUUCUCUGUUAGUUACUCUUACUCAAGAAAUUGUGGGGUUCAAGUGUCUAAAGGAUUUAUAUGAAGAUGAUGAUGAUUUCAAGGAAAUAUGGGCUAAAUGUGCUAAUCAUGAGCCAAUGGCAGAUUUCUUUCUUAAUGAAGGGUAUUUGUUCAAGGCCAACUUGUUAUGCAUUCCUGUUUCCCCCUUAAGGGAGAAACUCAGUCGGGAUUUACACGGAGGAGGGUUGAGUGGCUACUUAGGCCGCUAUACAACAAUAGUAGGAUUGGAGGAGAGAUUUUAUUGGCCACAGUUGAAGCGUUAUGUUGGAACAAUUGUGCGCAAAUGUUAUAUUUGUCAAGUUUUGAAGGGACAGGUACAAAACACUGUAUUAUACAUGCCUUUACCAGUUCCUAAUGAUAUAUGGCAGGAUCUUGCUAUGGAUUUUGUCCUUCGUUUUGCCUCGAACUCAGAGAGGUGUGGAUUCAGUUUUUAUGGUGGUUGAUCGAUUCUUAAAAAUGGCACAUUUCAUAGUCUGCAAGAAGACUGCUGAUGCAUCUAAUAUAGCCAAACUGUUUUUCAAGGAGGUUGUUCGUUUGCAUGGAGUACCUACAUCUAUAACUUCUGACCGUGAUACAAAAUUUUUGAGCCAUUUUUGGAUCACUUUGUGGGGAAUGUUUGGGACUACUUUGAACAGUAGUAGCACAACCCAUCCUCAAACUAAUGGCCAGACUGAGGUAACCAAUCGAACAUUGGGAAAUAUGGUGCGAAGCAUUUGCAAAGAGAAGCCGAAACAACGGGAUUAUGCGCUGUCACAGGUGGAGUUUGCAUAUAACAAUGCAAUUCAUAGUGCAACCGAGAAGUCACCGUUUUCCAUUGUUUAUACUAUUGUGCCUAAUCAUGUUGUAGAUUUGGUGAAGUUGCCUAGAGGCCAAAAAACCAGUGUUGCAGAGGGAAAUUUGGCUAAAGAAGUGGUGGCUGUUCGUGAUGAAGUGAAGCAAAAACUCGAGCAAACUAAUGCUAAGUACAAAGCCGCUGCAGACAAGCAUAGGCGAGUUAGGGUGUUCCAAGAAGGUGAUUUUGUUAUGGUGUUUCUGAGGAUGGAGAGGUUCCGUGCUGGUACAUAUAGCAAGCUGAAGCCUAAGAAAUAUGGUCCUUACAAGGUGCUGAAAAGAAUCAAUGACAAUGCCCAUGUUAUUGAAUUACCAAAUUCCGUGGGAAUUUCUAAUACUUUUAAUGUUGCUGAUUUGUAUGAGUUUCAUGAAGAUAGAACCCUUUAUCCUAAACAUAACUCGGGGUCGAGUUCUUUAAAGGUGGAGGGGACUGAUGUAGAACAAAUGGCUGAAUGGAUUGAAGAAGAAUUGGAGCGAAGAAGGGAAAAAGGACGCAGGAGGAAUUUACAGAUUUGUCGUCUGAGCUCCAAUUGGGUUGCAUAAUACCUUCUUAGAAAGAGAACGACGCCACGAGUCCAACUCACCACUUUGUUGUGACAUAUGGUAGAUGUUGGGCUUCUGAGGAUGUUUGGCCUUCUAAAAGUGCAUUUAAAGAUUGCAUUCAAUUUAUAGACUUUCCGUUCAUUUUCUGUUACGUUUUCAAUAACUCCCUAGGACAGUCCAAUGGGUGAGAACAUGGUAUUUAGUCAGCCGUCAUGCUUGGUUGAACUUAUCUUGAAUUUUAUCAAAUAAUUCAAAGAGAAUUUCUCUCUACCUUCCUGGUUGAUUUCAUAUUAUUAUUCUUUAGGAUUUUCGCUUGAAAACCUAUUUACUUGUGUUGCGUCAUCCUCCCACCACCAAACGGAAUAAGCUCAAUGCUUUUGCCUAUAACAUCAAUAUCCAUUCCCAAGAACCUCUCCGGCAUAAAUGAGGUAGGGUUGUCCCAAAUGGGGUCUUUGCCAAUGGCCCAUGCAUUCACCAACACCUGCGCACCCUUUGGUACAAUGUAGGCACAAAUUGCUACGUCUGCUUCGGCUCUGCGAGGGACAAAUAGAGCUGGUGGGUGUAGCUGGAAGGUUUCUUUGAUUAUUGCUUGUAAAUAAGGAAGUCGAGCAAUGUCCGAUUCCUCUUAUGGUUUUCCUUUGCCAAUGACUUGCUCUAACUCCUCUUGAGCUUUUGACAGUUUUUUCAAGGUUACGUACUAGCUCAGCCACUGCCCAUUCCAAUGUGGCUAAAGUUGUAUCUUUGCCCGCCACAAGUAGAUCCUAAAUAAAGAAGUGCACAAGGCAUUUACCCCACAUGAGUAUUACUAUUAUGGGCUUCAGCAACACUUACAUUUUUUAAAGCCUUGUGAGGCUAUAUGGGCCCGCCACUUUUCCGAAAAAGGAUACCAAGGUCAGCAUCUACAAAUUCUAUUAAAAAAAACACAAACACACACACAUUUAUAUUUCUCUCCUUCGGCACCUUGCCAAGUUUUAUGCCCUUUGGGAAUUUUCUUUCGACACACAAGUUUCAUGCAAAGUUCCUUCGGUAAUUUCCUUGCUGCACCCAAGUUUCAUGCAAGUGCCUUUGGCACCUUACCAACUUUCAUGCCUUUCGGCAAUUUCUUUGUGACAAGCAAAUUUCAUGCAAGCUUUGUGCCUUCGACAGCUUGUCUUGCGACUUGCAAGCCUCUUUGCCUUCGGCACCCCCGUGCUCUUCAGAACCUUGCCUUGCAACAUGCAAGCCUUGUGCCACAAAGCAAUAGUGCGCGAGUCCCACAACAGCUUUCUUGCACAUGGGAUGUGUUAGCUUCAGUGGGAUCUACCGAAAUUUUUUUGGCCCAAGAAAUAGCUGGACUGCUAUUUGACCCCAAGUUUGGGUUUUCCCAAAUUUUGGCCUCUUCAUUUUAUUUGGUUGGGAGAGGAGUUGGGCUAAAAUUUGAGAUUUUUUGGUUUGUCCUCAUGGGUUGGAGAUGGCCUUACCCCUCUUGACCGUGGUUUGGUGACCCACUUUGUCCUUUGUCAUCAACUUUGUCCAAAAAUUUGUUAAUUAUGAUGACAUGGUAGGGGUAUUUUUGUAAUCUCAUACACAUGGAUCAUUAUCCACCAAUUAAGAGUGUGACGUGAUAAGUAGCCCAUCUCCACAUAGAUAAGAAUAUAAUUAAAUAUUAUAAUUAUUAAAUCUAAUUUUUUAAAAAGAAUUAGACCCCAGCCGCCUCAAUCCUCAACCUCCAUCCACACCCCCCCUCCUCUCCUACAAAUACCCUUGGAAGAAACUGUUAGAAGUGUGCCCUAAGAGCCAAUACAUUUGAUACAAUCUCCUUAGAAUUUCAUAUAUGAUAUAUAAAGGGCAAACUUAUUUUGUUAUCUUUUACAUCAUGUAAAGAAACAAAUGUCCAGGGUAUGCUAAAUAAGAGAUAAGGUAAUCUAAAGAAGAUUAAAUUCGGGAGACCUUUAAUCUCUAACUGUAGUAUUCCAAAAUGUUCCUAAUCAUAGGGUUAUCAAAUGGGCAUUGAUAAACCGUCAAGAUUAGCACAAAUUAUGUAUGCUCAAUUAGGAGGAUGGUUACUUUCAAACCCUUUGCGUAAUUGACACUACUACAAGUAUGUGGGUGCUCAUUACUGAACGUGAUUAACCUUAGUUUUCGUAUGGAGUAUUUAUCUAUAUGUCAAACGAGAACUCAUAGUUGCAAUAAUGCAAAUUAGUUCUUAGACCUGAGGCAUCAUAAUUGUCAUGUGAUGCGUUAUUGAUCUUUAAUAGCUCUCAAAGGCAUGUGUAAAAGAUUUGUCUUAAGUGUUGUUGGGAUCUCUUAAUUCAUCAUAGGGGUAUGUGAAUGUAUAAUAAGGAAUCUCUACCUUCGAUAAAGAAGGAGAAUGUUUCAAGAUGUGAUUCAGCAAAUCUUUGGCUAAAGUUUUUUUAGCUUGAUUUAGAAAGUUAUUCUUAAUUAUGUUCUUUUGAAUCACAUGAGGUUAUAAAUCAUAUUAGGGUUUAACAUAAUCAAUCUGUACCUUAAUAAUAUGAUUUGAAACAUUGUAUAAGAGAAGGACCGUAUUGCAUUGCAGUUCCAACUGAAUGGGUUCUUCAUCUAUUUUGGUUAGCUUGGGUAGCCUUAAUAUAUUGCCAGAUGUCACUCUUGGCUCAUGGAAGUCCUAGGAUUGAUUGUGAUCAAUCCAUAUAAAGGAAGAAUUAAAUGGGGGUUUUAAUUCCAGUUGAUUAGAAAGAGUUUUAAUGUUUUCCCACUCCCUCGCUAAUUAGAAUCUAUACUACUACAAAAAGGGCAAUAGACGACGGGAAUUGAUCGUCGUGUAGCAAGUUUUCUAACCGUCAUGAAAUUGACCGAUAUUUUUUUAAAAACAAAACCAAGACGGCAAAAAGGAGACGUUGUUCAUCGAGAAACAAUGUCAGAAUUAAUAAAAGCCGAAGUAAGUAAAGAAAAUGACCGCCAAAAUAACUAAUGGUGAACGUGUAAACGACUCAAUUUGGGAAACAACCGUCGUCUAAAUCAUAAAACAUGACGUUGUUUAGUAAAAUAUCGCUAGAAAAAAAAAAGCCACCAUGUCAUAAACAAUUAACUGAACGACGUUAAUUAAGACAUUCCACGACACAUUAUAAUAUAUUACGCCACUUUUAUUUCCAGAUAUGAUGUUGUAAAUAGUGUACACCGUCAGUCUUUACUCAGAAGUUGACGUAUUAAAAGAUAUACACGUCUAUUAGUAUAUCAGAGACGACGUUAGGAAAACAUACCACGACACAUCUGUUUCCACAUGGGACGUUUUUAUACAAUAUUUCACGACACAUGGUCACCAAGGAGACGUGAAAACUAUUAAUGACGUCAGUAAAUAUGGGAAUAAACAGGUUCUACGUCUCCUUUACUUUAAACUCUGACAGUGAAAUUAGAUUUACAACCUCGGUUAUUAUAAACACCGUGUUGUAUGUCGUAAUACAAACGUCGCAUAACCUUCGAAGACGACGUGGUUACGCUGUACUACGUCAUCUUUGUUUUUAAAGACGACAUUUGCAUGUAAUAUUUUACGACACAUAGUCACCAAGGAGACGUGAAAACAAUUAAUGACGACAGUAAAUAUGGGAAGAAAGAGGUUUUUACGCCUCCUUUAUUUUAAAUGCUGAUGGUGAAAAAGAACUUACAACGUCGGUUACUGUAAAAAGGUGUCGUAUGUAGUGAUAUAAACGUCGCUAAGCAUAUCAAAGGCGACAUGGUUACUUUGUUCUACAUCAUUGUUAUUUCUAAAGACGAUGUAAUUCAAAUAUUCACCAAGUCCUUAAAGACAUAAAUUGACGUGGUAUGUUGUUAAGACGUUUCUUAAUAAGAGUGUAUCGUCGUGUUUGUGAAGUAAAACGACGGUAUAUGUGUUAUGAGGUCGUGUUAUCCGCUUUUAAAUGUCGUCUUUUUGGGCCUUCUCGUCGUGAUAUCCUGUAACAACGGCUUGUCAUUACCGUUGUUGUUCUAUUAUUAGUGCAGUCUUUUGAGUUAUGUUUUAGACGGCGGUAAGUACAUCGUGGCUAUCUCAUUGGAUACAUACGACCUUUUUAAUAUCCAUUUUUUUAAACAGACGUCUUCUGCAGUUUUUUUCUUUGUUUUUUUUAUAGGUUUUAAGGUCUUCCAUUGCAUGACGUAUGAUAAAAAAACGACAUCUUAUAUUAUUAUGACGUCUGUUUUCGCAAUUUUGUUAACAGGACCGUCGUAUUUUGGUACUUGAACUAGAUGUUUUUGUACUAAAAGCUUUGAGCCCAAACCCUGUAUAAUGAAAGUGAAAACAAUGCAAUACAAUUUCUUACAAAAUUAAUGUCAUACACAGCCAUUUGGGGCGUAAGUAAUGUCAUAAAUUACAAGCAUCAUUCAAUCCAUAUAUCUUCAAACCCAUCUCGAAUAUUUUGACUCCCAGACUCACCGGCUAGUUCAUCAAAUAUUUUGAUUCACAUCACCUAAGACAUCAUCACCAAUAACAUCAUUAUAUUCUCUAUUAGGCAUUGAUAACACUACUGACCAACCAUAACAAAUUUGUCAUUCCCAUGUCCAAUUUUAUUCAGAUCUACAAGGGUAAAUCCAAGUUCGUCGACUACAAGGCCAGAAGUGUUAUCUAUCCAAUCACACCUAAAGACUGUGAUUGUAAACUUUUGGUAAUAAGGUCCCAAAUAUCUUGAAUGACACCAUAAAAAUCCAUAUUUGAGACAAUUGGGUUCUUAUCCUUGGCACUAGCAACUUGCAUAGUAUGUGCAAGUAAAUAAACUCCACUUUUUGAACUGCACGCACAUCAUCUUGUGCCUUGGUGUUAAAUUUAAUACCUUUGAUAAGAUAGCUCCUAUAUGAUGGCACUGCCAUGCUUGGACCAGCUGCUAGCCACCUUAAAUUUUCUGAUACACCAUUAUUGUCUUGCUUAUUAAGUUGACUUUGAACCUGCAAAUAAAUCAUAUCUUAAUUCAAUCUAAUAUAAAAAGAAGAAAAUUAAAAGUGCAGCCAUUGAAUGAAAGAGGUAUUGUGCUUAUCUUGCAGCCACUUUGUUCUCUUUCUAAAUUUUGGAUAAGUGGUCUUGAUGUGGAUCAUAUGUUCUCUACAUAACACGAAAAAUUCAAGCAUUACAAUCCCAAACAUAUAAGAUAAACAUAAGGAAUAUAAUUUAAAAUGACUACUUAAGAAUAAAACUCAUACUCGAUAUAUGGUAACACUUCCUCUGUAUUCUCCAAGACAUAUAGAUGUGCCUGAUUCAACAAGUCCCAAUCAACUAAACUCACUGUGCAACCUGAUAAGGGCUUUGAAAGUCCCAUCUUCUGGCUUGAUGGUGCUCCAACUGUAUUAACAUCAGAUAAAUGCUCGGUGCAAAACUCUACAGCAUCUUCAGCUAUAUACUGCUCAGCAAUGCAACCUUCAAGAUGAUUACGGUUCUGAACAUACCCCUUUAGCACUUUCAUAUAUCUUUCAAACGGAUAAAUCCAUCUAAAAUAAACUGGCCCACAUAGACGAACUUCUCUGACAAGAUGUACUACUAGAUGAACCAUGACAUCGAAGAAUGAAGGGGGAAAGUACUUCUCAAGCAAACAUGAAGUUACUACUACAUCUUCUUUCAACUUAUCUAGCUUGGAAACAUCUACCAUCUUUGCACAUAUAGCCUUGAAGAAGAAGCACAAUCGAGUUAUUGCAUACCUUGCAGGCUUCUCCAAGACAGAACAAAUUGCCACAGGGAGCAUUUGUUCCAUCAAGGUAUGACAAUCAUGUGAUUUAAGCCUAAGAAGUCUUGAAUCUUGUAAAGAUAUAGGAUUUUAAUAUUUGAAGAAUAACCUUCAGGGACCUUCAUACAAUAGAAAGAAUUGCAAACCUCUCUCUUCUCUGCUCUUUACAAAUUCCAAGGCCCUAGAGGCAAGGGAGUACGUCUUUCUCCAUACUCAGGUUGCAAAUCAGUCUUGAUCCCCAUGUUCAAUAAAUCCAAAUGAGCAGCAAUCUCAUCUUUAUUUUUUCCAGGGAUCUCCAACAACGUACCAAUGAUACUAUCGCAAACAUUUUUCUCGAUGUGCAUAACAUCAAGGGCAUGCCUCACAGAAAGGUAUUUCCAGUACUCUAGAUCAAAGAAUUUUGACUUCUUCUUCCAACAGACUCUAUCACCAUCAUUUGCACUUCCACCUCCCCCUUUUUUCGAGCCCCAUUUAUAAUUAAUACCUUCAACCAUUUGUAAUACUUCUUCUCCGAUUAAUGGCUUUGGAGGCGUGUCAUUUUCAGGUUUCCCAUUAAAAGCUGUACGUUGCCUACCAAUAUAUAUGCCUGAUGUAACAUAUUUUGUGCCCAUUUUUCAACCUGUGACUAGGUAUAUCAUCACCGCAUAUUGGACAAGCUUUAUAUCCUUUUACGACACAAUCUGAUAAGGAAAAAUCAUUAAUUGUCCACAGUAAUGCAGCUCUGAGUGUAAAGUAUUCUCCUAUAUGAACAUCAUACACUCCUUUAAUCCAUCAACUAUAUCUGGUACCUAGAGAAUUGUGGGGACUGAAUCCAUCAGAUGAGAGAGCCAAUCUCAAGUUUCUUGGCUCAUUACCAAACUCGGGCCAUUUAUCAUCAACCAGUUUUCAAGAGGGAGAAUCCGUCAGAUGAGACAUCAGACCUUCAAUUGCUUUUCUAUUAGCAUGCCAAGUCAAACUCUUAGCUAUCUAGUGUGAUUGAAACAUCCUUUUAAAUCUUGAAAUUGGUGGAAAAUACCACACUACCUUUGCCGGGACACCUUCUUUCAAGAUUGAAUCUUUGCCUUUCUUCCAUCUUGAGAUUCCACAAGUAGGACAAUGAGUUGAAUGUUCAUACUCCUUCCUAUACAAGAUGCAAUCAUUGGGGCAUGCGUGGAUUUUCUCAUAACUCAGCCCCAAUGCACACAAAGUCUUUUUUACGUCAUACAUAGAGGAAGGUAUUGUAUUUCCUUCUAAAAACAAAUCUCCUUGAAGUAUCAACAAUUCUGUAAAACAGACAUUACUCAUCCCAUAUUUUGCCUUCAAAUUAUAUAACUUCACUAAUGCCAACAACUUAGUGUACUUUCUACAACCAGGGUACAAGAGUUGAUCUCCAUUGCCAAUCACAUUGGCAAACUCAUAAGGAUCGGAUCCAAAAUCACCUAAAUCAUUAUCAUCCAUCUCUAUUUCUUCAUACACAAAAUUGUACCUACUAUGUUCAUCAUCUUCUUCCACAUUUCUACUAGCAUUAGUAGUUGCUUGCCAAGGUUCUCCGUGAAAUGUCCAAUUCUUAUAACUUUGGUCAACUCCAUUAAAGUAUAAGUGGUCCCUUAUAAUUCCAACCCCAAACAAUCGAACAUUUGCACAUUUAACACAUGGACAGUGAAUAUGUGUUGUGGUUAGAAGAUUUUCUAUUGAAAUUUUCAAAAAUGCUUCCACCCCUAACUCAUAUGCCUUCGAUCUUCUAUCCGCAUGCAUCCAUGACUUAUCCAUCUCCAACAAUAUACACUAUUAUUUAUAAUAAAGUGAAAAGACAAGCCAUGACCAUCACUAUAGCAUAUUAUAAUUACUUUGAUAGAAAGUAAUUUAACAUAAAGACAACGGCUUUUUUAAAACAUCCGACAUUUUAUACUUAUACAGACGACGGUUUUCUUCAAAAACCGACGUUUUAAGCAAGUAAACAGUGAUUCUGAAAACAACAAUACAAUUACAUACGACGGUAGUUAAAUAAACAUCGCCUUGUAAAGAAAAUAAAGACGACAGUUUUUACGAAAAACAGUCUUCAAAAUCUUAAAGAAAAGAAGGCUAAUGUUGAGCCUAUUCUUAACAACUAAAAUGAGUUAUUAAAAACAGCAACUUUAAUUCUCGCAAGUGCACGAAUCGUUUAUAGUAUAGCUUAUGUAAAUACGAGGUCGAUCCCACGGAGAAUGGUAACUUGGUUCCAAGUUAAAUUACUUAGAAUGCUAGAAAAACAUAGAACAAAGAAACUGACUAACUAGCUAAAGGCAAGGUCGAAUUCAACAAUGCCUCUUGCUAAUUACUCAAGGUCUAGGACAGAAUCCUAGCACCACACACGCACUCGAAAUGGGGGAUUUUGUUGUUGAAAUGAAAACAAGAAAGUGAAAUGAAAGUGCUCGAAAGUAAACACUGGCAGCAAUCAACAAGUUGUGAAACAAUGAUUGAGAGAUGUUAGAGCCUUGGAAUCCACCACUAGUUUUCCUAACCAAGUUAUGAAUGCAUAGAAAUUGACUCAAGCUUCAUUAACAAUAGAUUAUCGCAUACAAGCCUAUGGUAUCUAGGUGCAGGAUGCAUGAUUCUCCUAAGGCAUGUGAUUAUGCAUGGUAUCUACACAACACGUGAUCUCUAAUAUGCAACCUAAGUAUGGUAUCUACUUAGAAUAAAGCAUACAAGAGUCAUUAAGCUCCUUGAGAAUAUGAUAUGAUAAUCACACAAGUCCUAGAACAUGGUAUCUGUCCUAGUCAACCUAUGGUUAUUAACCCCUUGAAUGAUUCUUAGGCCAUUCAUGUGUUGCUUGUGAAAGGAGAGUAGAAUUGGUGAAUCUAAACCCAUUCCCAACCUGUGAUAGAUGCAUAAAAUCCUAGUUAGCUACUCCAAGAAAACAUACAUCAGGCACCUAAUAAACUGGAGAUUAACAACUUGAUAAUAAAAGCAAGGAAAUCAAUUAACUAUAAAAUCAUCCAUAACAUUGAAUAUUCAUGACUAGGGCUUCAUCCUAAGCCCUAACUAAAUGGAUUAGUUAGACAUUACUAUGAAUACAGAAAAUAAGAAAUACAUAGAUAGGAUAAAGAGAGGAGAAGAACUAGAUGAUGGCAGCAAGGAAGUUCCCAGGACAGCUCCAAGCUCCCUUGACAGCUCUAAGCUCCCUUCUCUCUUUGUGGUGAAUCUGAAUGUGUGUAUGAGAGUAAUGGAUGAAGUGAAUGUGUGUGUCUGCCCUCUCUCUUGAAUGAGUGUGCAACUCUUUAUUUAUAGAGUGCAAUUUCGUGCUCCCCUUUGGCUGGUGAAGCACACCUCUCUUAGCUGCUCCCAACUGCUCCAGCUACCCAUACUUGCCAACUGCUCCAGCUGACAAAUACAUGCUUUGGUAUGGUUUCUUUAUGGAAAACUUGACUUUUGUUUAUCUUUCUGAGCUUCUGAGCUGAUUUGACUCCCAUGUAUGGCGGCCCAUGUGUAGCACAUGGCUCUAGGGAUGUAGCCACAUUAAAUGUGAUGGCAGCCAACAUGACAUUUCUGUGAACUUGGUUCAGUCUUUGACGUGUUGAGGGCUCUAGAUUUAUCCAAUUGGGCUGAAAUGUGGAUAUGUUAUAAUAGACACCCAUUGGAACAACUUCUAUGAAGGAUGUCUCCUCAUCCGACCUGUGUAAGUUACUGAAAUGAGGCCUGCAAGAUGACCUACGAAACUGGACUGACAAGGAGUGUGGCACAAAUUGGUUUUGUCUUUAAGCUCAUAUUCCUCUUGUGCCACUCAGCCCUUAACAUGCAUGAAUUGUAUCAAAUGUCAUCCCCUUGCUGUCUUAACCUACAAAGCACACAAACAUAGGUAAGAGACUCAAAAUAAAGAGAAGCUAAGAAAAAUUACUAAGGAAAGAAGGCAUGCAAAUGUGUGAAAUUAUGAGCUUAUCAGCUAAAUCUUCUUUUAUUCAGACCAUUUCUAAGAACCCAAUAUAUGUUAACAACCUAUAACAUUGAAUUUUAUGAAAAGCACGCAAAUAUUAAAGUCAUUCCUUAUUCAUAACAACAGAGAUUGAUGAAGAACAUAUAUCCAAAACCCAACAAUGCAGUCUAUGAUUUCAGAAUAAUCUUCUAAACCCUAAACAUAUAUCUAAAGCCAUUCCCUAAAUCCUAUAUGUUUGUACUUCAGAACCUAGAAUUGAAUAUCAAUCAAUGAAUUACGAAGCAUGAUAUUAGGGUUUGUACUUACAGGCAGGCAGAGCUCACAGAUUAUGCUCUCUUUGGAUUCGACGGAGGCUGGAGAGCGCAAUUUAGAAUUAGAGUUUAAGUGAGAGAGCGAAAUGUAGAGUUAUAGCGAAAUCUGAAAAUUUUAGGUCGCGGCCAAAUUUUUAGAAAGCGUGCUUCUUCAAACAUCAACAGAAAUAAUACAAAACCGUCGUUAAAAACACAUCGGUUAAUAUAAGACAGACAACGUGGUAAAGUAGUAACACGGCGGUAAAACAUAAAACCGACGUCAAAAGAACUAAAUAAUAUUUCUGGGAUUUGGUUUUCCUGGAACAGAAAAUAAAAUACAACACUGGCAUCAUAUACUAAACCCUAAACCCUAAACCCUAAACCCUAAACAUUAAAUUAUAAUUUUGUAAAAAAAGGUUUAGGGUGGUUAAACACUGAAUACCUACACCCCUAAAUACCUAAACCUCUAAAUCCCUAAACCCUAACCCUAAACCCUAAAUAAUAAUAUUUUUAAAAAAAAAUUGUACAAAAAUACAAAUGUUUGAGAAAAAUAAAACAAAAAUUGCUACGGACUCCUUACGACAAUGCCAUCUUAAUUAGAUUGCUAAAACCAGUAUUUUAAAAUUUUAAAAAAAAUUAUCCCCACCAAUGAAUGACACAAGCCAUAUGAUUGUUUAUAACUCAAAUUACAUUUUUGAAAGCUUUAGGAUAAAGACAAUAUCUCAAUGGCUGCAUAGGAGUUAUGGUGUAUUUCUUUUUGGAAAUUUUACAAAUUUAUUAUGAAUAUUAUGAAUUAAGGUCAAUAAUUUUUUUUUAUAAAUACAACAAACCACGUCGGUUUUAAAUCCGCAUAUGACGUUGUAUGCAGUUUAAACUUCGUUAUUUAUUCAGAUAACACAUUUACGACGUCAUACCUUUGGACGUUGGUUUGGUACUCCUACGUCGUCUAUGGUAGUAACCGACAUGGUAAGGAGAAUAGACAGCACAAAGCCUAUUCUUAUAAAUAAACCGACAUUGUGGUUUAGUACAGAAGGCAGAAAAUAAGUCAAAACUGCCACUAAAGAUUGUUUAAGACGUCAGGAAUAUAGACGUCAGUUAAAUAAAAUAACGUCAUUGUAAGUAUUUCAAAAUUCAUUUGAAAUAUCAUAAAGUUGACCAAACGAUGGUUUUAAAAAGGGAUGGUCGUUGAAAUUGCAUAAGACGUCAUUUGUUAUAUAGUUAUCAACGUGGUAUUUGCUUACAGGCUCUUUGUUUUUUGUGUUACGUUAAAAGGAAAAACGUCAUUUAUUGACUUUUAAAAUAUACCGUCGUGUUACGGAAGUUUACAUGUCAUUUUAUGAAUUUACUGUCGUUUCUUUAUUUUCAAGUUUCAUAAGACGACGGUUGUUGAAACAAUCUUGUCGUUGGAAGGGACUUCAGACGACGGUUUAAAGAAUUACUUUAGUUUUAAAAACUGAAAAAUAAUUUUAUUGACAGCCAAAAAAAACAUAUACAUUAUACCCUAAACCCUGUACAAAAAAUUGUCUAUUCAAAAAAAAAAAAAUAUGUACAUUUUUCAUAACUAUUUAUAAAAAUCCUCUACUCCAUAUGAAGGCAUAAAAAUCUGCCCAUUCUUUCCUCACUUCUUGGGGGUAUGGUGCUUGAUCUUUGCCCUUUUCAAACUGCAAUCAAUAAAAAUGAUUAUUUAGACUUCAUCAAUGGUUUUGUAGAAUCUGUGAUAGAGAGCCUAAAAACCAUGGCGGUACAUCCAUUCAAACGACGGUAAUUCUAUUUACCGUCGUCCACUUACAAAAACCACAAAAAUCAAAAUCAUAAAGUUUUCCAUUUACGUUCUUCUCAAACUCCAAAGAAUGAUAUGUGAUUAUGUCUCUCAUAAAGCGCAUGACAUAAUAGCCACACUCUACCCUGCUGGGUUGCUUUGGUGUGCCUUGUAGAUUUUUUCAAAUCGGUGCUUUACAGCCUUGUCUGCCUAUGUGUGAAUUAUACAUCUUGAUAGCACUGUUUCAUGACAACAAAGUGUUAUUGAAAAAAAAAAAAAUUAGGCUACAAACACACAUUACACUUUAGUAUAUCAACUUACGUGUUCACUAUGUUUUUUGCAUUCGUCAUCAACCACUCGAUUUCCGGGUAGUGGAUCUAGAAAAUACACAGUCUCCCUCUUUGGUCUCACAAUGACCAAGACCCAAUGACGACUACACAAAAUAAACAUAGAGGUUAAACAAUUUUAUAUACACUGCAUCAUACAAAGAAAAUCGUGUUGACUAACGUACCCUGGAUUGUAAGGCAUAAAGAAAAUAUGUUCCCCAUCUAUCUUUUGAAGUCGAUUGGCUAACAAACGUGAUCUUUGAGUUAAUGAUCCAGAGUUAGCACUAACUUGAGUGGGGUCAACAAAGCCAACCAUGUUCACCAUAUUUGCUGUUUUCAAAACAUCAAAUAGGCACCUACAUAUAUGAAAUGAUGUCAUGAGUUUUUUAAUCUUUUUAAAGAAAGGAGAGUGUGAAAUGACAAUGAGUUGAUAAGGACAAACCUCAUGUAUACAGCAACCACAGUAGCCCCAAUUUCAUUCAUGGUUGCAAACUGUGUAAUAUCUUCAAUCAAGACGAAGGUUUGAUGAUCAAAACCAAACACCUCUUUCUCAGUUGUAAAUAUCAUAUCCUUCUCAUGAACCUUUAAUGUCGUCUUCAUAUAACGACAAAGGGCUUGUAAAGAAGAUGGCAAGACUAGGUUUGAGUAAUCUGGUACUUGUUGUUCCUUGUCAGAAACGUCCAAGCACUUGUCUUUCUGCUUGAAGAAAUAAGGAAAGAUAUAUAAUACAUAAGUGAAAAAACCAGAGUAAACUACACAAACUUAAACGUCAUGGUAAUUGGGAUAAACACGACGGGUAAGAGACAAAAAUGACGUGUAAAUUGAAUAACCACGACGGUAUGUAAAAACCGUCGUCGUAUGUAUUAAUUACGUCUGUAUAAAACAGAGCCCUAGAAAAGUAACAAUUGCCAAUAUCAACUUAAAAGCAUGCUUUAGCAGAAAUACAGAUACCGUGAAAUGCAGAUAAAGAGAGAAAGAAAGAGAGAGUGGAACAGAGUGAGUGAAGAAAAAUUGAAAAAUAAAUGAAAAUACGACACUAUCUGAAUCCCCAAUACCGUCGUGGUAGUUAAAUUCCGACGAUGGGUUAUUUAAAAAACAGACGUGGUAUGAAAUUAAAACGAUGGUAAGUAAAAACCGUCGUCUUAUGUUUUUAUUACUUCGGUAUGAAACAGAGCGCUCCAAAAUUAACAAUUGAAAUUAUCAACUUAAAAGCAAUGCAGAUAACAUCAAUUGCAGAGAGAGAGAGAGAGAGAGAGAGAGAGAGAGAGAGAGAGAGAGAGAGAGAGAGGGACAGAGAGAGUGAAGAAAGAUUGAAAAAAAAAAUUAAGACACUAUCUAAAUACCCCAUACCGUCGUGGUAUUUAAAUGACGACGUCUUAUUAAAAAAACAGACUUGGUAGGAUAUUUAAUACGUCGUUAACCAAAAAACGACGUCUUAUGGCAUAUCUAACGACUAUAUUGAACCCCAGUGACGCAUAUGUAUUUCCAAAUAAGAAAGAAUUUCAAAUUUCAGAGAAUUUACCCUUUCAUCUUGCUUUUCUGCAUCCUUGGAUUUCUGUUUUAAGAAAUAAAGAAAGAUAGAUAAGACAGCUUGUAUAAGAAUGAAAAAUUUCACAAACGUACUGUCGUAGUAAGGAAUACACACGAUGGUUAAUAAUAGAAGAUGACGUCUAAUUUAAAUUGAGAUGACGGUAAAUAAAAGACGUCGUUGUGGGUUGUUUCUAACGUCUGUAAUUAAGGUAACGACAUCUAAUUGGUUUUCAAAAGCAGUAUGCAGAGUUCAUAGAAGUUACCAUUUCUUGUUGUUGGCCUCCAUCUUUGGCAUUAUCAUCCUCAAAAUUGAGGGCUCUAACAUCAAGAGCCCCAGAGCAGCUUGCUUUAUUUGACAUUGGAGUUUUGGGACUUUGCUCAGGACCUUGGAUAGUUGUUAGUUUCAGCAUGCUUGGAUCAAAAUUUGGAAUUAGUUGGCGCAGUUGAUUCAGCAAAUUCUCCCUCUUAGCUUUUACCAAUUGCUUGGUUCUAGCCUCCAUCUUCGAGGUCUCUUCUUUAAGGACAUCUCUUACACUUUCCUUUAAUUGAUCAGCAAACUUUACCCUUUGUUGUCUAGCUAAAUUGAAGUAUUUCCUAGUGGAAAUCCCAACCCCAACACCUCUAACUCUCCCUGCUUGCUCAGGACCCAAAGCCAUAGUCAACACAUCAUUACUUACAGAGACAGUAAGAGUGUCUUCACUGACUUGUUUUUUGCAAUUCAUCCUAAUUAACACAAAGACACAUUAAAGUCAAUAAAAACAUAAAGUUUGUUUCAUAUGCAAGUCUAAUUAAAAUUCCAAUGCAGUUUAAUACAAAUUUAAAACAGAGUGAAAUGAAUUUAGGCUUACAAUUAAUUUUGUUUCUUCGCAACCUUUGGAUCGGGGAUGUUAUCGUGUUUGUCUUCUCUAGCUUUCUUCCACAAGGUAGAUCGACCAAUUUCUACGCUUGGCAUGGUUUCUUCCAAAUCAUUCUCCAAACCAACAUAUCCUUUUCGAGACAAUCGAUGAUUGUACUCGCAUUUCUCUCUCCUCUAUGCUUGUUUAGCAUGGACAGACUCAAAUUGUUCUGAUAACCUUGAAGCUACAAACACAUCCCAGUGUGCUUUCUCUAUGAAUUUAUAUAAUUCAGGGGUUGUCUUAACUUCUCCUUCUCAUUGAUGAAUGGAAGGAUAUGAUGCCUCGUUAGUGUAGACUUGAAAUCCUUCCAUUUCUUGCCAGCAGAUGAUAACACCAUUUUUUUACCCCCUUGCCCUACCACAUAAGCCAUGUCAACGGCUUCCCAAAUAUGCUCUUUUAUAACCUUGGGGAUUUCAGUCCAUUUCUUGUCCAUAAUUGGGACUCUGGACCUUGCCAACACACCAAUAUAGGAUUGCAUCUCAGCAUGUGCAGGGCCAUAUGGUUUCCCCCUUUGGUUGUACUCAAUAACUGGCUUGAUUUUCUUCAAUUUUCUCUUCACAACACGGGGCAUUGUGUUUAUACCACGACUAGACUUUGGCUCCUCAUAAAAUGUUGUCGUGCUGCCUGGUUCUAUCUUAGCAGGUGAAACAAAUUUCAUCUUCUUCGAGGGCUUGGUUUGAGGUUUAGAUACUUUAAGCUCCUUACAUUCAUUUUCGUUCAAGCUAGAAUCCUUACUUGGCGCUUGAGAAACCAUGGUUAUAGAGAAAUGAGACCUGCAAGUACAGAAAAAAUAACAUAAAAGUCAAUAAGAAACGACGCUUAUUUAAAAAAACGAUGUACUAUAAAAUUUCAUACAAAGGAAUAUAAAAACAACCGACGCAAUAAGAAUUAUAUAACGACGGUAGUUAACUACCAACGUGGUUUGAAAGUAACACGAUGUAAAUUUUGAAUUUUUCACGAUGGUAGUAAGAAAACGUCGUGGUUUUACAUUACAACGACGUGAAAUAUAAAAUACCGUCGUCUUAUUAAAAUGAAAUACAAAAUACAGAGUACUGUUUUCAGACCAUUUGGUUCUUGUCUUUAUAUUUGGAAAAACUUAAAUUGAUUUUCACCAGAAAAAAAGUAAAAAUAUAUUUCAACAAACGUCGUGGUAUUCAAUUACAACAACGUUAGUAAUAAAAUAUAGUUGUCUUCUUAAUAUGAAAUUAAAAAACUGUUCCAAGACCAUUUGGUUUACUACUUCAAACACAAAAAGACAGUAGAUUUUAUCAUCGUGGUCAAUGACACUUUGUUCUUUGUCAGUAGAUUUUAUCUAAAAAGUAAAAUGAUUUUCGCAUGAACAGGAACAAAGAUGAGAAAUGCUUACCUUUUGCUUGCAAUGAAAUUUAUCGCUUGCAAAACAAGAACAAAAAUGAUUUUUCAAAGACAAAGACGAAGAGGAGAGGAAGCCGAUGAGAUUCAGACACGGUACUUUGGGAACAAAAAUGAGGACAGCGUGAAAUUUUUUCUCGGGUUUGGAAACAAUAUAAAUGUAGGUCAGGAAAGGCGAAAAGUUUAAAAUAUUAACGAACCGUUUCAUAACACGAUGCUAUUAAUGACAACCGCCCUAGUAAAUGGUUCUACACGGUUGUAAAUAUGUAGUUCACGCCCUGGUAAAGAAUAUUAAACGACACACACUUUUCCGACGUGGUUAGUUUAACUUAUAAUUCAAUAGUGUUAUAGAUGUCGUCGUAGUAUUUUUUUAAUAAUAAGUCGGUAAGUUUACCUGUACUGACGUCUUUACUUUCUACGUCAGUUACUUAAUAGAUUCUGUCAUUGGUUUUUCGCUCUAAGUACAAGACAACGCAUUUUAGUUAUGCGUGUCGUGGUUUCUCUGCAAAAACCGCCCUAGUAAGUCUUUAUUACGUCGUUAAACUAACAGAAACGGAUGUCGUUAGUAUUUUAUGCGCAGGGGCGGAGCUACAGCCAAGCCUGCCAUGGCCCUUGCCCCCCCCCCCACUUAAUUAUUAAUCUCUUGUAAUAUAUUAUAAAAUAUAUGAUAUAGCAAUAUAAUUACUGCAAUUAGAUUAGUAAUGGCCCUCCCAGUUGAAUAUGAAAAACCUAGUAGAAGUGAUUUUGAAAUUUUGGCCCCUCCAUACGAAGAAUCCUAGCUCCGCCACUGUUUAUGCGACUAGAGGGUUGGUACGAACCGACGUAGAUUACUUUUGUUAGACGGCGGUAAGUGUAAUGUAACCGACAUGGAUGUGAAGAAUUUUUUUUUUAAAUUGGGUUUUUUUCACGCGUUCUUUCAGUUUCAGUUUUCAAUUAGGGUUACAACUUCUUCUUGCCCUUGGCUUUGUCUCCCCUCUUUGGAGGCAAUAGUUUGGAUGUUGAUGUGUGUGUGCGUUUGUAUAUCUGAAAGAUACAAAUACACACACAUCAUCAACUUCUAAAAAAUUGUCUUUCUGAAUGCAAAUAUGUGGUUGCCGUCGUCAAUUUUUAGAGGCAAAUUUUUUGGAUGUUGAUGUGUGUGUGCCUUUGUGUAUCUCAAAGACACAAAGACACACACAUCAUCAACAUCUAAAAUAUUGUCUUUCUCGCACAUUGGUGGUCCGAUUAUGAUGAGGAACAGAGUUCCCUCUGGUAAGAUUUCAUAUCUCUUGGGAUCUCAGACUAAUCUGAUUAUGUUGGCGGUUUUCUAUAUAAACCGUCAUGGUUAUUCUCAAUUCUUGUCAUUAUGUUGAUCUACCAUCGUAAGCUACCAAAAUCCAAGAAAUAAAUCGUAAAAAAAAUUAAUAAAUAUUAAGACGACGGUUUAGAUAUAAGGUGAGCCGUAUAAAGUGAAUAAAUACGAUGGUAAUUUUAACUUCACGACGUGGUAAAUUUUAUUAUACGGCAUUAAUUGAACAAACCGACGUGGUAAAGUUAUAGAUACCGUCGUAGUACAAUACAAAAUAAUAAGUCGAUAAAUUUAUCUUUACCAUCGUUGUACAUUGAUUUAAUACGGCGAUAUUUUGUAAUAUACCGACGUAGAUUUUUUUUGAAAUUAUAUGGCUCCAAAUACAAAAACUUGGUCGUGUUUAUUACGGAGUAAAAAUGGCUACUGUUGUUGCACACCGUCGUCUUUACUUUCUGCGUUGGUGGAUUCAUACCUUCUGCCAUUGUUUUUGAGCUCAGAGUUUACCUAUGAGGAAAACCUUUUCAAUAAGACGACACUUUUUUAAUUUGGUGCGUCGUUUUUUAAAAACACCCAUUGGAAUCUCCAUUUUUUAGGUGUUUAAAUUACUCAUACACGGCGGUUUUAUAACACUGUCGUCUUUUUGAGCACAACGAUGGUUUUUUGUUAAACCAUCGUUUUUUUCUGGUCGUUUUUUUCACUUUUUGUAGUAGUGCUAAUGGAUCACACACCUUAAAUGGUUAACUUUGAGUAAUACAAAUGAGAACGAGGAAAUCAAUUUGAUUGAUUUGAUGUAGAUGAUUUACUACGAGUAAAAACGUAUUUGGGCCUCGAUAAUAGUUAACAGGAAGCCCAAAUGGUUGAGUAUCAAGCCCAAGGGCUUAAGACACCUAAAUAUUAUGAUUUAAGUGUCACAAUGCCCAAUUUUGGAAGCUCAAUGGGGUUUGGCCGAAAAUGCAUAAGUAAAUGUGUUUGGGAAUUGUUUCCAUAAGCUCAUUAACACACAAACACAAUCCAAUAUCAACCAAAUAGGUUUAGGAGAUCGAAGAGAGAUAAAAUAGAGUUUUCAAGAGUGAAACACUUUCAUCUUUCAAGGGGUUUAGAUUGAAACCAAUCUUGAGAAUCUUGCACUAGCAUCCUUGUAUUCUCAAGAUACUUCCUCUCAUCUCAAGGUUCCAUUGGUGUAGAGACUUAGAGGCCAUAUACUUUUGUGGCUCACAUGGAGGAGAAAGAUCAAGGAGCAAAAAUCAAGAUCAAAGAGGAGGUCAACAAAGAGGAAUUCAUCAAGAGAAGACCAAACACAAAUUGGUUCAUAUAAUUGCUUCAAGGGUAAUUAGAUCUUAUCAUUUCUCUUGAAUUUUUCAUUUAUGAAAUACAUAUCAAUGUUCAUGGCUUAAGAUACUUGGAAAAAGUUUGUUUUUGAAUGUAAACAAUCACCAUAGACUUCCGCUGCGAUUAAUUUGAUUAAAUGCAUGUUUAAUAUUCAAAUGAACUUUGUAUAAAUGUUUUAAAUCCUACCCAAAAAAAAAAAACCCAUGCCACCCUCAUCUCAACCUCCCCAACCAUCGUCCCUCCUCCUCCCUUGACCAGCCACAACAACAACCACCCCUAGGGCUCGUCAAUGGGCCGGGUCGGGCUAGUCCAAUUCAAAUUUAAUGGACUUGGGUUGGGUCGGGCUGAGCUAGACCGAGCUUUAAAGAUGAGAGAGAAAAUACCGGACCGGUUAUUUUUAAAAAAUUCAAAGCCCAAGCCCAACCCAUGGGCCGGGCUAAGCCUAACGGGCAAGGCUGAAAUGAGCCUACUUCAUUAAAAAAAAAAAAUUCAUAAACUUAAUCAUAAGGGCAUUUUAGUCCAAAUUUGAGAUUAAACUCACUUAAUUCCAAUAAUUUCACAUCAAACCAAAUUCAUAAAACACCAAAUAAAGUCACACAACUUAAUAAGAUUUUUCACAAAAAUAAUAAAACCAAGUAUUAUGUUUGAGGUUAUUACAUAAUUAGACCGUAAUACGUUUUAAAAAAUAAUAAGUAUCAAAUUUUUUUUUUUAAAGGAUGGUAUGAAUAAAUAUGCAAAUAUUUGGUGAUGUGUUCAAAAAAAGCAUGAUUAUAUUUGGUGGUACGAUUAUGUUUCGUGAUAUGAUUAUAUUUGGUGAUGUGAUAUGUUGUUCAUCUUAUAUAUAUAAUUAUUGAAUUAGUAAUUGACACAAAUUAAUGUGCUAAUCAUCCAAUUAUAAACUAGGAAUGAGUAAAGAAAAGUAAAUGAAAUGAAACAAAUUAUAUAUGUGAUUUAAGUGAUAUAAUCCUAAACCUAAACUCUUAUUUAUACAUAAUUAUAUAUGUAUGCGGGUCUAAUAGGCCGGGCUUUUAUAGGCAGGCCGGGCCAGGCUUUCUUGGGCUUAAUCGGGCCAGGCUUAUGGCCUGGGCCGGGCUUCAGACACCUAAGCCCAAGCCUAGCCCAGUCGAAAGCAAGCCGGGCCAUCUCAAAGCCCAUAACGGGUCGGGCCGGGCUUUUUUUCAACGGGUCGGGCGGGCUCCCAUCAGCCCAUGAGCCCGUGGGCCAAAUGAUGAAGCCUAGCCACCCCCACCCCAUCCUCAACCCCAGCCCACCCCAUCACCACCCCUUCCUCAACAUCUAUUGAACAGACCCCAAACCCACUCGAAGUAAAUGAAUAAAUUGAAUUGAUACAAUAAUUAUAAUAAAUAGAUAAUUGAAAAUCCAAAAACCCCCAAUUAUGUACUCUACAUAACCAACACCGUAGCAAAAACCCCCAAUGGCCACAGCUUCGGCAGUGGAGAAACUAUUCAAAUGGCACUGUUAUUGGCGAGUGCGGGAGCCUAUGAGGGAGAUCCAUCAUAACAUCUCGUCCCAAAAAUCACUGUUCAAUUGAUUAUUUAUUAUGAAAUUACAUUUUUGCCCUUAGGUGUAGGGCACUUUAGUCACUUUUUAUUUGGAAAGGAAUUUGGGGAAUUGAGUGGCACCGUUGAGUUGAGAUCAACGAUACGAGUUCGUAGACAGGCGUCAUGUUCAAUUCAGAGUUAAAACGAAGAAGUUAUGAUUUACGGAAAUGUAGUUGAACAACCGCAAUUUUUGCAAAGUUAAAAUUUAAAUAUCCCAGCUUCUCUCUCUCUCUCUCUCUCUCUCUCUCUCCUUCACUAAAACAAACCGGCCACUUUGGCUUGCAUUUUCUCCUCCUUCUGACCACGGCGACCUAUUAAACGUUCAUCUCUUCUUCCUCUUCACGUUCAUACCCAUUUCCACUUUCGAAACUCCAAGAUUGAUCGCGAUUUUGGACUAGAACUGAGCGAAACCCUAAUUUGUGGCCCGGCAAAGUUCGUACGAUUUCUAGCGAUUCCGGCAGCCAUAUGAAACUUCAUUCCCUCAUCAUGCUCUACUUGUUUAUGUACUUAGUUUGGAUCGAUUUUGAGGUUUUACAAAUCAAUUCUUAAACCCAUUUUUGGUCGUGGUCCAAGAACAAAAGUUUAUCCCUUUGUUAGUUUGAUCGUAUUGGUAUAGGUGUUUGUCAGGAGUUUCCGAGAAAUUCCCGUUGCAGGAAAUUUCUCAAAACAACCACGCACUAGCAGCGCCGGGUGACGGCGUGUCGGCCACUGUGUGGCACCCUAUUGAGUUCUAAAUUGUUUCCCUUGUCAUCAUGAGCACGACGGUAUGCUCGGAUUUGGAUUUGGUUAUCGUUUGACAUUUGAACAGAUAUUGCACCUAUUUUGGUUGGGAGGUGUUUGUGGUUUGGUUGUUUGAUUUUAAAACGGUAUUUUCCUAUGAGAGUUUUGUUAACUGUUUAUGAAUUAUUGUUCUAUCACUUUUACUUUCUGAGAAUGAUAUAUCCAUGUUUAUUUUUAUAUGUGUGCUAAAAUGGAUUAAAAAUUGGAUUGUGUUGUUUUCGGAAAUAUGGUUGUCUUUGGAGAUAUUGAUAUCUUCUUCUGACAUCCCGGUUGCCUUCUGAAAUAUUGAUGUCUUCAAACAUCCUGGUUGUCUUCAAAAAUACUGUUGCCUUCGGAAAUAUUGAUAUCUUCGGACAUCCUGGAUGCCUUCGGACAUCCUUGAUGCCUUCGGACAUACAGUUACCUUCGGAAUAUCUUCGGAUAUACAGUUGCCUUCGGAAUGUCUUCGAACAUAAGGUUGUCUUAGGAAUAUCUUCGGACACCUCAGUUGCCUUCGAAUUUGUCUACACACGUAUGACAGUGUGCCCACGAGUUUCGAGGACUCUUGUGUUGGAAAAUUUAAUAUUAACUAAUAUUGAUUUUCCUAUUUGAAUGGAAAUUAAUAAAAUUCAUUGGGUUAAAGGCAUCUUCACAUGGGGGGUGACAACUCUUCAAACCAAGGGAUGCAUUGUUUGGGGUGACAACUCUUCAGACCAAGGAAUGCAUUGUUUGCCUUUUCAGAUUGAGAUACCUUUUUAGAAAGGGUAUUUCAUCAUCUAUAAAUAGAGCAAUCCUCCUACAGUUUUAUUCAUUCAGUUUAAUUCUCUACAUAUAGACUUUCACAUAUAGAAAGCAUUAGAGUUUUCAUAAAGGGAGGUUCCUGCAUAAUUUGGUUCAAAGUUCCUUGUGAAUUGCAGUGCUUCUUUCAUAAGGAGGGGAGUCGUUGUAUCCUGGGAGGCGAACGCUAGUGAACCAUAAGCACCAGUGUGGGGCGUAAUUCGUCUUAAGGUCAGAGUGUCCAACACUUGCCUCGACUCAAUUAAGGUUCUUUUAAUUACAUACUACUGUUGUAAAAAUUUGUUUUGUUUGUAGUGUUUAUUUGAUUAUUUUAUAGCAAUUUAGCACUCAUAUUUCCUACAUCUUGAACCGUGUAAUGCAAGGAUUUGCAUUCUCAAGUGGAGUAUAUCUCCCUGAGUUAUGCGAGGAUUUGCAUUCUCAAGUGGGGUAUAUUUUCUUGAGUUAUGAGAUGAAUGCGGUCUCAGGCCGACCUCGUUUCCUCCAAGUUCUAUGAUGAUAUAUCACAGACGUGGCCACAUGUGUGGUGCAAGGGGAAUUGACAAAUUAUUUGUGUUCUUAGGUUGAGUAUAUCUCCAUGAGUCCUAUGAGAGGAAUUGAUAGUAUAUUAUUGAAAUUGAUGGAUUAUAUUUGAGGUACAGUUAAAAGGAUAUUCUUCACCACCCUCCCUGCUCACAUUAUCUGCACAGGGUUGGCCAAGAUCCCUAGUCACCUACCCGACUUGUCUAUACAGGGGGGUGGUUAGCUAGUUUUCCCUUCCCCUGUUGCCUUCGGAUUUGAUGGUAUUCCCAUAUCCCCUCCCCCCCUUUUAGGGUCAAGCCUCACAUAUCCCUUGAUGGGUGAUUACAGGAUAUAUGCAAUAUGUGGAUAAUUGCAAGUAUGGCUUUCUGGUAAAAGGUUUGGUUAUGUAAGUGUUUGGAUGUACAGCGAUAAACUAAUUGAAUAGUUAGAUACAUAAUUACAUGGUAUGACAUUCAGUUAUAAAGCCCCUCAUUGUGAGAGAAAUACCUUUAUAGUCCGCAAUAUUUCAACGGAGCUCUAAAUAAUGCUCUAUCCACCAUAUUUAGAGCAUCAACCAGGAUGGCCUUAGAUAACCUGAUAAGAUAAACAACGCCAUCCGCCAUACGAAGUGGUGGCGUUAGAUGAGGUUUGUAAAUUAAAUCACCAUUUUUUCCAAUCCACAACGUAAAGAAAGAGUUGAAGGCAUAUAGAAACAAACAACGCCGUCCAAAUAACAAAAUGCAUCACACUCAAACAGGGACAGUGGGACAUUUUUGGUAGGUGCUUUCAGGAAAAAUGGUUAAAAAGAGGUUGAGUAGGUGCUUUCAGGAAAAAUGGUUAAAAAGAGGUUGAGUGGGGAUGGGGAUGGGGCUCUAUAUUUUAUGUAUUUUUUAUUUUUUGUCUCUCCUAAGAGCUGGUUCCCCUCAUGAAAUGAGCAGAAAAAUUCUCCACCACUUCUUAUUUUAGCUGCAUGUAGGCUUCCCAAGAGAUAGAAGAGAAGUUCACUUGGGGUCUGCAGGCUCUUAGAGCAACUCCACCCAUUUGCCUUUUGCUAUGGUAAGGGAGGGGAUAAGGCAGCUACUAUUCACAUGAAUAGUGAUUGCCCUUGUAAAAAGCCAUUUCUGUUUCCACCCGUUGCCAUGACAAAGGGCAAUUACUAUUCUUUUUUUUUUUUCACAAUUUUUUUUACCUCAAUAAUUAAUUUGGAUAAUAUUUUCGGAUAAGAUUUUCGGGUUUCUAUGUGUCAAUACUAUUCAUAGCUCAUAAUCGGAUAAAAUUUUCAGUUUCAAAUUUCAUAUAAAUUUCAAAAACAAAUUGGCAGGUAUUUAUAGAAAAAAAUUCACUAAUUUUUGGGUAUUUUUAAAAAAAAAUUCAGAAUUUUUUUUAGUAUUUUAUGGUAAAAAAAUUGGCUGUCAUUAGAUUGGAAGAAAAAAUCCGAUCGGAGAGCCCAGACGACAUCACAUGGCAACAGAAAAAAAAAAAUUCAAAUGAGUGGGCUGACGCCAGCCUGGCGUCAGCGAUGACAUCAACCCAAAACUCGAGCUCGUGCUUGGGCUGAACUCCCCCUCGAGCCAGCCCAAGGUCGUGGCCCCCACCUCCUGCCCAGGCAAACCUUCGCUGCUGGAAACAUGAUUUGAACUGCUCUUAUACCCAAGCAAGUUGAAGUAUUCCUCCCUUUAUUUAUUUAUUUAUUUUUUUAAGAAAAGAGAAAUAUAUUAGUACUGUCUAUUUUGCCACAUGGUAGGAAAGUCCCCACCUAAGUUUUUCUCUUUCGUGUUUAUCUCCUAGCAUGUUGGAUAUAUAUAUAUAUAUAUCAGUAGUGAAAAAAAUGCUCAUGUCCUCUAAACAAUUGUGCCAAAAAUUAACGGCUGGAAGAAGAAAGAGAGAGAUGGAUUUCUUGAGUUGUGUACUAUUAUGUCUAAUGGUUGCCUGGAUCGUAAUCCAAGCCCUCCAAAAUUCAUUUGCAAGAAGAAUUCCCACAAACCUUCCACCUGGACCAAAGCCAUUUCCUUUGAUUGGAAAUCUCCUAGAGCUUGGAAACAAACCCCACAUCUCACUAACCAAGCUUUCAAAACGCUAUGGCCCCAUUAUGACUUUACAACUCGGCCAACUAACAACAGUUGUAGUUUCUUCAUCCAUCGUCGCCAAACAAGUCCUCCGAACCUAUGACCGAUUCUUUUGCAACCGAACGAACGCAGAUGCACUCCAAGCCUGCAGCCAUGCCAAGCACGGCAUGCCCUUCAUACCUGUUUCAGCUAAAUGGAGAAACCUUCGCAGAAUAUGCAACUCCCAAUUGUUCGCCACCAAAGUUCUCAACGCCAACCAAGCCAACCGUCAACUAAAAGUGCAAGAGCUCAUAGCUGAUGUCAGCGAAAGCGUGGUAAAAGGUAAGGCAGUUGAAGUUGGAAGGGCUGCUUUCUUAACUACCCUCAAUUUGCUGUCACGUACUGUCUUCUCUGUGGAUCUAGCGGACCCGAAAAGUGAGACGGCUAGAGAGUUCAAGGAGUUGGUGUGGGGUAUCAUGGAAGAGGUCGGGAAACCAAACUUGGCUGACUAUUUUCCUGUGCUUAAGAAGAUUGAUCCCAUGGGGAUACGGCGCCGUUUGACCAAGCACUUCCGGAAGAUGAUUGACCUCUUUGACCGCUUGAUCUUCCAAAGGUUGGAAACAAGAAAAUCACAUGAUUAUGUCACAGCCAAUGAUAUGUUGGAUACUCUUAUAAACAUGAGUGAAGAGAAAAAUGAGGAUAUGGACAUUCCUGAAACUCAUCAUUUGUUUCUGGUUAGUUAUGGAUAUAGCUUUCCUACAUAUACUAAUUGCUAAUUAGAGUGUAUCUUUUUGUGAUUAUUAAGGUUGUUUUUGGUUUUGUUUAUACCAUCUAAACUGACUUAAAGACGGUUGAGAUAGUACACGUAGUUUUAUUAGUUCAUUAUUAUACAUAUAUGCUAGCUCCGAUUAAUUUUCUGACUAAGUAAUCAGCCAUUUGGUGAAUAAUAUAGGAUUUAUUUGUUGCGGCCACAGAAACAACCUCAGCCACAUUGGAAUGGGCAAUGGCUGAGCUACUAUGCAACCCUGAAAAACUGUCAAAAGCUCAAGAGGAGCUAGAACAAGUAAUUGGGAAAGGGAAACCAGUUGAGGAAACAGACACUGCUCGACUUCCUUACUUACAAGCAAUAAUCAAAGAGACCUUUCGGUUGCACCCAGCUCUUCCGUUUCUUCUCCCCCGCAAAGCCGAAGCAGACCUGGAAAUCUGCGGGUAUUUUGUACCCAAGGGUGCACAAGUGUUGGUCAAUGCAUGGGCCAUAGGCAGAGACCCUGGCUUUUGGGACAACCCGGCCUCAUUUAUCCCAGAGAGGUUCUUGGGAUUGGAUAUGGAUGUCGCUGGCGGAAGCUUUGAGCUUAUCCCGUUUGGUGGUGGGAGGAGAAUAUGUCCUGGCUUGCCCUUGGCAAUGAGAAUGUUGAACUUGAUGUUGGGUUCACUUCUUAACUCGUUCCAUAAUUGGAAGCUUGAAGAUGGAGUUGUACCAGAAAACAUGAACAUGGAAGAGAAGUUUGGCAUCACUUUGCAAAUGGCUCAGCCUCUGAGAGCUGCUGCCAUGGCCGUGCCAUAAAAUAUCCUACUAGCUAUUUGUUUUUACCUAAGUUAAUAUGUUGUGAAAUUGAAUAAAAACUAUUCAUGCCAUGGAAUAAAAACUAUUCAUGCCAUGGAUACUCUCACAAGUUCCUCCAAAUAGGUUGUGUCCAUUUUCUUGCCAUGGAAUAAAAAUUGCAUAUUUAACUUUCAGUUGUCCAUUUUUUCUUAUGCUCAUCUGGAAUGGAUUUUGUUUACUCAACGUUGUUUUAACUUCUAGUUUCAGGUUUUCUUCUUCGUGUAGAGCAUUCAUUUUAUUAUAAUAGAUUACAAAACCCAAUCUGAUUUUAAACAAUAAAAUUAUUGCCAAUAAUGAACCAUUUGUUUGAAAGAAGAAAAUUAUUGGCAAUAAUUAAUAGUUUUAGGUGGGUCGAGAUGACAUAUGGGAGAAGAAAAUAAUGGAAGGAAACAACAAAGUAAGAUCCAUUUGUUAAUCAAAGAGUUUUUGCUGUUCACAGUCGCUUAAGGCAACUGCGAAAUCAAACUCUCUCUUUAUUUGAAAAACUUCAAAUUUUUCGCUUUCGUACCAACUAGAGAUUAUAACGACCUUUCGAACAAUAAAUCGAGCGAAGAACAAUUCCAACCAUUGCAUUUCUUGCUAAAAUAUGAAACCUAACUUGAGAAUAUUUGUUUGUAGGAAUUUUUUAUGUAUUCUUCUCCUUGUAGGAGAUCAUAUUUAUAAUACAACGAAACUUUAAUGGGCAAGUAAAUAAUAAAUUCAUAUUUCUAUUUACAGUAGGAAAUCAGGAAUUAAAGUAAAUCAAUUACAAUUAUAAUAAGAAUUCUUGGUAUGAAAAGAAAGUAAGUCAGUGGUCCACAAGACACGCCAACACUCUCUCUCACGUUGGUACAUAGAUGUCGUCAAUGCCCAACUGAUCCAGUGAAUUGUGGAAUGCUUUACUGGAAAUUGCCAAUUUGGCGUCAGCAUUGACAUCAGCCCAAAACUCGGGUUCGCGCUCGGGCUGAACUCCCUCCUGGGCCUACCCAGGUUCGUGGCCCCCACCUCCUACCCGGGCAAGCCUUUGCUGCUAGAAACGUAAUUUGGGCUCAAAACGCUCCCAGCCCGCCCCCUAACUUCUCCACUGAAACUGCUCUUAUACCCAAGCAAGUUCAAGUAUUCCUCCCUUUAUUUAUUUAUUUUUUUAAGAAAAGAGAUAUAUAUUAUUACUGUCUAUUUUGCCACAUGGUAGGAAAGUCCCCACCUAAGUUUUUCUCUUUCGUGUUUAUCUCCUAGCAUGUAGGAUAUAUAUAUAUAUAUAUAUAUAUAUUAUUGAAAAAAUAUGCUCAUGUCCUCUAAACAAUUGUGCCAAAAAUUAACGCCUGGAAGAAGAAAGAGAAAGAUGGAUUUCUUGAGUUGUGUACUAUUAUGUCUAAUGGUUGCCUGGAUCGUAAUCCAAGCCCUCCAAAAUUCAUUUGCAAGAAGAAUUCCCACAAACCUUCCACCUGGACCAAAGCCAUUUCCUUUGAUUGGAAAUCUCCUAGAGCUUGGAAACAAACCCCACAUCUCUCUAACCAAGCUUUCAAAACGCUAUGGCCCCACUAUGACUUUACAACUCGGCCAAAUAACAACAGUUAUAGUUUCUUCAUCCGCCGUAGCCAAACAAGUCCUCCGCACCCACGACCAAUUCUUCUGCAACCGAACUAUCCCGGAUGCAGUCCAAGCCUGCAAGCAUGCCAAGUAUGGCAUGCCGUGGCUGACGGUUUCCUCCACGUGGAGAAACCUCCGCAAAAUAUGCAACUCCCAGCUUUUCGCGGCUAAAGUUCUCGACGCCAAUCAGGCCAACCGUCACCUAAAAGUGCAGGAGCUCAUAGCUGACGUUAAGGAAAGCGUUGUGAAAGGUAAGGCGGCUGAAGUUGGAAGGGCUGCUUUCAAAACUACGCUCAAUUUGAUGUCACGGACUGUGUUCUCUGUGGAUUUAGCGGACCCGAACAGUGAGAGGGCUAGAGAGUUCAAGGAGUUGGUGUGGAGUAUUAUGGAGGAGGCUGGGAAGCCAAACUUGGCUGACUAUUUUCCUGUGCUUAAGAAGAUUGAUCCCAUGGGGAUACGGCGCCGUUUGGGCAAGCACUUCCAGAAGAUGAUUGAUCUUUUUGACCGCAUGAUCGUCCAAAGGUUAGAAUCAAGGAAGUCACGUGAUUAUGUCACAGGGAAUGAAUGUUGGAUACUCUUAUAAACAUGAGCGAAGAGAAAAAUGAGGAUAUGGACAUGGCUGAAACUCAACAUUUGUUUCUGGUUAGUUAUUGCUACUCUAGCUCUAUUAAUUAAUUGAUAAUUAAAUUGCUUAGAUAUUAUAAUUAUAACUUAUUGCUAGAUUGUGUACCAUCUUAAUUGAUCAUUUUAAAAGAGUGCUGCUAAAUGAAUCUUAAAAUUAACUGAGUACACUCUAUGAUCUAAGUACAUCUUAAUAUUUAAAUCAAAAUAUAAAAUUAACUAAGUACACCUUAUUUAACUACCAAAAAUACUCAUUGUACACCCUAAUACACUCUAUCUCGUCCAAAAAAAAAAAAAAAACCAACAACAUUCAUCGAUCUCCCUAUGAUCCCCUUUUCUCCAUACUUUGAUUCUCAAAAAUUUUAACUGUAAAAUCUGGACAGUAUUGUUCUUUUUGAUAUAUCCUAAAUCUAACUAUAAUGAUACAAAAACGUUCAACAUAAUUCUUUGAUUUCAUUCCUCUUGAUGCUAAAACGUUCAAAUUAUGAUUUUGCCUGCGAAAACUUCAAAAUCUUCCUUAGUUCUUUAAUGUUUUAGUCUUUAACUCCAAAUGGUAGAGCAAAUAAACAAAGACUCAAACAAAUAAUUAAUUAGGAUUGCAGAUAAGGACUUCACUGUAAAGAUCAAUCAGCCUUGUAUUUAUAUAUGCCUUCAAUUUUCUUCGAAGAAUGCUAGCCAUUGAUUGAUGUGUGUCUCACAGCGAGUCCAUCCAUCAAUGGCUAACACAAACAAGCACUGCACUGUAUUGAAUCAGCCCCUGCAUAUUUCUUUUAAUAGCUUCAAGUUUAUUCUUGGCAAAACGAAAAUUUCAGCAACUGUAUUGCUGAAAUACACUUUGCUUUGCAAACAUAAGAGCAGUUUUUAAUAUGUCUUCAUGUAAAAUUGCAUUUUCAAGAUCUCAUGUUCAGAGACUGUACAUUCAUCAUGAAAAUUUGCAGAGAGCUAAGAAGAAACAACUACAUUGUGUGGUUUAUUAUAGCAAUCAGUCAAGUCUUUGCAGUUAUUUUUUUUUUCUCUUUUUUUUUUUUCUUUUUUUGAAACUGCUACUCGGUAUUGGCCAAAAGAAAACUGCUCUUUAUUCUUCCAGUUUGGUAUUUUGUAUGUUUUAUACUGAGCAGAAGAGUGAUUGAAAGAAGAAGAGGUUCUACUGAGCUUGGUUUUGAGAGAUAAAAGAGUUCGGCUGUCCAAAUGCUAAGAUGGAGAAGAAGAGAAGUGUAGGGAAAAAUAUGCCGUGUCAUAUUUUAGAUGGUUUUUAAAGAGUGUUGCUAAACGAAUCCUAAAAUUAACUGAGUACACUCUUAAAAUAUGUGGUGUUAUGUUUUACAAUUGAAUAUAUCUUUUUUAGUCAUUUUAUAUUAGGGUAAAUUAGUAAUUCAAUAAAUACUUUGAUAGUAGGGUGUACUUAGUUAAUUUUAGAGUUCGUUUAGCAGCACUCUUUUAAAAUUAUGACUAUGGUCACUUUAUUUUUGUUGAGAUGGUAUAAGUACGUUAAUCCUACACUGAUCAAGGUCUUGUGUUCAAAUCCCCUUAUAUCGCUUUUAUAAAAAUAAAAAUAAAAACUAUAUAUAUAUAUAUAUAUUUGGUGCCCAUAUUAAUUUGACUAAUUAACUUUUUGGUGAAUUAGGAUUUAUUUGGUGCGGGCACAGAUACAACUUCAGCCACAUUAGAAUGGGCAAUGGCUGAGCUAUUACGCAACCCUGAAAAGCUAUCAAAAGCUCAAGAGGAGUUGAAGCAGGUUGUUGGCAAAGGAAAACCAGUGGAGGAAUCAGACAUCACUCGGCUCCCUUACUUACAAGCCAUAAUCAAAGAGACCUUCCGGCUGCACCCAGUUGUCCCACUUCUUCUCCCUCGCAAAGCCCAAGCAGACAUAGAAAUCUGCGGUUACAUUGUACCAAAGGGUGUACAAGUGUUGGUCAACGCAUGGGCCAUCGGCAGAGACCCCAGCAUUUGGGACAACCCUACCUCAUUUAUCCCUGAAAGGUUUUCAGGAUUGGAUAUCGACGUUACUGGCCAGAACUUUGAGCUUAUUCCAUUUGGUGGUGGGAGGAGAAUAUGUCCUGGGUUGCCUUUGGCGAUGAGAAUGUUGAAUUUGAUGUUGGGUUCGCUUAUUAACUCGUUUGAUAAUUGGAAGCUUGAAGAUGGAGUUGUGCCAGAAAAAAUGAACAUGGAUGAGAAGUUUGGCCUCACUUUACAGAUGGCUCAUCCUGUGAUAGCUGUGCCCAUCAAGUAUUAGGAGAACGAAACCUAGCUAGCUAUGGUUUCUAUAAUAAAUAGAUUUAUGUUUUUAUUAGGGAGUUACAAUAAUUAAUCCUACUAAUGAUAGGAAAUGGUCAGUUGUCAAUUACGUUGUUAUUAGGCCAUAACUCCAUAUUUAUGUGUAUGAUAAUGGCUUGUUCUAAUUGUAGAUUAUUCUCUACAUAUUUAUAUAUUUUAUAAUGAUCAUAUGAAUGACUAAGGAAAAAAUAGUUUCUAUAUGGAAUAUGGUAUCAGAGCUAAUGGCUAACGCCGAUUAGCGAUUCUCCCGUUGCCAACAUUGAGAGUCGUUGGUGCUCCGCACUCCUCACCCGUAAGGAGGGUGUUUGUUUAUGUUUAGUGCUUUUUCCUCUCCUCUUCUCAAAGAUGAAUAUAUUUUUUUCUUCCAUGUUAGCGAUUUUUUUUGUAUUGUUUCAUCCUUAGUUAUAUUAACUGCGGGCAUCGGCGGCUUCUUUCUUUUUGUUGUGCCUGAUAAAAUUGACCUUAGAUGGCUUCAUUUUCUUCAAAUCACCCCAGUUGCCUUUCCCAAUCUGAUGAGAUUGGACAAAUAACUUUAAUGGACCAAUAUGCGCAACCCAUGUAGAAAACCAUAUCUAUUAUAGGGUGGACUCCUAUCCUGGUGUAUGAUUUUUGUUUUGUAAAAUCACCCCAGUUUCCCUUCAUUAUGAUGGUAGAUUGACCUUGCGAAGGCUAUAUCUAAAGGAAAAGCAAACAGAGCCAUGCCACUAGAACACAGAUUUUUGUUUUGUAAAUUUUUUAUAAAGUUAUUCGGUGUUGAUUUUUCAAUUUAAAAAAUGUAUUUGGAAGUCUUGUUGGCUCAAUCACUUUUCUUUCUUUGUUCUACUCUUCUAGAUUUGGGAGGGGCUACUUCGGCAACGGGUGAGAACUGGUGUUAGAAGGGGAUGGAAAAGUCGUUGAAAAAUUAGGUUGGUUUUAUUGAUAUAUUUUAUAUUUAUAGUGAAUUGAUGGAAAUGGAAGCAUGUGAUUUGAUUUAACGGAAAUUUUUAAAGGAGUUUGACGUAGGUGGUAAAUAUUGCAACACUUUAAAUAGUUCAAGUGGUUGCUAGAAAAAAUUAAAAAUUCAUGUAGUAAUCCCGCACGUACUAAAAAGUUCGGAUGAUAUUUAUGUAAAUUCCCCUUUAGGGUAAAUAGAGAUAGCUUGUAAAAGCUUCCACUUCUAAAAAAUAAGUCCGGAUCCAAAUUGUUCUUGAAUGUCUUUACCUAAGUUUGUCUCUUAGCUUAGAGGAUGUAUAUAAAAGACUUAAAAGAGUUAGUCUUGAAAAGAUAUUUUCAUGCUUUCUCAAUAAGUCUCAACAAUCGUGCCAAAAAUUAAUUAAGAGUUAGGCGAGAGAUCAAUUUCUUGUGUUGCAUGCAAAUGUGUCUUAUGGUUGCCUGAAUUUCUUGUGGGGGAGCUGGGAGGAGAAGGGGAUGGAGAGAAAGAGAAGGAGGGGGGGGGGGGGGGGUUGUUAUUUAUUAUAAAGAUUUUUUUAAUGUUAAUUUAUUUUAUUAUAUAAUUAAUUUAUUAUUUUUUUAAAGAAACAGCGGGUCCUACAGUAGACACGUUAUCAAUUAAAUCAAAUAGUCAACUUAAUAGAAAGUUUAAAUUGGUCAAAUUUGAAAAUCAUCAAGUGUAAAUUGAUGAAAUUGGAAUUCGAGAGCCUAUGUUCAGAAUGAUCCUAAAUCUUCAGGAAGUCUUUUGACGUUAGUCCUAAUAUAUAUUUGUAAUUCCAUGAGUGUUUCAUGUUGCAUGUUCUGCGGGUCCUUUUCAAAUAAAUCAGCCAUGUGCACAAGAGUGAAUUUAGCUGAAGACAUGUCAUGUCUUCUGUUCAUAAAAAAACAACAAAGAAGGUUACUAGCAUUCCUUAUAUAUAUAUGUGUGUACUUUUUGUUUUUGGGUGAGAAAAGUCCCUUCGAGUGGACAGGAAAUUGUACUUUUUUUGUCUUUUCGCAUUUUUUUUUUCAUGUUAGAGUAGUUUGGGACCAUCCUCGUUCAAAGGAGACAUGUGCAGUUGCAAAAGACCAUCGUGCAUGUUUAUGGGAAAAAACAAAACCUCUAGCCCACUUGGCUAUAAAUUAUUGUAUGUAUGUUGUUUACACCAUAAUGAACCGAGCAGACCCAGCAUCAAAGCGACUAGCACCAAGGCAGCCACGCCUUCUCCCAUGCCGAAGGAAGACACACUUCCGAGGUGCCUGACACCUGCCGAAGCUCUCAGCUGCCAAACCUAAUCUCCAGGACACGUGUCGCC